UACAUAAAUAGAAUGGCAUAAUACUAAGGAUAUUAAAGUGAUUAUUCCAUAUAGAUGACUUCAAAAUAAAAACACACAAUCGACAAUGUCAUAAUGCCUUAGCUAUUGUGAAGCUCGUAUACGAACAAAAAGCUUGUCAUUUAAGGUGAGAUUCCAUGUCUUUGGUUAUGCCAUUCAUGAUCUCAAUGUAUUUGUAUGGAUAAGGAGAGCUGUGAUUGAGUUUCUCAUAUUCUAUGGUUAGAAUGGCCAAGCAAUGGUUGGGAUCAUCACCUUUUGGCACAAACUGAUAAAUUGGGAUGAAUUUUUUAUAGUACUUGAAUGCACUUCCUUCUAAUCCAAUCAGUGUUACUUUUCCAUUCACAUCAUCAAAUUCCACUUGCUCUUUCAAAACCUCCGGUUUACCAUCUUAACACAUAAAAAAAAAAAUUAGAAUAUGAUAAUAUAUUGUGUAGAGACGAUCAUAUAUUCAUUCAAUAAAUAAAAGAAAACGAAAUACGUUUAAGAUUUUAAAAGUAUAAAAUAGAAUGAAAGCAAAAGUACAAAUAGGGAAAUAAGAAAUGAUGGAUUGUUGUUGAAGGGUUUAUACAGAUACGUACCGGCAAAGUAGUUCCAAAUUUUGAUAGAGCCAUGACCAUGAGUGUCCCAAUCACCAUCAUGAACAUCAACUUGUUGAAUGAAUUUUGGUGUAAUAUUUGGCAUAUGCUUACAGUUAUCUUUGAAGAUUUUGUAGCAUUUUUCUGCAGAUGCAUUUAUUGGUAAUUCACUCACAAGUUUCCCACCAAGAGACAUUGUUUCACUUUCGAUAGAAUGCUUUGCUACAAUGUCCAAUGGCUUGCCCUUCUUAUAGGAAUCUCCAUUAUACACAUCAUUCAAGAUAAUUUAUUGUUAUGCUGAGUAAUAUAAUGCCAAAUAGAACUUAUGCCUUAUUGAUGUCAAACCAUCUCAUUAAUAAUUUUGAAUUUCACGCGUAAUAAAAGAUAUUAAGAUUAGAUUAGUUUAAUAGUAUAAAAUUAAUUGUCCAUCAAUUAACUAAUAUUUCUAUGAAUUCCAUAUAGAUUCAAUACUGAUACGAUAAAAAAUAAAAUUAAAAUGUUCACUCAGUUUGGAUGUAAUUUUACUUAAUUUAAAUUUAUUUUUUUCAAAAUAUUUAUUAAAUUUCACUCCUUUUCGAUGUAUUUAUUUAAUUGAAACUCAAUAUUUCCAUCAACAAUAUGUCAAAGUGGUUGGGUAAUUACAUCUAUAUGCAAUCUAUCAAAUUCUUCAAUUGUAGUUGGUCACUUGCAUCCUUAUUAUUUAAGUAGGGUGAUUUGUGUGUAUGGUGAUAGUUAUAAAUGUAGUCUAGCAAACAUUUAAAUAUGAUUAUAAAACAUACAAGUAUCCAAUCUCUAACAAAAAAAAAAAAAAAAAAAUCAUCAACAAUGCCAUAUUGAUGGUCUAUAAAUAAUAUACAUAACAUGAUUAACAGUCUAUGCAAAAAAAAAAAAAAAUGACAACACUAUAAUAAUCUCGAACUAAUAUUAUAGAGAAAGUAUUUGUCAAUAAAUAGAACUUUUAACGACGUGAUCGAUUAGUAUUCACAUACAGUGUUUAAUUUAAAAAUAAAAAUAAGUUAUUUUGAAAAAAGUAACGUUUAAAAACUAACUCAAAACAAUUUUAAAUUAGGAAAUUAACUGGCGUGAAUGACAAAUUAAUAGUACAAUAUUUAAAGUUUGUUGUACACGUUCUCAAUUUUGCAAAUAUGAUAUUUUUUAAUGCAUAGAAUUUAUCGAAUGCAUUAAGUAUAUUAAGUAUAUAUUAGUGAUGUAUCAUAUCAAGAAUAUCAAAUGCAUCGUGUGUAUAUUAAAUAUGUGUUAAGUGUAUAAAGUGUAUCUAUUUGUAUUUCUUUCUGUAAUCUCGUGGAUUGGUAUCGUGUUUUGCCAUUUUUGCAAAAAUAAUAUUUGUGAGCUAUAUUCCUAAAUUUUAAAACUUCAUUAACUUUUAAAUAUUAAUUCUACAAGUUUUAAUCAACCAUUUUAAUGUUUAAAAGUCUAUAAGAUACAUUUGCAUUUUUAUAUUAAAUAUUUAAUCCUACCCGUGUUAAAUAUUUUAUUACAUUUAUAAAGUAUUUUUUAAAGAAAUAUUUUUAAAUAAAACAAAAUAAGAUAACUUAUUUACAAAUAUAACAAUAUUUUAUUUUUAAUGUAUGAUAAACAAUGAUAAACUUCGAUAUAUAUCUAUCCUUUUUUUAGCAAUAGACACGAACAUAUAUUUAUUUAAGUUUUUCACAAUCCAUACUAAACAUAGAAAAUAAAAUUUUGCAAUAUUUGUUAAUGUUUUCUAACAAUUUACCAUUAAAAAGAAUUAUAUAUUUGUAGAAUGGAGGAAGUGUAAUAAAAGGUGAAAAUAUAAUUCUUUGUUUCGGUUGAAUUGUACUUUUUUUUCCAUUUUGGGAAUUAUCAAUAAUAGAGUUAAUCCUUAUAUUUGAAUUGCGCUUCAUUAAUUAAGUUAUGAUGUCAAUUAUUCUAUAGAUAUUAAAGGUUAUUCUCAAUAAUUUAAAAUAAUAAUGAUUUUAUAUCUGAAAACAGAUAUAAUUGCUUUUUCUUUUAUACUUGUAUCACCUAACCAAUAUUAUUGCAUGAAUAACUUUGUGAAAUUAAUUGGUAAAACAUAUAUAUAUUUAGAAUAUAUGGUUAUAGCCACAUAUAUAUUUAGAAAAUAAAAUUAGAAGAUUAUUGGAAAAUUAUCAAUAGACAUAGGGUUGGUUUGGAAUUGUUUUGAGUGAGUUCAAUGCAAUUGAUGUAUCCAAACUUUAACCAUUAUAUUUGGUAUGUUUGGUUAUAUAAUUAGAGAAAUUUAUUUAGGUGAUGAAAAUUUUGAAACUAUUUAUAAACUGUUGUAGGUGAAUUUUAGCCAAUUAAAAGAGAGUCUAUGGGAGCGCGUAAGUGAGCCUAGUGAUAGCUUAGUGGACUCAUGAAGUGAGUCUAGACGGCCUCAGUGGCAGUUCAAUGGACUCAUGUGGUGAACCUCAGUGAUCUCUGUUUACAUGAGGUUUCGAAGAAAUGUAAUUCGUGGAAUUGAAGUUUGUAUAUUGAUUAAUAUAGCGGAUACAAUCUCUAGUAUUUACUCAUUUGAUGUUUUCUCUCGAAUACAAGUUAAAACUUAGAACUUCUUGAUCUUUGGUAUUCGGGACGUUGUAGUUGCAAGUCAAUUUAAACUUCGAUCUUCUGAAAUCCAAGUAAAGUUUCAUAUUUCAAGUCUUCAAUCUUUCAGAAGUUGUUGAUCUCGAGGUUGAUACGAACUUGCACCUCUUGAGAGAUUUUAGAAGUUUAAGUCUUCAAUUCUUAAGUACUUCAGUACUCCGAAGCUUCAAUUCUUCCUUCAACAAAAGACCCCCUUAAAUGAGUGACAAAUGUCUCUAUUUAUAGAGAAAUUUCAUGGACUUUAGGUGGGCUUGGGCGUAAGCCCAUUUUCUUGUUGGGCUUGGACUUGGACUCAUUUGCUUGUUGGGCUUGAGCUUGGGCCCAUUUGUCUAUAGGGCUUGAACUUGGACUUGAGUCCAUUUUCUUAGCAGGCUUGGGCCCCCUUGUUUGGCUCAGUUUUUAUUAGGGACUUGCAUUGGGUUGGAUAUGAAAAAACUUGAUUACCCAAAAUCCAAUCAAAUUAUAAUCAUCACCAUUUUGUUGUGAUGACAUGAAAAAAUUUAAUUGGCCGAAAUUUCUUGCUCAACAAUCUCAGUGGUAGCUCGAUGUACCCUUAAAGUGAAAGUAAGCAAGGUUAAUAUAAAAUAUGCUCAUUUCGGUUAAGGAAUGAAUAAGUUAUGAUCUUCUCAAGUUGGAUCUUUGAAUCCGGAAAAUUCUUGGCAAAUUUGUGAAAGUUUGAUUUUUAUUCCUUGAGUAGGAAUCUUUGUAUGACAUCUUUAGUACGUCAUAUUAAUAUGGCAUAGAAGGAAAAUAAUAUUUUAACGUUCUAAUGCUCGGUUAUGGUUUGUUUAUUAGGUCAAGAAAAAAUAGACCAAGUCUACAGACGGAGGUUCUCGCCAAGACUGCAGUAACAAAAAGAAUUUCAAUAGUGAUUUCCAAACUUGUUUCCUAGCCAAAUUGUUUUAACAUACUUUGAGUUUAUUUAUUUCUCUCAUCAAGUCCCUCUAUUUCCAUUUCAUCUUGUUUCCUUCUUUGUGUCAUGGUCAUCAGCAUCAUCAGACGUGUUUGAUGAUUUGUAUAAAUAUAAGUUAUUGCAGCCUUUUCUGUAAAAUAAUGAAGUCUUAUAGCAUAAGAAUAAAAACAAAAGGAAAAAGUAUAUACUUCGAUUAACUUGUAUAGCGCAUCCCGUAAAAGAACUUUGUCCCUGUUUUAUCGCGCUUUUAGUUUUCUUUAUCGCAAGAUAUAAGCAAAAAAAAAAAAGAGCUCGAUGAUAGAAGGCUACACUAGGAGAAGCAUCCAACCAAUGCGAUGACAAGCAACUAAGCUAGGUGAUCUGAUGCACUAGCAGAAAAAAUUGAUUUGACGUGUAUUAUCAGAAAAAGGACGAAAGGUCGUAUAUGCCGCGCUGAUACAUCCUAUCAGAGACAUUAAUGAAGCAUGAGCUGCCUAGUCACAUCAGUCCUCACAUAUAAGUAGAGGUUUGAUAUACUUCAGAGAAUAGGUGUGUAAUAUUGGCGGGAGAGCAAGUUCAUGUCAUCCAUCCUUUCUUCAUCCCUUGAGUUUUAGGUGAGAGUUAGAACAAAAAGAGAGAGAGAAAGUUCUUCCCCACAACAUUUUCCACUCUUAGUCAUGCGAAGGGAAGGAGAGAGAUAAGUUAGAUACUCCUUUUUAUAAGACAGUUAUUUGACGUUCAAACCUCUCCUUCUUCAUCUUUUUGAGUAUUUUUUAGCUUUUAGCAUCUCUCCGGCUUUGAAAACAAGUUCAAUAUCCUGGAGGGCUGAUCGUCUUAAGCCUUAAUCCAAGAACGGUUACGUGGACAACUGAAGGGCUUGAUGCAUUUCUCUCUAUCCUACUUUUUGUUUUUAUUGUAUUACUAUGUAAAAUGCACUCUAUGGUCGAAUGGCCUAAAUUUUUAUUUAUAAUAGUAAUGCAUUUCUUCUUCCAUUCUCCCAUAUUUCUUUUAUUAUGGAGAAGUCACGACGUCAAUUAUUCUAUAGAUAUUAACGGUUAUUCUCAAUAAUUUAAAAUAAUAAUGAUUUUAUAUAUGAAAAUAGAUAUAAUUGCCUUUUCUUUUAUACUUGUAUCACCUAACAAAUAUUAUUGCAGGGCGCCCGAGAUGAAAUUAAUGGGUAAAACACAUAUAUAUUUAAAACAUUCGGUCAUAGCCGCAUAUAUACCUAGAAAAUAAAAUUAGAAGAUUGAAAAAUUACUAAUAGACAUAGGGUUUUGGUUUGGAAUUGUUUUGGGUGAGUCAAAUGCAAUUGAUCUAUCAAAACUUCGACCAUUAUAUUUUGUAUGUUUGGUUAUAUAAUUAGAGAAAUUUAAUUAAAUUAUGAAACUUUUGAAAAUAUUUAUAAAUGUUGUGGAUGAAUUUUAGCCUACACAAGGAGAACCUAUGGAAGAGCCUAAGUAAGCUUAGUAACAGCUCGAUGGAUACAUGAGGUGAAUUUACGAUCUCAAUGGUAGUUUGGUGGACUCAUGAGGUGAACGUAAGUGAUCUCAAUGGUAGCUCGAUGGACCCAUGAGGUGAAACUAGGUGAGUUUGAUAUAAAAUAUAAAAUAUUUUGGUUAAGAAAUGAACAAGUUAUGAGCUUCUCAACUUAGGUCUUUGAAUAUGAAAAUUUUUGGGCAAAAUUGUGAAAGUUUGAUUUUGUUCCUUAAAGUUGGAAUCUUUGUAUGACAUCUUUAGUACGUCAUAUUAAGUAUAGCAUACAAGGACAAGAAUAUUUAGGGUUCUGAUACUCAGUUAUGUUUUGUUUGACAAGUAAAAAAGGAAAUAGACCAAGUCUACAGACCGAGGUUCUAGCCAAGACUGUGAGUGUAACAAAAACAAAUUUUGAUAGAGAUUUCUAAACUUGACUACUAGCCAUAUUGUUUGAACAUACUUUAAGUUUAUUUGUUUGAGAUGCAUCGCAAUUUAGCAAGCUAUUUUAAAAGUAUAUGAUUUAAAUAACUUAUAAAGUUUAAUUAAACAUACAUUGUUUAAAAUGAUUUCUCGUAAAUGAGUUUAUAGUUUUGAGUAUAUGAGUUUGUAAGAGUUUUAGCAAAGCAUGAGUUAUAAAUUUAUAGUUUGCCAAGAGUAGAGAAUUUGCAAACAUGUAGUGUUUAUGUUUUCCAUAAAAAGAAAGUUUAUAGUUUUAAAGCAUGUUUUAUUCUAAAUCAACACAUAUUGUACCUUGAAAGGGCAAGAUUAUUACACACAUAUAUAUAUAUUUGAAACAAGGACUCCUAUCUUAGAGUUUUGAUCGUUAUAAUUGAGAUUAUUCUACUAUCGAAUUAGAGGUGGAUUUGGCAUUGAUUUAAAUCUGGGAGUUUGGCUAGAGAUCAGCUCGGGUAAAUGGUAACUGGCGCGUGUGGCUCAAUCUGGGAGUUUGGCUUGCGACGGUAGCUUGCAAAAGAUAAUGAACAGAGGUGGAGAUGUCAUCAGAGUCUGAUUUCAUACAAUGGAGAAACAUCGAGACCGAUCUUCAGUUUCGAUUUGUUCCAGUUCGGGACACACGACCCGAAGGAGAAUCACUUUGCGCUUAAACUUGGCGGAAAAGCUCGGUCGACAACGACACUUUGCGGGUCUACUUGAUGCGAUGAAAAACGUCUUGAACGGAGCAUCGCUCGACGGUGAACGAAGGCAGUUAGAGGCGGCAACGGCUAGGGUUCUUUGAAGGAAGAAGAAGGUGAAUAGUUUGGCACGUUUCAUGAGAUGAGUUCUUAAUAUAAACAAUAAUAUUAUUAAUAACAAUUAUGAACCGGAGCACUUGCAAAAAUAGUAAAAUAAGUUGUAAUAAUUAAGUCUAUCUCACACACAUUUUAUUAUUUAUAAAAAUGGCAAAAAUGAAGUCCAACUCACACAUCAAGAGGUAUAAUGUCACAAAUGCCCUUGUUACUAGUAUACGUUUGAUACACCUUAUAUACGUCUGAUACACCAGAUACACCAAUUGAUAUACUCGAUAAAUUUGAUUGAUAUACUUGAUGCACCUGAUACUCUUUGAUACACUUAAUACCGAAACAUUACUAAUAUAUGUUUGAUACACCUGAUACAGUGCAAAUACAUUUUGUAUUAUUCACCUAUUUUUUAAAGGAGGAAAAAUUCGGAUGGAUAUUAUUACGACCAAUUCAUGGUACUGUUUUCAUCGCUACAAGUUUAUGACAAAGUGGGUGUCCUUCGACAUUAACGAGUUAAUCCUACUAAUUUUAAUGAUCCUACUAAUGAAGACAUCAAGUCGUAAAAAAUAAAAAGGCGGAUUGUAGAGUUAUUAAAAUCUAGUUGUUUAAAUUGUUAGAGUUAGUUCUAUGUUUAUUUCACAACACUGUAUUUAAUUUGUAAACUAAAGACAUAUUUGAUUAGUAUGUUAGGAUCAAAACAAAAAAAGUAGGCAAAAACUUGAAUAUCAUAUCUUGACAACACAUAUCAUAAGCUUAAAAAGUAAUAUAUUAUAUGUAUUAAUAAUGGAGCUUCAUCAAUUUUACAUAUAGAUGACAAUUAUUUAAUGGAAGAUGUGUGAUUAAAAUACAUAAAUAGAGUGGCAUAAUACUAAGAAUAUUAAAGUGAUUAUUCCAUAUAGAUGGCUUCAAAAUAAAAACACACAAUCGACAAUGUCAUAAUGCCUUAGCUAUUGUGAAGCUCGUAUACGAACAAAAAGCUUGUCAUUUAAGGUGAGAUUCCAUGUCUUUGGUCAUGCCAUUCAUGAUCUCAAUGUAUUUGUAUGGAUAAGGAGAGCUGUGAUUGAGUUUCUCAUAUUCUAUGGUUAGAAUGGCCAAGCAAUGAUUGGGAUCAUCACCUUUUGGCACAAACUGAUAAAUUGGGAUGAACUUUUUAUAGUACUUGAAUGCACUUCCCUCUAAUCCAAUUAGUGUUACUUUUCGAUUCACAUCAUCAAAUUCCACUUGCUCUUUCAAAACCUCGGGUUUACCAUCUUAACACAAAAGAAAAAGAAAAAAAUUAGGAUAUGAUAUAUAUUGUGUGUGGAGCCGAUCAUAUAUUCAUUCAACAAAUAAAAGAAAAUGAAAUGCAUCGUUUAAGAUUUUUAAAAUAUAAAAAUAAAAAUUAAUAGAAUGAAAGCAAAAGUACAAAUGGAGAAAUAAGAAAUGAAUGGAUUGUUGUUGAAGGUUUAUACAGAUACGUACCAGCAAAGUAGUUCCAAAUUUUGAUAGAGCCAUGACCAUGAGUGUCCCAAUCACCAUCAUGAACAUCGACUUGUUGAAUGAAUUUUGGUGUAAUAUUUGGCAUAUGCUUACAGUUAUCUUUGAAGAUUUUGUAGCAUUUUUCUGCAGAUGCAUUUACUGGUAAUUCACUCACAAGUUUCCCACCAAGAGACAUUGUUUCGCUUUCGAUAGAAUGCUUUGCUACAAUGUCCAAUGGCUUACCCUUCUUAUAGGAAUUUCCAAGGUACAAUUUAUACACAUCAUUCAAGUUAAUUUAUUGUUAUGGUGAGUAAUGCCAAAUAGAACUUAUGCCUCAUUUAUGUCAAACCAUCUCAUUAAUAAUUUUGAAUUUCACGCGUAAUAAAAAAUAUUAAUAUUAGAUUAGUUUAUUAGUAUAAAUUUUCAUCAAUUAACUAGUAUUUCUAUAGAUUUAAUAUAGAUACGAAGAGUGAAUAGAUAUUUCAAUAAUCCUACUGAAAAAAUAAAAUAAAAUGUUCAUUCAGUUUAGAUAUAAUUUUACUAAUUUAAAUUAUUUUUUUCAAAAAUAUUUAUUGAAAUUCACUCCUUUUCCAUAUUUUUAUUUAAUUGAAACUCAAUAUUUCCGUCAAGAAUGAUGUCAAAGUGGUUGGGCAAUUACAUAUAUUUUAUGCAAUUUACCCGAUUGUUCAAUUGUAGUUGGUCACUUGCAUCCUUAUAAUUAUUUAAAUAGGGUUUUUUGUGUGUACGUUGAUAGUUAUAAACGUAGUCUAGCAAACAUUUAAAUCUGAUUAUAAAACAUAAAAUUAUUCAAUCUCUAAUAAAAAAGUCAUCACCAAUAACAUAUCGAUGGUCCAUAAAUAAUAUACAUAAAAUGGUUAACCAUAAAAAUGACAAUUGAGUAAUAUAAUAUAAAGAAAGUAUUUGUCAGUGAAUAGAAUAUGUUUUAACAGUGAUAGAUCUAUCAUUCAGAUAUAAGUAUUAGAAUACUUAUGUAUGUUUGAAUUAAAUUUUCAAUUUUUAAAUUUAAAAAUAAAUUAUUUUCAAAAAAUAAACCGUUUGAAAACUACUCAUAUUUUUUAAGUGUAUUUUAAACAUUUUUCACCAAAAUAAGAUAACUUAUUCAUAAAUGUAACAAAGUUUUAUUUUGUAUGCAUGAGACAAUGAAAGACUUAGAUAUACAUCUAUCACGUCUUUUCUUUUAACAAAUAGAUACUCACAUAUAUCUAUUUAAGUCUUUCACAUCCAUCUAAACAUAGAAAAUAAUUUUUUUUAAUAUUUGUUAAUAUUUUCUAACGAUUUAUCAUUUAAAAAAAAUGGUAUAUUAAUGGAGUGGAGAAGUGUAAUGAAAGAUAGAAAAUAUAAUUUAUUGUUUAAGUUGAAUUGCACUGUUUUUUUUCCUUUUUGGGAAUUAUCAAUAAUAUUGUUAUUCCUUAUAUUUGAAUUGUGCUUCAUUAAUUAAGUCAUGAUGUCAAUUAUUCUAUAGAUAUUAAAGGUUAUUCUCAAUAAUUUAAAAUAAUAAUAAUUUUAUAUCUCAAAACAGAUAUAAUUGCCUUUUCUUUUAUACUUGUAUCACCUAACCAAUAUUAUUUGCAUGAAUAACUUUGUGAUAUUAAUUGGUAAAACAUAUAUGUAUUUAGAACAUAAGGUUAUAGCCACAUGUAUAUUUAGAAAAUAAAAUUAAUUAGAAGAUUAUAGAAAAAUUAUCAAUAGACAUAGGGUUGGUUUGGAAUUGUUUUGAGUGAGUUCAAUAUAAUGCAAUUGAUGUAUCCAAACUUUAACCAUUAUAUUUUGUAUGUUUGGUUAUAUAAUUAGAGAAAUUUAUUUAAGUGAUGAAACUUUUAAAAAUAUUUAUAAACUGUUGUAGGUGAAUUUUAGCCAACUCAAAGAGAGUUUAUGGGAGAGCCUAAGUGAGCCUAGCGUCCAUGGAUUGAGUCUAGAGGUUGUUCAAGAUUCAUGAAGUGAACCUCAAUGAUCUCAGUGGUAGUUCGAUGUACUCUUGAAGUGAAAGUAAGCAAGGUUAAUAUAAAAUACGCUCAUUUUGGUUAAUGAAUGAAUAAGUUAUGACAUUCUCAAGUUGGGUCUUUGAAUCCGGAAAUUUCUUGGCAAAUUGUGAAAGUUUGAUUUUUAUUCCUUAUGUAGGAAUCUUUGUAUGACAUCUUUAGUACGUCAUAUUAAGUAUGGCAUAGAAGGAAAAGAAUUUUUUAAGGUUCUAGUACUCGGUUAUGGUUUGUUUGACAAGUAAAAAAGAAAAUACACUAAGUCUAUAGAUCGAGGUUCUAGCUAAGACUGUGAGCGUAACAAAAACGAAUUUCAAUAGAGAUUUCUAAACUUGACUACUAGCCAAAUUGGUUUAACAUGCUUUAAAUUUACUUGUUUGAGAUGCAUCCCAAUUUAGUAAAUAGUUUAUAAAGUUUAAUUAAACAUACAUUGUUGAGAAUGAUUUCUAGUAAAUGAACUUAUAGUUUGAGUAAAUGAGUUUAGAAUUGAAUUUUGAGUAGAUGAGCUUGUAAGAGUUUUAGCAAAGCAUGGGUUAUGAUUUUAUAGUUUGACACGAGUAGAGGAUUUCCAAAUACGUAGAGUUUAUGUUUUUCAUAAAAGGAAAGUCUAUAGUUUUAAAGCAUGUUUUAUUCUAAACCAAGACAUAUUGUAUCUUAAAAGCGCAAGAUUAUUACACAGAGGAUAUAUAUAUAUAUAUUGAAACAAUGACUCCUAUCUUAGAGGUUUGAUCAUUAUAAUUGAGAUUACUCUACUAUCAAAUUAGAUGUGGAUUUGGCAUUGAAUUAGCUCUGUCAUUUUCAAGGGAUUUGUUUAUGGUAUACAGAGGAAAACUAGUUUGAGUAUCUACUUAAAAUGCUUUGCAAAGAUUAAAUUAUUUAGUGUGAUUUAUUGAGUUAAACUAUUUAUAAAUGUAUUGAUGAGUUUGUUACUUAAAUGUUUAUAACAUGAUUUGUUUUAGAAAUCUAGUCACUCAUUAGACUUUAUAGUUCACCCUUUCAAAAUGUUUUCUCACUUUUCAGAUAGAGAUCGAGUUAUCGGCGGUUGACACUCUGCCACAGUCUAUUAUAAGGUCUCAGUUUUAUUUCCAAUGUGUGGGUAGAGUACUUCUGCUUAAGAGUAUGUAUAGUUCCCUAAGUUUGAGUUUUGUAAAUACUAGUGGGGUAGUGGGUGUUAGUCUUGUAAAUUGUUAUACUUUGGUUGUAAAUAUCUUUAGCAAGUUUUGCAUAUAUCUUGAUGAGUUUUAGUUUGGGCUACACUAUUGAAUAAGAAAUUUUGGGCGAAUCACAAAUUGCCACGUCAUUUACUAAAUUAAUCAUGAAAAAAAUACAAAUAAUUAAAUUUGGGACUAAUUAAAAAAUUGGCAUGAAUGUCCUAAAUUAAAAUUGAAGACAUAGAUUGGCCAAUUCUGGUGAUGUCACAUAUUUUCAUUAUGACCGUUGGAUCAAGUUAUUUAUUUUGAUCUAAUUAAAUAUUAUUUACUUAAACUAAAGUUCAAUUGAGCCAAGAAAAAUAAUAUUAAUUUAGUCCAAAGGCUAAAUAUGACCUAAAUUCAUGUGGUUGAGCCCAUGGUUUCGAGUCCAUGGACCAACCAGGCCAAGCCCAUAAAGUCCGUUAAAGAACUCUAUAAAGUCCGUCAAUAGUGUUGUUCUCUUCAUUUGUGCGGUGGGAAAAUUUUGAGAUCAAAAGGUCUAAAGAGAAUUCUCCUAAGAGUCAGAAGACACCUAACUCUUGAAGUCGACCACCCUAAAAAGUUGAAGUUUCUUUGAAAAUACAAGUUUUCUUUCAAAACUCCAACUUUAAGAACGCCACGUGCUCCGUUUUCUCAAAUCAAGCGUAGGCAACCAACCGAGAGAGAAUCAAAGAAUCAAAUACCAAAGAUCGAACAACAUUUGUAUCAAAUGAACACAAAUACAAUAUCAACACAAGUUCAACUCUAAGAAUUAAAUUUCUCUAGAAAUUUCGUGUGAACAAAUUGGCACACCCAGUGGGACCUCUCUACCUCUCAUCUCUCUCUCGUCAUCCAAAUCUACAAGCAAACAAUGACAUCAUAGAAAGUUACAUCCAAAGCAACUACUGCAAAUGAUGCUUACACUAGACUUCUCACCUAGAGUCACUCAAAGGGGAGCAUGCAAGAACAAGAACAAAGUUCAGUCCUCACAAAGAAAAGUUGGGAAGAACUGAUAGAAUCUCCUAAACGCAAGAUCAUCAUAAGAGCAAAUCCCCUGUUCAACAACUCUACUCUUUCUUUCGAUCUACCAGAGAAAGAAUCAAACCUUAAAGUAGUGUCUGUCAUGAUGGCUAUGUAACAGUCAAGGCCAGCCAUCAUGACGAAGAUGGAGAGAAAAAUAAAUUUCUUAAUGAAAGCUAUCAGGGAGUGAGAUCAUGAAGUCGUUGACUUGAAAGAUCAAAUGAAGGCUUGUGAAACUGAUGAGUCAAGUAAAACUCCUGCUUCAAAGCAAAAGAUAAAAAAAAAGUUGUGUUGCAGGAAAACCAGACGCAAUAGUCCAUCGCUGUCACCUCCCUAUCAAUUUAACGAUUGAAAUAUGAUAACAAGCGCCAUAAGAACUCAAUAUGGAGGACCGCCACAAACUUAUUUUAUGUACUCCAAGUCAUAUACCAAGGGAAUCAAUGACAUGUGAAUGUCUGUUGGGUACCAACCUACAAAAUUCUAACAAUUCGACGGAAAAGGCAAUCCAAAGCAACACAUUACUCACUUUGUUGAAACAUGCGAGAACAUAAGAUCAAGGGGAGACCAACUAGUCAGGUAGUUCAUUCAAAGUUUGAAAGAAAAGGCUUUCAAGUGGUAUACCGAUCUGGAGCCAGAAAUCAUUGAUAGUUGGAAAACAACUGGAAAAGAAGUUUUUAAACCGAUUCUACAUGAGUACCAGGCACAUCGUACGCAUGUUGGAGUUGACAAACACCAAACAGUGGAAGGGAGAGCCAGUCAUCGACUACAUAAACCCAUGGAGAGCUCUAAGCCUACAUUGCAAAGACCAGGUUCACAGAACUGCGUGUAAUGGAGAUGUGCAACCAAGAAAUGCAUUGGGAACUUCUCUAUAUUUUGCAGGAAAUAAAACUCCACACGUUUGAAUUGUUGGCAACUUGUGCUCAUGAUAUGGAACUAAGUAUUCCCAACAAGGGAGCAAAAGGUUUCUUGGUUUACGAAAUGAGGAAUGAUGAGAAUGAAAUCAAUGAUAUUGAAAAGAUUGGGAGUAGUGUCACAAAAUAGUCUAUGGUUGUUCAUGAGACUUCAUUGAAAUCUUUCUCCAAAAGAGAAUAAACAAAAAUAGAAAGAAAACAUGAUGGUGAAGAGAAGCAUCGCCCCAACUCGUAAAGAAAGGCAGAAAAAAGUUUAUCUAUGUUCCGACUCUGAUGUUGCACACAUGUUAAAGUAGUUGCUAGAGUAGUUGCUAAAUGAUCAACUUAUUCAAAUAAAUAGUUUAAAUAAAAUGAGUUUUUUCUUUUAAAUUUCUUUUUCAGUCAAUCCAAAUAAUUCUCAAAUCUACCCCUUAAAAUGAGCAACAAAAAAAAAAAUAAAAAACAUAUAUUUAAAUCCAAAAUUUGUCCGCUAAAUAUAACAUACCCUUAAAAUUUUAAAUUAUGUAUAAUCAUGUAUUUAUUUAUGUGUCAAAUAUAUUCAAAUUUUUAAGUCUUUCAAAUUUAUUUUCUUCAAAUUUUACUCGAUUACGAAGAUUCAUAUUUUUUUCAUAAAUAAAAAAAAAGAUAAAACAAAGAUGAAAAAGAAAGUUUUAUUUUGUUCAUUUAUUUUUAUUCUUUGAAUCAAAAUGUACCGCUUCUCAUUUUUUAAUUGAGGAAACAAAAUAUUUUUUUUUUUUUCUUUUACAUAUAAGAAAAAGAAAUUAUAUAUAAUUUUUCUCAAAACAAUAACAAAUUUCCCUAAAUACUUUGAUUUAAAAAAUUAUUAUUUAAUACAUCACAUUAUAAACAAACUUUUAUAAGGGGCUGAUUUUGUUCCAUCUAACUAAUUCAAAUUAUUUCUAUCUUUAAUUUAUUUAACUCGUCAUCCAAAAACUAUUACAAUAAUUUUAAAAAUAUUUUAAAAUAGAAGUAAAAGUAGAAGUUUGAUUUUCGUAAUUUUGAAAACUAAAAUUAAAGAAAAAUAGAUGUUUGUUAUUAUUUAAACAUUUAUUUUAAAUAAAUAUUAAUGAAGAUUUUUUGUGUGGUUUAGAUGAGGUACACAAUUAAGUGGUCAAUAAAGAUGUGAAAGAACUAACUAAAGAAAGAUAAUGCAAAAAAAAAAAAAAAGAGAGAGAGAGUGUGUGCUUUUCCAUUUUUUUUAACUUCAUAGAUAAAAAAAUAAUUGAAAAUGUGAAAAUCCUCAAUCAAUGAUUUCAUAUCGGUCAAACGUGUGGACUGGCAUAAAAUGCCAAACCAAUCCAAGAACAAUAACUCCUCUUUUUUGUUAUUUAAGAUUUUGCUAUAUUUAUAGAUAUCUUUAUUUUUUUUGUUAUUUAAAACCAUUUUUGUUUUAAGGGAUUGCAUAGAAAAUUAAAAGAAAAAAAAAAUCAAACAUCUAUAUUGGGUUUAUAUUGCUUUAUUCAUUUAUGCUUUGUAAUGACAGUUAACAAAGUAUGAAGACAAACAAUUCGUAAUGUUGAAAUAUAUUUUAUAACGAAAAAAUCUACUACACUUGAUUAUUUCUGGUCGAAUAAACGUACUUAUAAUUUUAUACUUUUAGAUAACUUAUAUCGUUAAGUUAAAUACUUAGGAUUUAUUUACUUUGAACUCACUCGUGCUCGUGACACCUUUUCUAUUGUAUUUGUUUAUUUAUUUUUAUGGAAAAUCUUACUUUUGUUUAGAAUAUACCAAAAGAUUUUAACAAAAUUCUAUAAUAAUUAUUACAUUAUUAUUCAUGUGUGUUUAUUUGUAAUCAUACAAAAAAAUUCACUCUUGAAAUUUGAUAUUUUUUAAAGGUAAUUUUAAUUUUGUUAAGAGCAUCCCAACAAAUUUUAAUGAAAAUUUAAAAGAAGUAUUAACAUUAUUUGUGUUUGUUAAUUUAUUUUGUCAACUAUUCAAAUAUUUCUAAAAUUGAUUUAUUUUUUUAAAAUGAGUAGAAUUUAAUUUUUAAGAAAAAAUUAUAUGAAAAAAAUUAAGAAAGAAUACAAAAUUUAUAUGAAAAAAAAAAGAAGAAAAAGCAAUUGGAUAAAAAUGUAUACAAAUAAUUGAAAGAAAAAAAAAGACAAUAAAAUUUAUAUGAAAAACAAAGAAAUUAAAAAAAAAAAAUGGAAGACUCGCCCAAGGAGAGAGAAAAAAAUUACUACAUUUUCGUAAAUAGUUUUCAAACUGCUGUAUUUUGGUAAAAACUUUUAACAAUAACAAUAUUUUAGUUAUUAAUCCGGUUUUUGUCUUUUAGUUUAAUAAUUGGUUUCACUAUCAACAAGGUGAGCUUGGUUGAGUCGGUGAAAAUUAAUAAUUCAACGUUCUGUCCAUCAACCAUACUAUUGAAGUUGAGUUGGUUAUAUUAAUUUAUAUCAACUUAUGUCAAUCCCUUUCAAUGUUUUCAAAUAUAAUAUAUGACAAUUUUACCAUAAACGACUAUCGCUACCACAAUUCGAUGGCAUAUAUUGAUGACCAACAAUUCUCGUGCCAACUUUAGUAAUCAACUCUCAGCUUCAAAAACAAAUAUGAUGUUAAUCACCUGGUGAUUAACUAUGGUGAGAAUCAUCGUCUUUGAUUCCCAACAUUGAUAGUCAUCUCAAGAUACCAACGUAACUCUAGUGAAGUUUUGUAGCCAAGUUUGACAACCAUAUGAGGUAACAAAAUUGAAUCAUCAGCUCGUCAUUUUACGAACUGUCGUUGUAGAUAAAUUAUUGGUUAUGUAAAUAAUUACAUUACUUGUCUACACCAACUACAAUAAUUACAUGCAGAAAUUGUAAUGUAUAUCUUCACUUAUCGUGUUCAAAUCUAAGUGUUUAAAAUCUUGAAAAAUACAGGUAAUUUGAGGAAAAAAAAUGCUAUCGAUUUUAAGUUAAAAAAAAGAUAAAGAAAAAAAGAAAAAAAAAAACUCAAUUAUGCACUCUUAACUUCUAUAUUUUUUUUGAAAAAUUGUCCAAAAUAGAAAAUUUGACAAAAUGUUUACAAUAUAUAAUAAAAUUUUCAAAUUCUAUCAAUAAUAGACAUUGAUAUAACCACUAGUGAUAAGAGUCUAUUAGUGUCUAUCGUUUGAUAGCAUUCAGAAUUUUGCUAUAACUUGUAAAUAUUUUAAUUUAUUUUGUUAUUUUAAAAAAUGUUCCUAUUUUUUUCUCUAUAAAGCAUUACUUUUACCGAACAAAAAAAAAAAAAGGAAAAAAAAUUAUAACUUUUCUCAUAAAGUUAAUAGAAUAAUAGUACUUUUCUUGUCAUCUGUAUCACUUGUCAUAUCUACAUCAAUAUAUGCUUAGAGUUUAAAAUCAGAUCUUUUAAAGCGUCGAGCAUAAUCAGUUGUACCACUCAGAUAUCGAAAAAUCCACUUUACGGCUUCCAUGUGUUGUUUCCCUUAAUCACUCAUGUACAUCCUAGCCACUCCCAAAAAAUGUGCAAUGGAAUAAAUCAAAAUUUGCCUAUAGUUGAAGAAUAUGACACUCUCCCCAUAUGAUAUGUUUCUUGCCGAGAAGUUGGUGAGUUCUUAGAUAAUUUAAAGUGACAAACUAAGGGAGUACUCAAAAGUUUUGCAUUUUCCAUGUGAAAUCGAUUCAACAACUUUUUCACAUACUGUUCUUGUGACAGUGUCAAUGUACCAUCUUUCCUUUCAAUCUUCAUCCCUAAGAUUUGUUUAGUAGCACCUAAAUCUUUCAUAUCAAAUUGUUUAUUAAAUCAACUUUUAUCUUUAGAAUUUUCUAUUUAUAUGAACCUACUAUUAACGUGUCAUCAACAUAUAACAAUAAUAUAAAGUAACAAUAAUUUCUUGUCACUGUUAUUGACAUACAAAGUCCUCGACUUGCUUCAUCGACCAAUUACUAUGACCCCUUUUAUUACCCUUUUACUUUCCCUUAUCAAAGAAAACAUUGCAUCCUUAACUGUCUAAGCGUCCUGCGGAAACAAAUUUUCAACAUAUUUACUCUACAAGAAAAGUGGCCUAUUAUGAAAGUUGUAUACAUCUCAAAUUGAAAUGAGAGAAGAAAAAACUGUCAAAUGCCAAAAUCCGCGUUUUUUACGGGAAAAGAUAGGACAUUUUCGGAUUUCAAGAAUUUAUGACAGUUUUUUUGUGUUAUAAAUCUUUGAUAACUUUUAACUGUCAUGAAAUAAAAAUAAUAAAAGAAUAAAUAUUUAUUUUAAAUUAAAAAAAAACAAGGAAAGAAAAAAGGGGAACUUUGUUUUCCAUUUCCCCCAAUUUCACGAAGAAACCCCUUCUUCUUUCUUUUUCUUCCUCUUCCAAUCGCACGAUUCCCCUUCUCCAUCGCAUGUCGUCAAUUCCCCACAAUGGUCUCACACAGGUUGUCGAUUCCCCUCUUCCACUAGGCUCCUCCGUUCGGUGAUAACUCAAGGUGGUUAUUGCGGUAAAGGCUUCUCUGUCUGAUUCUUCUUUGCAACGUUCUUUUCUUCACAAUCAUCUCACUCAUAUCAAAACCCUCCUUCGUCCCCCAUCAUUGUGCCCUCUCUCAGCCACUGCCCUCUCACUCUCCAAAUCGCCGGUCAUCUCCUACCUUCGUUGUCGAUGGCGGUCUUUUAGGUAUUUAUGGAUCUAAUCUUUACUCUUUGUACUUUUCUUUGAGUAAGUCAUCCCAAAAAAGAUGGUUUUAUGGUAUUUGAGUAAAGCUUUACGCUAUUUGCUAAAUUGCAAAGUGGUUUCUCGACACAAAAUCCCAUGGUCGAAAUUUAAUAAGAAUAAAGUUCUUGCUCCUGCCGAUUUUUUCAAUUAAACUUGAAACUCAAUUCUCAACAUUGCAUCUAAGAUAUGUCCUUCACAAAUUUUUGUAUUUAUUCCUUAAUUUUUCUAGUUUUCUGGCCAAAAUGCCCAUAAUUUUUCUGAUGAAGUUUUCAUAUUCAAAACAUGUCAUUCUCAUCAUUUUUUUUGUUGAGUAAAAUGUUUGCUUCUAGAAAGGUAUGAACUCUUUUUCUAUGUUCAAAAUAAACUUACUUUUUAUAUAUAUCUUCUUUAUUCUCAUGACAUUAUCUGUUAAUCAGUCAAAAUAAAGUUGCUAUUUAUAUUUAAGGGUAUGAACUCUUUGAACAAUAUAAUAUGUCAUCAAAUUAAAUUAUGAAAGUUAAUGCAUUGAAUGGGUCUAUGUUUGCUAUUUUUUGAGGGUAUUACUUUUUUUUCAAUGCAUAUGCGUUGUUUGCUUUAUUGUCAACCAUGCAAACAUGCUUUAAUUUCACAUGUUGUUAAAUGAUCGAAGUUUUAAUUAAUUGGUAUCCUAUGAAUUUCUUUGAUUCAUUGCACUGUUGAGUAAAACUUGAUUAUUGAAUGUACAUGGAAGGAAAUCAUUUUAGAAUGUUAUUAUAAUGGAAUUCUGGUGAACUAGAUUUUACUUUGCUGGUUCUAAUUUUAUUAGUUAACUUUCUUUUGAGGUAGGGGAUGACCAUUUGAAUAAAAUUUUGAUUAGUCAAAACAUAAUCUUGAUUGUUUAUGAUUAGUUAACAUGUUUUUGCUUGGAGAAGGGGGAAUUGAAUAUGGUUUUAGAAAAUAUUGGCUUUUUGUUGAUACUUAAAUCAUAUUCUUAGUGAUGGUGCCAGUUCCUUCCCAUUUUCCUACUUCGCCUCUCUUGUGUGUGUGUUUACUUUGAUCAAUUAAUAUGGUACAUAUCUGGUGGUAUUUUAUUUAUGUUAGUGAUUUUGGGAUCUCACGCUUGAAGUCACAAGCAUUUCUUUCGUCAAAAUCACCUGUUGGGACUGUAAGUUAUUGUGUUUGUGGCAUUAUUCCACACAAUAACUGUAAGAUGUUUCGUGAGUCUGGACAUUUUAUUAACCUACAAAAAAGACUGCUUCCUAUUUAUAAGAUGUUUAUUUGUGCUUCACUACUUGUGUUCUUUAUGGUAGAGAAUUGUAUUGACUUUCAUGGGUAAAGGAAGGAAAACUUGCGAUCUUGAACAAUUAGAUAAAUCUAGUCUUCUUUCCAGAAUGCAAGUUUCUACUUCCAUCUACAAAGGUGUUACUGUUAGAGAGAAGUUUCUAAAAUUCCUACGUCCUUUCUAGUAUAUAUUUUGAUUAAUCAAGCCUACAGUUUCUCUGUAUAGAAUUGUCUUAGCUUUUAAAUGGUUGAGAACUUCUUAAGCAAUGGAUAUUAUAUAUUUCUUUAGAGAUGGCUUUCAAAUCAUUUUUAUGGUUAUUGAAACUGUAGGGAGGGAGGUUCUUUCAAUUUCUAGUGUUUAUAUUAGAACUCGUAGUUAUUGUUUAUGGUAAACCAUUAGAUCUGGCUUGUUCCUUGAAAAAGCUUUUGGCUAUUGAAAUUUGGCAAGACUGUCUUGUAUACAUAAAAGAUAGUUUGUAUUGUAAUUGUUCUUGAAAUAAUGAACGGAUACCACUAUUCUAAUUAUAUUUCAUACCACUACUAUUUUUUUUUUUUUUUUGUUCUUUCCCAGCUCCAUAACAUAACAUCACUCAAGUCUUGUGUGUAGUGAAUGCAACUAAUUAAAAUUAGGUGCUUGUCUUGCAAUCUUUUUACAUAUGCACUAUUUUCUAACAACACAAAUUGGGCAGAUUUUCAUUCGAUCCUACUGAAACAUUGGGGUUAAAUGUUGCGUUGUGCUUCUAUACAAUGUAUACUUUGAUUUCCUAAUUAAGGUAUAUUUUUCUUCACUAUCUUUUAGAGUUUUCAAAUCGAGAGAAAAAAUAAUUAAUUCGAUCAUGACAUUGGAGAAGGCUAAAGAGAUUGUGGCUUCUAAUCUCGUCAUGGUCUUCAGGUUUCUCUUUCGUUCUUUCUCUUGUAAGUAUUUUUUUCCUAAUGAUUUUUUCUGAUUGCAAAAGUGGUUGGUGUUUUUGUGUUCUUUACAGCAAGAGUUAUUGUCCAUUCUGCCGUCCAGGUGAAGAGAUUGUUGACUAAACUAGGAGUCAGUUUGAAGGCUAUUGAAUUGGACACUGAGAGUAUGUAAUAUAUGUUUCUGUGUUCUAUUGCUUGCGGAUUUAGGUUCCGUGACAAUUUCAUUGUUUUUCUUUUGUAGCCAAUCGGUGAAAUCAUGAUUACUUUGUGAUUUUCAGAUUUUGUAAUUUAACUUGUUUGUGUAUGUUUACAAAAAUAUUUAUUUUUUGAUGCAUAUUCUUGUUCUGAUUCUUUAAGAUAAAGGAAAACUUUCAAAAUGAGAACUCUAAGCAUUACUCUCUGAUAAAUAUUUGGAAUUUCACAAGAGUAAUUCAUUCUAACAUUUUUUACUAUUUUGUUUCUUUCAUAUGGUAUAUUGUUUUUCUUCGUAUUUGGAGACAUGUAAGUUUUAUCUAAUUAUGACAUAUGAUUAACUAAUAAAAAAACUUGUUCACAUAUCCACAUCCCAAUGUUCGCCCUCCCUCUCUCAAGAAGUUUAUAUAAUGAGGUUUGUUUAUAUUGUUAUUAACACCAUUCUAGAAUAUGAGUUUUAGGCUAAACAUGUAAUCAUCACAAAAAGGUUGGGCUUAGAUAUUUAUAUCUCCUUACGCUAGAUUCCAAGUGUUCAUUUUUUAUGCAAGAUACAACUACUUAGGAUAAGUAAUGCAUGAUGAAGUAUGUUACUAUUAUACUAAAGUCUGGUGUCUAAUUUUGCAAAAAAGUUCGACACAAAAAUGUUGUUUAAUUCAUUGGUGCUUGUACUAAACCUCCAAACCUCUGUAUUGUAACAAGUUGUGAUAAGUGAUAAGUAAAUGGCUUCAUAUGUAACGUUUCACUUCUAGAAACUUUGUUUCUUUCCUUUAUAAAAAGUCCUCUAUGAUUUGAAAUGCCCUCUCGUCGUGGUUAGAAUGUUUGAGUUGAAUCAUAUUGUGUAGUGUCAUUAUGCUUUAAAACAUUAUGGCGCGUGAAAGAUUAGUAUCACUCACCUGUGGAUUGUUUGGUAGGAAGUUUUGUGGGAUGAUUCUUCGUGGGUCACUAGAUGAUUGAUUUAGGUAUACAAACUUUCUGUUUUUGUUUGCUUGUGAAUUGAUUUUCUUUGAAACUGUUCUUUAGUCAUACUCUAAAAUAAGAUUUUAUUUUCUUACUAGGUUUGGAAGAAUCUAUUGGAGCAGUGAAGCUAACUUGGAGCAAGUGAUUGAUAUAAUAUUUUUUGUAUGAUUGGUAGCAAAAUAUUGAUUCCAAUGUACUGAUUUUAGGCUUGUUGGUAGCUAAAGAUGUCAAUGUUUAUUCUUUUUGUAUGUAAACUACCUUUUAACACAAAAUGGUUAUUAGUCAAUGGGUAUAUGAAUAUUACAAAGUGUAUUAUAGCGUAUAUAUAUUAAAGUGUCGACUAUUUGUUUCUAUAUGAGUGUGAUGUAUUAUAACAUUAUUGUCAUUCAAAUGGUUUGUGUAAUGGUGGAGCGACAAGAAGAACAUAGAAAAACUAUAGUGAUCGAAGAAUUUGCAACAAAAAAAAAUGUCAUAAUAUAUAAAUUCGUGACAUUCCUUAACUGUCGUUAAUAUUAAAACAAUGACAAUUUUUUUUAUUAAAAAACUGUCACAAUUGACAUAUAUUUGACAGAAAAAAUCGUCAUAAAAUAAGAAUUCGUGACAUUUUUUAACUAUCGUUAAUCUCGAAAAGAUGACAUUUAUUAUUAUAAAAACUGUCACGAUUGACAUAUCCUUCACAUUUAAAAAACGGUCAUAAUAAACAAAUUUGCGGCAUUUUUUUAACUGUCGUUAAUUUGCAAAUGAUGACAAUUAUUUGUUGUCAUAAUAGAAAAGAUGUCAGCAAGGUUAACCUUUAGCAUUUGCAAAUGAUGUCAAUAGAAAAAAUGUUUAUUCACGGGCAUUUGCAAAUGAUGACAAUUAUUUUUUUUAACUGUCGUUAAUUUGCAAAUGAUUUUAGGCUUGUUGGUAGCUAAAGAUGUCAGCAAGGUUGUCAUAAUAGUAGUUAACGACAUUUAUUUUCUGUCAUGAAAAAACUUAUUGCGACAGUUUUCGAAAACUAUCAUGGAAUGACUUUUCAUGACUCCCGAUACUAUAAUCGUAAAUAAUUGUCACACAUUUAGUUUGCGACAGAAAAUAACUGUCGUCAUAGACCAUUUUUGUUGUAGUGUUCCAACAUGACGGUACGUUGCAAAUUUUCCAAGUCAAACCAUUUGCCAAUUUUAAAUUCACAUCACUGAUCCCAAUGACAACCAAAGGUUCUCCAUCAAUAAGAUACACUUUUCCAUGAUUUCCUGCAACAUAAUUUUCUAGAACGUCACGUUGACGAGUAAUAUGAAAUGACACACUUGAAUCCAACAUCCAUGUGUCAUGAGAGCUUUGAACUGCCAAAGUCAGAGCAUCUUGAAUUUCAUCUAUAGCAAUAUUUGCACCAGCUUCAUUCUCCUCGCUCUCUUUUACAUCUUUGCAGUUCUUUUUCAAAUGUUCAGUCUUACCACAGUUCCAACAUUCAAACGCAGUCUCUGGACUUUCUUCUAUUCUUUCUUUUUGCUAUUACUCCUUCCUCUUUCCACUUUCAAUGCUGAACUAGAAGUGGAAGCAACACUUGAGUCUCUCUUUUGCAAGCGCAGAAUCUCUAACCUGUGAAAACUGCAAUUCACUUUACCACAUAAAUUAGAAAGUGCAGCUUUCAUGGUUUCCCAACUAUCAGCAAUGAUCUCAUUAACAAUAUAGCAUUCACUUCAUCACUAAACUCUAACUCAAGAGCAACUAAUUUGUUUAACAACAAAUCAAAUUCAUUUAAAGGGGGUGUGAUAGAUGUACCCUCCGCCAUUUUAAAUUAAAGAAUUUGAUUGCAAAAUUCGAUUGGUUGUUUACUGAAGCCUUCUCAUACAUGUUCGACAAAGCUGUCAUUGGUCCUGCUGUGGUCGUCUCCUUUUCUCUUUGUACAUUAUUCGUCAAAGUCAAGAGAACGGUCCCUAGCACCUUUCCGUCCCGUUCUCUAUUACCAAUGCAAGUUCCACUAAAAUAGUCAGAGAGAAUAGUACAAGAGUUUACAAUGCUUCAAAAUGAUUACUCUCACUUUUCUCUCUAGAAAAUACUCAUAUUACAGAGCUCAUAUAACUCUCCAUGGAAGAAAAAUAGCCACAGUAAACAACGCAAAAGGAAACUCAGUCGACAGUAUUUUUUUCUGGCAAAUACACAAACCCACAAAUAUGAGGAAGCUCUCGGGAACUCAUCCAUCUUCCACACACCAACCAUGUCAAUUUAAAGAGAAAUAUCCAUUUUCCAUAACAACACACCUCCACACCUCCAAUUUAGCCAAUCACAUCUAAUAAUUAGCUUGUUGGUUAAGCAUGCUUAAUGUGUAAGCAACAAAGAAAAUCAUGUGGGAUUUGAUCUUCACUGUAAAUGGGCUUGAUUUUGGGUUCCAGAUUUUCAAAUUAUCUGCCUCCCAAAAUUUAAUUUAUAGGAAUUUGAUUACGAACCAAAUGCCCGUGAAUGAAUGUAAUGAUGAAUUAACCUUGCUGACAACUCUCUAUUGAUCAUUUAUCUUAGGAUUUUGUUCAAUUUAUUUGGUUGCAUGUAGGUCUAUAUUUUUCCUGACACCAAGAAAAACAUAAAGAAAAACAAAUGUUGUCAGUUGUGUGUGAUAUUUGAGUGGAUAAUUUAUGUACAUUUUAGUAUGAUUUACAUUGGAUAUUCAUACAAACUAGUAGAAUGUAGCACCAUCGUUUUUUCAAUACCUAUAAAAUUUGUUUGUUUCAAGGGUCGAGAUUGGAUGAGUCAACCAUCCUAUGCGGAACCCUUGUUGUUUGACACAAGAGUUUAGGAAGCCCAAGACUUUCCACACCAAAUACUAUUCAAACCUAUGGAUUCCACUUUGUUUCUUUCUUAAUUUGAGGUAAGAACUUUGCAGGCCAACUUCAACCUCUAGUCAUCACGUUCGGCAAACUUUCUACCACCAACUCUGGCCGUCAUGGCCAUCGGCCAACUUCGAAAACUGUUUAUAAGAAUACUUUUAGCGUAUACAAUAAACCAAAUAAACAUGUUAAUAAAAAUAUUUCCAAAAACGAGUUGUCAAACACACGAUCUAUUCUUAUUUGAAAGAGUUUUUAUGAAAAGUGUCAAAAAUAAAAAUAUAUUUUUCAAAAACGUUUUUUUGUCUUAUAUUGUUAUUCCAAGCAUGCAUUUAUUUUAAUUACAAUAGUAUUUUUUAAAAUACACUUCCGUUUUCUUAAAAAAAUAAUUCUCUAGUUUUUUUAAUUAUUAAAAGUUUUGAAACAUCUACUAUUUCCUGUUGAGAUUUAAGAUGGAAAUAUUCAACAAAGUAUCAGUACUAUUGAGAAAAAAUGGUCUUGAGAUGCUACCUUUUGUUUACACAUCAAUUGGGGUUGUCCAUUUUCAUUUAAUAUGAGGAUGAAACCAAGUUUCCCCAUGAAAGGCUAUAAAUCAACAAUAUGAGUAUGAUUACAUUUCAAGAUGCAGAUUAUGUUGCAAAACGUCUAAUAUUCAUUGUUGCUCCAAAAGAGAAUAAACUUUUAAACGCGAGUCCUCCCAUUUUAUCAAAGACAGCUGGGGUAGUCUUUCUCUAUUCAAUAUACUUGGUCAAUCCAACUUUCCUUAUUGAAGUUUUAGUGUCAUCAGAUCAGAGCAAACCUGCACUUUUCAUACUAAAGGAUGUUCCUCUCAUUGGAGAUACUAGCCAAGAUGAUUAUAUUAACGACAACUUGGAGUUUUACAACUUAUUAAAACACUCUCCCAAUACAAUAACCAAUCCUUCCUAGAACUUGAUCCUAUAAUUAAGAUAUCAUUUCCAUCCUGGACCUUGAGAGGCAACUCAAACUCCUUACUACCUAGAGGGAAAACAAAACAUUAGAAAAGCAUGUGCUAAAAAGUCUAGUGAGUGCUAUUUUUGUAACAUCUUUAAUUUUAACUCUUAUUUCAAGUCCACUAGAAGUACGUAAAUAAUUGAAGGGGUAAGAGUCCUAGUAACGGAAAAAUUAAUUGAACCUAAACUAAAAUUAAUUGGAAACUUAAAAAUACCAUUGCAUUAGAAAAACAAUUACAUAAACAAAUUUAUAUGGCUAAGCAUGCUUUCAAAUUAAAUACAAAAAUUACAGAGAAGAACAGAAACGUAUCUCUACGACUAUGUAUUUGCCAAUCACCAAUUUUGGGGCAUCACCACUUGGAGACCUUCUUAUUCUUCGAGUUGAGAUUAGUUUGUGUGUGAACCAAAAAUGGAAAGAGAAUUUUUGUUAGAGAUAAUUUUUUUUGAGAGAAUACACAGAGGCAGAGGCAGAGUAUCGAUGAAAAACUUUAUCUCUCUUUGCCAUACAUUUAACUCCUUAAAGAAGAGGGAAGUUGGAGAGAAUAUGAAAGUAUUGGAAAACCACCGACGUUCGCUAUUAAUUUCAUAAAAUAAAUAAAUAAAUCAUAUUUAAUUAGUAUUUUAUUGAACUUAUAGUUGAAUGAACAUCUCUCAUAUAACCUAUGUAUAGUUUUAAUUUAAAAUCAAAUUAAACUAAUGAGUCUUUUAAAAAUCAGAAAAAAAAGAGACAAAAUAUUUACACCAUAUAAAAUAAUUUUGAAAAUGGAAAAAGUCCACAGGCCCACAAUGGAAAAUUCAAAAAAUGCACCGAUUAAUUGACAUCUGAACACGCGUAAUAUAUUUGGGAAACCAUCGUUUAGUAUUUGAGAAACAGUCGUUUAAGAUUUGCCUUCUCAAAUCUAAAUGAUCAAAUAUAAAUCGAAACGAUUUUUUAAUAAUUUAUUUUUGUAUACGAUUGUUUAGAUUGAUCGUUUAAAUUUGGGUUGUUCAAUCUCAACGAUUUUUUGAAAAACGAUUGUUUAUAUUUGGUACAUGAUCGUAGAUUUGGUACACGGUCAUUUAGAUUUGACCGUUUAGAUUUGAACAACCAAAUCUAAACGAUUUUUUUUAAGAUACUUUGCUACACGAUCGUUUAAAUUUGACUAUUUUUGUACACGAUCAUUUAGAUUCAAUAGUUUAAAUUUAGGAAGCCAAAUUGAAACGAUUUAGACUUGGCUUUCCAAUAUCCAACGAUUUUUUUCACAAUCUUUUAUAUUUGUCACACGAUCUAAACAACCAAACAAAAGUUUGAAAACAAAUAAAAAAAAUGAUAUUGUCUAAAACGACCUUAAACAUAUUGAUCAAUGCUUCCAAGUUCUCAAAAUCUUCAAUUUCUCAUAGAAACAAUAUGAAUAAUAUCAAGUUCAUGCUAAUACUAAAUGGAUUUUCAAGAACUAUGAGAGAACUCACUAAAUUUAUCUAAAACCUUAUUGAAAUCGCCUUGACAACACAUUAAUGGCUUUCUAAAUUUGAAUCUAAUACAAAAAACUAUUAUAUGUUUUGAGCUUAUGCAAGUAACCCCCAAGCGAAGUCCAAAGGUAAUGGAAAAUCUAUCUUCAUUCAUUAACAUUAAAUUCAAGGACCUAAGUAAGAUAGACAAUCUUAUCUAAAUGAAGCGAAACAAUAUGUUUACUUGGGUUAUUUAGGGUUGAACACAAGGAAGUAAUAUCAAAGCUUAGUUCUAGGGUCUACUUAUCAGCUAGGCAUUAUGACAAAUGAGUUAAAAGAAUAAAAAAAUAAUCAAAACUACCCAACUAUCCUAGAGAUGUUGUAAAGUUAAUUAAAAAAAAUGGUUGUGCAAUAAAGGAGUGAGUGAACUAACUUGUAUAGGGAAGGCGGUGAAGGAAUGUCUAAUACUACCAUGUGAAUAAGUUAUACGACCACCUCAACACGAUAUACCUCUCAUAACUAGUUUAUGAUUAAAGCAUGCUCAUUUUGGUCUCCUUUUGAAAUCUAAAUGACUAAACCUAGCUAAGCGAGUUGUAUCUUGUAGUGUUCACUUAUAAUACUUGGAGUUCUUUCCAUUUGAGAAUGACAACCUCUCAGCGCCUGGUGUCCACACUUGUUCACCUUUCGAAGUACAAAUGAAGGAAGUCAUCUCGCCAAAGUUGAGAAAACUCUUCCUUUCUUGUGUUAUAGCCACGUCCUUACUACUUACCCUCUCUGGCAGUUAGCAACAUACAUUGGCCAAAUGUAGAAUGUAGCUCAGCUAACGCAACAAGCAUUAUAAGCAAGACUACUUGUUAAAUAUGAAUCAUAAACCUAAACUACAAAUAACAUACAGACAGAUGAAUAGUAAAAAGAUGAAUAGAUUAAAAAGUGUAAAACAUACAAUGUAUUAAAGAAUGUAGGCCUUUGGCCACUAUACUGUUGGGAUUUAUGUCCCAAAACUCGUAGAUUGUAAAUAUAAUCCAUUGUCUGUUGUUAAUAAAGUGUUAUUAUUGUAAUAGUUAUUAUUGAUUAUAUUAUUAGUUUUAUCUUAAUAAUCCAAAUCCAAUAAACGAACAUCCGAAGCUGUUUAUGAGUCUUGAAUAGUAUGUAGAGAUAUACAUGGAUAAUUGUUUGAGAUCAGCUUAAAGGGUCUAUAUUAUAGGGAUAAGGUUGGGUACCUUAUCCUGGUAACAUUACAGAUACGACUCACUUUGUAUUUGAUACAAAUGCAAUGAUCCAACGCGUUCGUGUAGUUGACAUGAGAGUGAGGGUAUUACAAGCACUUUAAGAGAGAGUGUCCAUAGUUGAAGGCAUAAAUGCAGAGUGACCAGAGGGUCGAGUCCCUGUCAGUAAAGCAGCUGAUAGCUUCAGAAGCUUGAGGAUAGGAGACUAGUGGGUUAAAGAAAAAGGGAUUUGUGGAAAGGCAUCGCUAACUGGGCACAGUGUAUGCCAUGACUUAACAAGUGAGGCAGAAGACAUGUGAGAUGCCAUUACUAGUACAAUUCUCAUCUGUUAGUUUCUCGCUUAAGUCUUAUUUGAUCUAGGUGUUAUGCAUUCUUUUGUGUCUAGCAUUGUUUAUGAGUAGGUUGGGUAAGAAGUUAGAGCCUUUAGUGGAAGAGUUAAAUAUGUAUAACACAAUGGGUGAUGCAAUGGUAGUUACUCAAGCGCGUUGCGAGGUGUGAAGUGUUAGUGGAAAGUAUCAGCUUGCCAAUGGACAUUUUUCCACUUGAAUUACAAGAGUUAGAUGUGGUACUUGGAAUCAAUUUCCUAUAUGCACAUUUUGCUUCUAUGGAUUGGAACAUGAAAGUAGUAGUUUUCAUAAAACUAGGAUUUCCAAAAGUUGUGUUCAAAGGCCUACAAAAAGUUGUUUCAAUUAGUUUAAGCUCAGUUUUGAAAGCUAAGAAGUUAUUAAGGAAAGGGUGCCCAACAUUUCUUGCACAUGUGUUAAUAGUGCAACAAGAGAAGUUAAGGCCAGAGGAUGUUUUAGUGUGAGAGACUACAUGUAUAUGUUUCUAGAGGAAAUAUCAGGAUUGCCACUUGAUAGAGAAAUAGAAUUUAUCAUUGAGUUGUCGCCAAGGAUAACACCCCUCUCACAAGCACCUUAUAGGAUGGCUUUGAGGGAGCUAAGUGAACUAAAAGAACAACUUCAAGUGUUGGUUGACAAUAGAUAAAUUGGAUCUAGUGUAUCACCUUGGGGAGCAUCAAUUUUGUUUGUCAAGAAGAAUGACACUCUAAGGUUGUGCAUAGACUACUGAUAGCUGUAUAAGGUCACAAUACCUAAUGAGUAUCUCCUACCACGUAUCAAUGAUCUGUUUGACCAGUCAAGAGGUACAAUAGUAUUUUCCAAGAUUAACUUAAGAUCAAGCUAUCAUGAGUUAAAGGUCAAGGAGUCAGAUAUUCCUUAAAUAACUUUGAGGACAGGGUAUGGCCAUUAUGAGUUCUUAGUGAUGCCAUUUGGUCUGACGAAUGCGCUGAUAGUGUUCAUGGAUCUCAUGAAUCAUGUUUCCAUCUGUAUUUGGCCCAGUUUAUGAUAGUAUUCAAUAGAUGAAAUUGUUUUAUAUUCUGUGGAUAAAGGAGCCUAUUGUCACGUGUGAAAUUUUGACCAAAAUCACCUCCAUAAUUCUGCCAAUACAUGCCCACGACUCCCUUAGUAAGGCCAAGGGGAGCCCCAACGUGGUUCUAAGACAGCCCACAGGUGGCCACAACACAUGCCCACGACACUAGCGGACACCUCUUGAGGAUAGCUCACAUGCUCCGCACGCGUGCCAUGAUGAUUGCCCAUGAUAGCACAUAUGUUAGCCCAUGUGCACAGCCUCAUGGCACGUCCAAAUGCCCAUUGAUAUGGCCAUAGGCACCAAGCACCAGCACCCACCAUUAGGCCCAUGUGCACAGGCACAUGCACAUGGCCAAGCAGCUAGCCAAACACCCGUGCGCAUAGCCCCACGCGCGACCAAGACAACUACCCACGCACGCCCAUGCAUGUCAUGUGUGGCACCAUGCAUGUGCACCCCACCAUGCACGCAGCCCCUGGGCGUGCCCAUGCCCAACCAUGUGCGCAGAAUCGUGCACGCAACCCACGCAUGCUAUAGGUGAGCACGUCCUCCUCCACACUGACUCGUGUCUACCCAACGUCCAUAUGCCCCAAAAACCUCCAGAAGCUACCAGAAGGCCCACAAACAUGCCCAUCUGCGUGCUGGACCAUCCAUGCUAGACCUAGAUAGCCUAGAAGCCUCUAGAACACUUAAGGCAGUUCUGGAACGUGCUAGAAUGGUCGCAAAGCACCCAAGAUGAUCCCAGAACAUUGUGGAUGACGCUGAAACGUGUUGGAACACUCUAGAAGGCUACUUUGAAGGUAAUAAGUUUUAUGAAAGGUCUAGUCCACUUUAUAAUGUUGUAGGCUUCCUUGUAAUGGGUGAAACACUUAUGUAACCUCUAGAAUGUCCCUUGGCAAACCUUCUAAGGCCCUAAGUCGGUUGAGGAGAUCUAUUAAUACUUGAGGAGAGACUCAUUUGUACUCACCUUGCAAUUUGGCAUGUAUUAGCCAAGCAAGUCAACCUUGCCUCAUUCUAGUCCUCUUGCACAUGGUAUCCCCGUGGCAAAGGACUACAUAUUUGUACCCAAUGUGUAUUCUUUCAUUCUUGAAAUGUAAUGUAUCAUUCCCAAGAUGUAUCCAUCGAAGCUCCCUUAUUCUUCCAACCUUUCUCAUUCCUUGCAAUCAUCUCAACCUUUCUAAGAUGUAUCCUCUUGCACAUGUUAUCAUAGUGCUUGGUGCACUACCUUUCCAAAUGGCUUACUUGGCUAUGUGGGCGCUGUAAUUAGACAAGUGCUGCAUAUAUGGUUAGCUUGAGAAACUAACCACGUGACACUAUGUAGAGCAUUUGAAAAUCAUUCUAUAAAUACUGCAUGGUGAGCAACUUUAUGUUAAGUGUAGUAAGUGCGACUUUUAGCUAGAUCAAGUUAUGUUAUCAGGACAUGUGAUCUUAAUAGAAGGGUUUAGUGUGGAUCCAUAGAAGACAGAGGCAAUUGUUAGGUGGGAAAGGUCGACUAGGGUGACUGAAGUAUGUAGUUUCCUUGGUUUAGUAGGAUAUUAUAGGUGGUUUGUUGAGGAAUUCACUAAGUUAUCAUUACCUUUAUCAUCCUUGAUUAGAAAGAAUGUUAAGUUUUUUUUGUCAUAAAAGUGUAAGCAAAGCUUCCGAGACCUAAGAAAGAGGUUGGUCACAUGCCUGUCUAAACACUUCAUGUUACGAGAAAAGAGUUACAAUCUAUUCUGAUGGUUUAAGGCAAGGUCUUGUAUGAAUGCUUAUCUAAGAAGGGAAGAUAAUAGCUGUUGUUUCGAAACAGUUGAAAAAGCACGUUCGUGACGGUAGUAUUUGCUUUGAAAAUAUGGAGACACUAUCUAUGAGGCCCAUGUUUGAAUUAGAAGAGCUUUAAUCUCUAAAGAAGGUAUUUUAGUAGAUUAAAAUAUUUGAAGUUGGCAUUGAAGGUAGGUGAUGCGUUGAUGAAAGUACACGUCCAAGUAAUGAGAAAAGGAUCAAUUGGGCGUUUUGGUGUAACAGGUUCAGAAAGUUGAUGUUGAAGUGUUUUUAAAGCAUUUUUUCUAAGUUUUGUGUUGUAUUUAUGUUUAACGUGUAUUGUAUGUUGUUGAUGUUGAUGUUGUUAUUUGAAAAGAAAACUAAAGAAGUAGACUCUGGCGAUAGAACGAUUAUGCAAGAAGACACAUAUGAUCAUUGUGGUAAUAAGCAAUUAAGCUAGGUGAUCUAAUUCACUAGCAGACAAAUUUGAUUGGUGCGGAUCUUAGAAAAAGGAUGAUAGGAAAUUUUGCGCAGUGUCGGUGUAAAUUUAUUUUAGAAAUCAUGGAUGUCAUAUCAUUUAAUAGCCUAGCACGACGUCUACGCAACUUUUUCAGAAAGAUUAAUAAGAUGUCAAUCAACAUCACUCCCCACCUAUAAAUAGAAGACUCUACUUCAUAAUAGAGUGGGCAAUCUUUGGUUGGAGAGCAAGUUUAUACCGUCCAUUUUCUCUCUCUUAAAUUUUAGGUGAGAGCUUAGAACAAAAAGUGAGAGAGAGUUCUUCCCUCACCAUUCUCUCCUUAAGAACCAGCAAAAAUCAGAGCCAAGGAGUAUGAGAGAUCAUACUCUAAGGCUUGCACAUUUCUUUGUAUUCCAUUUUCUUUUUAUAUCGUAUUGCUUAGUUAAAUGGCUUCAUUGCCGAUAGGCCUAAAGUUAUGUUUAUAAUAGUAAUGCAUUUCGUCUUUCAUUUUCUUAUUUCUCUUUUACUAUCCAUGUUCACUCUGUUUAGUUAGUCCAUGAGUAAUGGGAUGCGUUUUUAAUACUAUAGAAUCAGAGUGCAUGUGUUUAUAAGUUUUAUUUAGUUAAAUGCAGACAUUAAUGCAUUGUGUAUUCGAGAGAAAGACAAUGAUACUGAUCGCAACGACUUGACAAGUGAAAGCAUGUAGUUAACUAAGCAGACGAUGGUGAGAUUGUAACAGUACAAUCAAUUUGUCGAAUUCAUCCUUCACAUAAGUUACAUAGAUGUUAACUUGUGCAGUGAAAGCAUCGAAAGGUUGCUUGCGCCUUAAUUAAGAAUAAAUUACUCACAAUGAAAACAAACUAAUUAGAUACAAAUCAUAGCUUGACUUUUAGGUAUUUAAGUCCUGAGAGGCAAGCAAGAUGGCGAAAGCGUCGAAAGGUUGCUCGUCUUAAUUCUGAAGUUAUAUAUGCUUUAUAUCACCUUGGCUUAUUAAAGCGCAAUCUAUCGCGAUUAGUUAAUUAAGCAUUUUCCAUCUCGUGUCAUCGCCAUGCUCACUUUGCACCACCAAAUGCUCCUUAGUAUAAAUAACUAGGAUAAAUUAUACUGUUCAUAUAUUCACAUUGUAGAGAUUAUACCGCAUGAGUUUAGUUACACGAUUAUUUUGGUGGGAACCUUAAUUCUCAACUCAAGAGCAAGAUAGAAGAAGUAGAGAAGAGUUUAGAUUUGUUUGCAAGUGUUUAAGCAAAGCAAGGGUGCCGUCUGAUCAAGCUCAAGUUGAGUUUCCUGUCAAGAGGACUUUGAGACGUUAAGAGUUUUGGCAAGUUUAAGCUAAGGAGGAAGAGCUAAAGUCUAAGGACUAGAUCCAAGUCCAAGUUUCUUCUCUGUUGUUUAAGAAUCUUAAAAGCAAGUUUACUAAGAUAGAGCUUUUUGUUUUAGGGUCUAAAUUUGUUGGAAGCUCGUGUUUGAGGUAGGACAAACUUGUUGAAGCGGUCUUGAACAAGCUAAGACCACCAAAGAGUUCAAAGAGAUCAAGGUUAGUAAGAAAAGAGUUCUCUUGAGUAGAAAAGAAAAAAGAUAAAGAAGUUGAAGAAACUUCCUUUACUUGAAACCUAAGAUUUACCUGAGUUUUCUUGCAAUUUAAAAGGCAAGAGGAAAUAGGACAAAUUUAUAGAUUGAGAAUCUAGCCAAAAGUAGGGAGUGACAAAAAUGAAUUUAAAAAGAAUUUCUAAGCUUGAUUUACGAAUUUUUUUUUUAAGCAUGCUUUGAGUUUCAGUAUUUGAAUAUACUAGAUUUAUGAUUCUAUCUAUUUACCAAACUUGAGUUUCAAGUUUAGAAAUUAGUUUAUGAGAAAACAUGUUUGAGUUGAAUUUCUAAAGCAUUCAAAUUGAGAAAUAUUUCUUUAAGCAUGAGAUUUAUGAGAAUGCAUUUGAAUGUUAUGUUUUGAAAGUAUUGGAAGAAAGAAGUUAUUUAGGCAAAGCUAGAUUUGAGAAUUGGCUUAGUGCAAAAGUUUUAUAUGAGCCUGCUAAAUUUAUUGAGUUGAAGUUUUAGAGAUUUCUAAAUAUGUUUUAGUCUAUGUUGAGAUGUUUUGAGUUGAUAGCAACCCUACGAGGGAGAUUGUCCUAUGCACAGACGUCAUCAAAUAGAUGCCUAGAGUUUUCAUCAAAUAAACUAACUAGAGAAGAGAUUAGGUCCUCCAUGGACGCCUAUAUUUUUCAUCUCAUUAUAGCUAUGUGAGAUAGGGUGCUACUGGCGACUAGUGUUUCAUCCCGCAGUUAUAUGAAAUCAAAGGUAUAACAAGAAAGAAAAUAGAAAGUUGAAAGCUAAGUUAAGAAGAGAAAGUUGCUAGGCUAAGUUUAUGUAUUUAUCGCUCAAAGUUUUCAUGAAUACUUUUAUUUUAAAAGCUGUCACUCACAGGGUUUUCUAGUACUAGUGCCUACUAGAGCUCCGCCUACUCUGCUAGAAAUUGAAUAGAAUUUUGUACAGUUCAUUCUAUUCAUGCAUACUAAGUUGUGUUUAAAUUAGAAAGGCUUAACGGUGUUGUUUAUAAUAGAUUUGAAAACGGUUUUUGAUUUGAGUGUUGUAAUAGUGAUGUCUGGUUGAGACUCUAAAUUUAGUUUUGUCUAUAUAAGACCAAUAAUCAAGUUGUCCAUUGGCUGAGUAAACCUCAAGAUGUUCUGUAAAGAUUUAAAUUCUUGUUUCCAAGUUUAAACAUUUAUUACUGCACUUGAUGUAUAUGUUUAUUAAAAACAGAUAAAUAAUUAAGAGUUACAGAUUAAGAAAGGUCGAUAGAUAUGUCGUUAGAAGAAGAACAUUGUUGGUUGGCUUCAUGACACAUCUCGAGCUUAGUAAGGAGGUGCUCCAGAAUGGGGUGUGACAUGUCAUAUGUUUAAUACAUUUCAUGUACUACAAAUAUACUUUGCACUCUUCACUGAUACACUCAAUUGAUUUAAUACACUUGAUUUACUUGAAGUUUUGCCGAUACACCUUUGAUAUACACUUGUAAAUUUGAUUAAUGUACUUAAUAAUGAUUCACUUUACUUAUAUGUUGAUAUACUUGUUAAUGAUACUGAAAAAUAGAUGAGACGAUCAAUAAUAUCAUCCAGCUAUAUCAAAAGUAAUUAACUAAGAGAAUAGCUAAAGAAAAAGAAAUAACAAAUAACACAAAAGGCUUUGUUAACCCAGUUCGACAAAUUCAACCUAUAUAUGGGGAGCUGAAAUAUUAUUAAGAUUCAAAUAUUAUUAAGAUUCAAAUGAGUAAUCAACAACACUCUUAAGUUAUAACAGAAACUUAAUCAAAGACAGGCUCCCCUUAAUUUGUGUUUGAAUCUACUUGAAGAUAAACUCAAGCUCCCCUGAAUUCAUAGACCGCAGUUCAACUAUUUCAGUCUUCUUUCAUAUUUCUUAUCUACAGGUGUAGCGUAAAUUCCACUUGCAGAACUUCACAGUAAUCCAUCUUCAUAAAGAAGGGAAGUCAACUACCUUCUCAAAUAAUAAUUCUUCAAGAGAGAACUUAUUUAAAACCAAUUUUUCAUCAAUGUGCACACCAAACUAAGCCCAUAGCUUAGCUAUUUAAAGAUCACGAUAAUAUAUCUCUAGCUUCUUUAUGCAAAUAUAUAGAUAAAAUAUUUCUAUUAUGAAGGAAAACAUUUUAUCUUUUAAUAAUAUCCCUAUCUUUAAGUAAUAUCCUUUAUUUUAAAUAACCACAUUAAUAAUAAUAAAAAGAAACUUAUUAUUUCUUUUUGACAAAAAUAUCCAACAAAUACAAAGAGUUAUAUUGCACAUAUCACUACUACAAAAAUUGGUUUACAUGACGUUAACACAGUGUCAAGUAAACAUAUACUUGACGUUUUUAAAAGCGUCAAGUAAUCGACUGUCAAGUAUAGUCACAUUACUUGACACUAAAAAACUAUCAAGUAUAUAUUUACUUGACAGUAUUUUAACGUCAAGUAAUCUAUUGCACUUGACACUUAUUAUGUGUCAAGUAAGGUCGUAUACGUGAUGCAUUUUAUGUGUCAAGUAAAGUCCUAUACUUGACGGUUUUUUCACGUCAAGUAAAAUCGUAUACUUGGCAUUAUUUACAUGUCAAGUAAGAUAAUAUACUUGACAGUAUUUACCCGUCAAGUAAAAUAGUAUACUUGACACUAUUUAUCCGUCAAGUAAAAGUGUUUAUUUGAUUCAAGUAAGAUGGUAUACUUGACAUGUAUUUAACGUCAUGUAAUUAAUAUAUUUAAUAUACAAAAAUUUUCAUUUCAUGUUUCCUACAUUACGUAUAUUUGGUUUAAUAAAACAUAUCCAUCAACAAAAAAAAAAAAAAAAACUCUCCAACCAAUAGUUACACAACAAAAAAAUGACAUAAUUUAGUAUAAUAAGUAAACCAACAAUAAUUUCAUUAAUCUCAACAAUGUCACCAACAAUUACAUAAUUUCAAUCCAAUACUGUUAACUAAAUUUACUAUAUAUGGCCUAUUCCAAAAUCAACAAUAAUAAUAGUUAUUUUAUAUAACAAAAAAUGUGUGUGGUAUACCAAAACUAAAGUAUAUCCUCUUGUUAUACCAAUGAACAAAAGCUCCAAAAAUAUUGAAUGCUCUUUGCAUCAAUUGAUAAGAAAGAUAAAAACCAAGUUCCCCUUAAAGAAAAAACAACAAAACAACUAUAAGAAGUUUUAGAUCAAAAUAACUAUUUAUGAUGGAAACUCUUGAUUGAUUAGGAGAUCAAGAGAGAAGAAGAUGGAGGGGCGUUUUUGUAUAAGCAAAGCUUAAAUCUAACAUAAAUAAUAUUCACCACACCACACUUGGCCUUAAUCUCUCUAGAUCAUGUACCAACCAUAUGUAACUAUAAUAUCAGGCUAAUAAAAACAGAUCUCAAUUUUCAACAAAUACAAUGCCAAUAACAGCACCCAAAUACAAUGCCAAUAACAUUAUAAAGAUACUGCACCCAAUAUCUCAUCCAAACGCAGUACAGUUCAGAGGGUUGAAAGUUUUAAACUUUAGUUACAAAACCUCUUUUAGCUAGUAGCUAUAAUACAUACUUAUACACACACACACACACAUAUAACAGAAUAAAAAACUUUGGAGGAAAAUAAAAAAUCAAAAGAGGAUACCAAAUUUCUACCAAGAUCAACCCAAGAAGGAAGACACGGCAAACCAGUAUCUAAUACUCAAAUAAUUUAGAUCCUAGAUCCAUAAAAGAAAUCAGAAGAACAUAUCCAUGCAGAAGUACAAACAUAAAAUGACUGAUGCCUCUACUCCAUUUGUUCUCUUGAAGUGUCAAUUAUAAGAAAUUUGUCAUAAGUGAGAGAAGUUAGAAACUUAAAUGAAGCAUGUAUAUAUGAGAUCAUUCAUAACUAACUGGAUUCAAACACAUAAAGAGACGGUCUACAACUUACAGAAAUAUCCGUAAGAAGAUCUACCAAAGCACUUGAUGUAAAACAUACAACACAGACAACUGCUAGACCACCAACCUGCAUGUAAUAGAAUUAUUCCCGAAUCUUGAGAUUUAUUAAAUUUCAGAUAAUGGUCCUACAAUGUAUACUUUGUGGAUAAUAUCUUUGAUUUUAAAUUAUUAAGCAAUUUAAUCUUAACGGAUUUCACAUCCACAUCCAUACAAAUUCAGGAACUAACAUUUCAACUGAAAGGAGAGGGAAAAGAAUUACACAGUAAUUAUAUAUAACUUGAGUCAAUUAACUUCACCUCUGAAGAAGCUUCCUUGGAACGAACUUUUUUCAAUCGGUAAAAUAACAUAAAACCUGAAAAAAAAAUUAGGAGAGGAAGAAGAAAGAAAAAUCAUAUUGGGUCAAUCAUAUAAAGAGAUUGAAGAAAAGAAAAAAAUCAAAUGCAAACUACCAGAAUAUCACAUCAAACGAUUAUGAAGUUCUUAGAAGAAAGCCAAAAAUAUCAAGAGAAAUUGCUCACCAUAGAAGUCUAGUGCUCCUCCUGAUAGGAUGACUAUAAUAGCAAGAAAACCUUCAUAAUUCUGAAAAUAACCAAUAAGUUGAAAUAAAAAGCAUUUAGGAAUUAAUUAAAUUGUAUCAAUACAAGUACAACUACAUGAUGUAUGUGUACUUGUGGUUUGAAUAUCAACAUAAGUAUUGAAGAGAAGGCAAUUCCUCAUAUUAAUACUUUAGGAUGUGUGUGGACUUGUGGUUUGAGUAUCAACAUAAGUACAGAAGAGAAAGCAAUUCCUCAUUCUAUAUGUUAUAAAAGAUGAGUACAGAAAGAGCAUACAUGGUCCUUGUGUGCACAAUUUCAAGUUGAAAAUGAAAAUAGUGUUGUGGUAGCUCGAGUCUUUAAGUGAGACCUUAACAUAGUUCUCAAAAAUAGAGUGGUGAUGAGGAAACAAACAAAGCUACAAUUAUUGUUGUUUUAUAAAUGUUUAGAUUAGUAAGUAUAGAAAUAACAAUAACGGUCUUGAGAACAAGGUCUAGAAUCUUCAGAUAUCUUUGGGUGGCUUGAUGCAACGUCAAGAUUUUUCAAACAAUUAAAAUGAACAACAAGCACAACUAUAUGACCAUUAUGCAUAAUAUCCAUUCAAAACUCUAGAAAGAAUUUCACCCCAAUAAUUUUCUAAAAACUGAUAUAAAAGAAGAAACUACCUGAGUUAAUCAAUAAUUUAUCAAUAAAUUCAUGCUUGAGCGAAUUAAAACUCCAUACCUUCGGUACCCCUUGUUGUGGUGUAAUAUUCUUAGGAAACAAAAACUUUAAAUUGCAUUUAGUUAGUCCAAAUCGACAGUUCAAUAAUUUUCAAAGGGAUAAAAGAAAAUAAAACACACUCACUCAACUACACCUCCAAGAACAAUUAAAACAAAGUCACUCAAGACAAAGGGUAGCUAAUAUGGAGGUGAGCUAGAGAAAGUAAAGAAAGUGUAGCCAAUAUGGAGUAAAGAGAAAAUUCCUCAAACAAGUUGUAAUAUCUACCUUUGUAAUACAAUAGUAAGUCUCGGUAGCUUCCCAUAUUCUUCGAUCAUAGACAUAUUCUCUAUCAUUAUAAAAAAGGAAAACUGCAGAAAAAGAACUUUACUAAUUGAUUAACAUAACACUAAGAACCCAUAAUCAAUAGCAUAUAGGUAGGAAAAUAUCAUAACUCCACUUUUCAAGCUUAUUCCUAACAAGAGUGCAGACGCAAAGUAAUGUACACUAUUGGUUUCAUCAAGUAGGACAAUUCAUUAUGACUAAAUGUACCACUGCUCAACAUUGACUCACUAAAAUUUUUAUAUACACAGAAUCACAUAACAUAUAUAUUUCUUCAUAGAAACUCAACAAAAGUUCAACACAUAACCAGCUUGGCACUGCAAAUUUAUGGAAAAGAGGGAAAAUUGGAUACAAUUUAUGGAUUUAAUUAGAUGAUUUGCAGAACAUUCCAAUGGCAGAGGAAUAAACUAGAAAGUGAACUUUAAAAAAAAACAUGAAAGAAGAGAAGAAGUAAAAUUACAAAAACUUAAAAGUAGAAGCUUGAACAUGUCCCAAUGAUCAGAUAACUUAAUCUACAAGUGUGGGAGAUGCUAUUUUCUUAAGUGGGCAAGCUAAAAAUAACUUAAAUUAUCAACCGCAACCACCAUUUCCAACACUCACACUCUUUCUGCAAAACUAAUUGGGUUAAAUUCAGUCAGGCAUUACCCCAAACACAAUAUGGGCUGAAACAGAACAGCCAAUUAAGAAGUCAUAUUUUACCUUCUAACAACCAUAUCUUUGAUUGUUUCAUUUCUCCCACCGUACCACGCCUUCUACUCCCAAGUACACUGCAUCAUAGAUUGAAAUUUGAAAGCAACAAUAGAGAAGAAUUAUACGCUAUAAAUCGUCGGCCAUAGGAGUGUAAUGAAAGAAAAAGACCUUCUUCUACUUCGACUAUGUUGACGAUUUUGGUUGAAUUGAUUUUGGUCUCCGUCGUUUCAAAUUGUUUUUCUUUGAAUCGAUUUCGUGUAAUUAGAGAAUGUUCAAAGCUUAUCAGUAUGGUCUAUGUUGUUUCAGCAAUCAUUGUAAAGCUCUUGUAAUCCCCUAUGCUAGAAAACCUCGCCUCACGAACCCCAGAUCAUUUAUCUAGCACCAAUUCGAUAGAGAAGGUUACUUUGAAAAAACUUGGCGGCGGCGUGUUACGAGGGGUGCGGUGGCAUGCGACGUGGAAAGAAGAGUUGCAGCGCGUGCGACGAGGGGUUUCAAAUUCAUUACUGAUAUGCUUUAACAAUAUAUUGUUGAUAUACUUGAUAAUGAUAUACCGAGUUACAUCAUUCAUACACUUAAUAAUACUCUAAUUCAUUACACUGAGUUACAUCAUUCAUAUACUCAAAUUACGUAAUAAGUAUAUUAACAAACUAAUACAUAUAAUAUAAGUAUAUCACAAUACUGAUAUACGAAACUGAGAGAAAGUAAAACCAAAAAAUUAAUGUAAAAAAAACAAAGUUAUUUGGAAUCAAAUUCAACUCAAAAUACACAUCGAAGAAAGUAAAAAAAAAACUCACAAAUGGAGUUAAAAUACUCCGAUCAACAACCAUUAUAUUAUAUUUCAUAUUGCAAUUAUUGUACUAUUGAUAUUUUAAAAUUAAGAUUAAGACAAAAAGAAUAAAUAACUUUUAUAGUAUAAGAAUAAAGAAUAAAUUUAUUGAAGAAAACUACCCUACAAUGACAGUUAUAUAUCUCAAAAAAUGAAUGGAAGAAAAAAAAACUGUCACGAAAUAUAAAAUAACUUUUAUAGUAUAAGAAUAAACAAAUAAUUAGGGCCUUAAAAAGUUGGAGAAUAAAUAAAUAAUGAGUAGGACAUUAAAAAGAUGAUAAAUAAGUUAUUAAAGGAUAGUUUCGGAAUAAUAACAAAUUUAAGAUGAAGAAGUGAAAAUUUUGCUAUAUUUGCAUAAUUCUAAAACAAUGUGCUAAAAUUGCUAUAUUAUAUUCUUAAAAUGCUCCCUUAUGCAAUUUUCCUUAAUUUUAUCACGUUUUCUAAUAAUUAUAUUUCAAUAUAUAUGAUUAUCAACUUUUCACGUAUUAAUUGUUUUGCAACCAAAAUUAUGUAAUUAAUAACAUUCUCCACCAAAUUUCAAAAUCUUUAAUUAAAAUAUACAUAUCUACAUAUAUAUUAAUUAAUCCAACACAUUAUACCAGGUAAAUUCUCUAAAUUCCAAUAUUCCAAUUAAUAUAACACCUAUAAUAAUCUAUUCAUAAAUUAUUCAAGAUAAUUAAGUAACAAAAUUAGCUUAAAUAUUUUUGGAUGCUAAACAUUAUAUAUCAUAUUGCAAUUAAUGUACAGUUCAUAUCCUAAAAUUAAGAUUAAUGCAAUAGAAACUAAAAGAAUUCAUGGACGCCUAGUACUAGUAAAUCCACUUCAAAACCAGAAAAAUAAAAAAGAAGCAAAACUAGAAAUAAAACUUAAAAGAUCGGGAAAAUUAAAAAAUAUCAAACUCCUCAAACCAUAAGACAAAAUCAAAAUCAGAAGUCUAUCUUCGUAUGAAUUUCGAAUAACUUAACAAACGAUUCACAAAUGAAGAAGUCCUUAUAAAUUUUAGAAACCAAUUGAAACCUACGGAUGAGGAAUAACCAGAAAGAACAAAUUGCAGAGAACAUAAGAGAGAAUAUGACUAGGUUUUUUAAAAAAAGUGAGAGAACAAAUACAUGUAGAGUAGUUUAACAACAACAAUGAUAAAUAUUUUCAAAAAUAAGAAUUUUGACUUGUUUGCAAAAUUCUAAAAAUAGGUAAUAUAUUUGUUAAUAUACUAUUCUAAAUAAACCACCAAAUACCCUUUAAAAGUGGAAGAAUAAAUAUAUUAUUGAAUGAUAGUUUGAUAAUAGAAAAAUUGCAUAGGAUAACAUUUUGAGAAUAUGAUAUAGCAAUUAUAGCACGUUGUUUUAGAAUUUUGCAAAUAUGGCAAAAUUCUCAUUUCUCCAUCUUAAAUUUGUUAUUAUUCCUAAACUACCCUUCAAUAACUUAUUUCUCUUCUAAUGUCCGACUCAUUAUUGAUUUAUUCUCUUACUUUUUAAGGUCAUAAUUAUUUGUUUAUUCUUAUACUAGAAAAAUUAUUUAUUCUUUCUUUCUUAAUAUUAAUUUUAGAAUAUCAAUAGUACAAUAAUUUCAGUAUGAAAUAUAAUGGUUGUUGAUCGGAGUAAUUUAACUUCAUUUGUAACGUUUUUUUUACUUUCUUCAAUGUGUAUUUUGAGUUGAAUCUGAUUCUAAAUUAUUUUGUUUUAUUUUUUACAUUAAUUUUGUUUUGAUUUUACUUUGUCUCAGUUUUGUAUAUCAAUGUUGUGAUACACUUAUAUUAUAUGUAUUAGUUGGUUAAUAUAUUUACUACGUAACUUUUUAUUUUUUCAACUUUUAUGCAAUUCAUUAGAGUAUUAUUAAGUACAUGAAUGAUUUAACUCAGUGUAUCAUUAUCAAGUAUAUCAACAAUAUAUUGUUAAAGCAUAUCAGUAAAGUGAAUCAUUAUCAAGUAUAUGAACCAAGUUUACAAGUGUAUAUCAAUAGUAUAUUAAGUGUAUAAGUAGGACUUCAAGCAUAUCAACUGCAUUUAAUCAAUCAAUUGUAUAAGUCAAGAAUACUAAAUAUAUCUGUAGUGCAUGAGGUGUAUCAAACAUAUAUUAGUAAUGUUUCAGGUGUGUAUCAAAAGGUAUCGAGUGUAUAAAAAAAUAUCAAGUGCAUCAAGUGUAUCAAUCAGAUGUAUUGGGUGUAUCAAGAAGUAUCAUGUGUAUCAGACAUGUAUAAGGUGUAUCAAACGUAUAUUAGUAACGAGGGCAUUUGUGACAUUUUACUUAUUGAUGUGUGGGUUGAACUUCGUUUGUGCCAUUUUCGCAAAUAAUAAAAUGUGUGUGUUAUGGACUUAAUUAUUAUAACUUAUUUUGUCAUUUUUGCAAGUGCCCCUGAUAAUAAUAAUAAAUUUAAAAUAGAAAAUAUUUAAAAGGUGCACGUGUCAUAUAUGCUAUUUACUAUUCUAAGAAAGCUACCUACUCCAAUUUCCUAUCAAAUAACCUACAAACAUUUUUUAAUACGUACAAACAUGAUUUUAUUUGUUGUGUUUAAAAUUAACGUAAAUGUGUAAUGUUAUUUAUUAAUAUAAGAACUUGAUUUAAGACAGAAAAUUGUCAUAAAUAGAAAAUAUAUAUAUAUAUGUUAACAAUAUAUAACAAAAAGCUUAAGAGAUCAUAGAGAGAGUUUAAUUCAAUAAAUUACAAAUAUAACAAAAUAUGUGAAAAACUAUCAUUAAUAGACCACAUUGACAAUAUCGAUCUAUCAUGGAUAUACCAUAAAAGUCUAUCACUUUGUAUUUUAUUAAGAAUGUUGGUAUAUACUUAGUUGUUAUUUCUAAAAUUACCACCUAUUAUAAUGAUCCUUAUUAGUAAUUAAAAGGAUAAAAUGGUCCAAAAAUGUUUUUCAAACCUAGGAGCGUUUGAAUAUAUUAUAAAUUUUAUUAUAUAUAUAUAUAAUAUUUCAAAUAAUAUAUCUAUUAAGGAAACUCAUGUACCACGUGCACAAGUUUCAAUUACACUAUUAUUUUAGUCAACAAUUUGUGUUCCUACUUUAUAUAAAAUAAUUCAUUUUGUUUAUUUAUAUUAUUUUUUAAAACAAUUUUUUAACUGCUUUUAAGGAUUACGAUAAAAGUAGGAAAAUAAAUUAAAAUAUUUUUAAACUAUAGCAAAAUUUUAGAUUUUAUCAAUGAUAAAAAUUUAUAAACUUCUAUCACUAUCUAUUAGUGUCACUGAUAGAAGAAUAUGUGUCUAUCAAUGUCUAUCAAUGUCUUUUAUUGAUAGAAUCUGAACAAUUUGCUAUAUGUUGUAAAUAUUUUGUCAAAUUUAUUAUUUUUUACAAUUUUCCUAUUUUAAAUACGUUAUUUUCUUUUUUCAAAAACUGCCUUACUUCAGAGAUUAAUUGUAAUGACCCAGGCCCAGAAUUCGAACCAAGAUCUUCAAUAUUUUCGUGUAACCUGACAACAUCAUUCUUACUAUCUUAAAGGCUUAUUAUAAUGAAAGUUGUCCCCACAAACCAACACGAGUCUUUUCAGCAUGCUUUGUCCUCAUUCACAUGCAUCCUAGAAAAAUUCUCAGGAGAGCACCUACCAUAGAAUUGCUUAAAGCUAAGCACGCUUAACUUUGGAGUUUGUAUGAUUAAGCCACUGAAAAGAAAUAUACACUUUGUUGGUAUAGGUAGUAACUUUGAAUUCUUUUAAACCUUUCUUAACAUUAAUUUCAUGUGCUUGGGAUCUAUCUCAUUCAUAUGUGAUACUGGUUUAUUCAUGUCUCACUCCUAAACUCGGGGCAUUAUAUUAAUCGAGUUAUAAACUCAAGACUAAAAAAGUGUAUGUGUGGAUACAAAGAUAGUAACGGUGAAAACACUCAAACUACGUGUACCAAAAUUUUUUUAAUAAACAAAAAGGAGGAUUAUUUUAAAUGACAAAAUUGUUGUAAACAAAAAUGUUAAAACUAUUUAUAAAACAUACUAAAAUUUCACGGUUGAUAACUACUUAUAAAUUAAAAAAUUUACUGUAAUAUUUUGUAAAUUUUGGUAGUUGGGUGCUAUAAUUAAAUAUGUGAAAGAAAUUCAAUAUUUAGAGAGAAUUGAUUGAUUAGAUGAUUUAGACAAGUGAUUAGAAGAAUGAGAUACUAACUCCAAAGAUAAAUAAUACUAAUAAUAAAACAAAUAUAAAAAAGAUUAGGUUUUAGAUUUUGUGAACUUUUGAAAAUUAAAGCAAAUAAUAAUAAUUGCGAACGACUUUUGACAACAAAAUUUGUUUUAUAUUCAUACAAUAAUGCUAUCCUCCAAGUUAACGUUAUUACUAACUCUACCACCCAUGUCUUGUAAACCAUCGACAAUUUCCACAUCCAAAACCACACAUUCAAAUAAAACUUUAUAUCUUGUACAUCAAACUUGAAUCAUAAUUAAUCUCAAGACAAUAUGAUCUUUCUUUUGACAUUUAAAUUAUCUUAAAGUUUCAUUAGGUUAAUACAUAACAAAAGCGUGGAGGACUUAUAAUCCAUAAAAAAUAUAUGGUUCAUUUUAUAUUAUAUUCCUACAGUAAUGAUUUCUUCCAAGUCAUUACUAACUCUUGCAUUCUUGCCUAAAAGUCUAAAAAAGACAAAUGGACAAAACCCCUUUAGAUAAACUUUAUUCAUAUAUAUAUAUGUAUGAACAUUAUUUGUACAAGUAAUAUAAUUAUAAAAUUGUUAGUCUUUCCUAAUUAUACUUCUUUUUCAGAACACAGACAAAUGAUUUGAACUUUGAAGGGUAAGAAGAAAUCAUGAAUAGGCAGGAAAAAAUCUCACUCCUUCUUAUUGAUGAUGGAACGUAACGAUUAUCCUGAUCUCAUUAAAUUUUAAAUCAAAGAGUAUUUUGGUUGUAGAUUACAACUGUUAGCCUUUAUAAUUGUCCACUCAACAACCUUAUUCUCAAAUAUAUGUUAUUCACUUUUAUUUUUAGUUUCAAAGCAUUUAUAAGAAAACCCUAAACCAAAUGAUUGUUGGGGUAAAUAUGUAUAUGUACUUCCAUUUACUAUUCUUACUCUUCACUUGUACUAAUUCGCUAUUUAUCUUCUUAACUCAACAAAUAGUCAAUCACUUUUCUUCUUCGUUAUGGGAAUUAUUUGUAUUCUUAUUCAUCAUUUUAAUAGCCCAAGCAUACUCCUCAUUUUGAAUAAAUUAAUAGAGGUAAAUUAUGAUUCUUGGAUCAAAUUAAAUGCUAGGAUGAUUGGAGUACUCAAUAGAUCCAGUCGACACUAGGUAAUAAACACACUAAAAAAUAUUAAAAAAAUAUUUUGACAUUUCACUUAUGUUCUAAUAACAUUCGCUACAUUUGUAGAAAUAAAGAAAGACCGACAAUUUUCAUAUGAUUUUUUAUAAUAUAAAUAUGUGAAUUUAAAAUUUAUAUCAAAAAAAGAAAAGAAAUAUAUAUAUAUAUAUAUUUCGUGGAAUAUUGUUGAGAGAAUCGAAGUUUGGAUCACCGAAUUUGUUUGAUUUUUUUAAAAAAAUAUUUGUUAGAUAACAAAUGAGAGCUAGAAAAUAAGUUACGAUUUUUAUCUUGGAUGAGUUUGUUUUUUCUCUUUUUAAAAUAUUACAUUUCUUUUAGGAAAUCAUUGAAAUUUACGAAGAAAUGUAACAGAUAGAUUUGAACACACAACCAAAGGAUUGUACAAGGACACACAGUAGAGUAGAGUAGAAGUAGAAUUUAGACAAAGUAAAGUUAAAUUUAAUAUAUAUUGUAAUCUUACAUUUUAAAAUUAAUAUUAAAAUAUAAAAAUCGAUAACGUUAGAAAAUACUACCUCUGUCCUCUGAAUAAAUCGGUCCGGGCCAAUGAAACCAAAUUUUGAUGUGGAACUGUGAAAAUUAGCAAAUUCUUGAAAAAUGAUAUGUAGCAUCCUACGUUUUUACGUCUUGAAUAUCCAACUUUCGUUGUCCCUUACACAAUUUUACUUCAUAAAAUGUAUUAUUUCUUGAAAUUAGUCAUAAUUGUGACUCGCUUUGGGAUCAAUACCCAUAUGUUAUAUUUGUCAUUUUCUCAAUGCAUUUAUGAAAUAUGGAAGCAAUAAUUCAUGGGAAAAAAAAACUAUAUAAAAUUUCUGCUAGUGUCUAGCUAGAAAAUAGUAAAAAACUAAAUUAUCCAAAUACACCAUACAAUAUAUAUUAUAUAUAUAUUUUAAGCAAGCAUAACAAUAAUGAGCUUCAUCCAUUUUACAAUGAGAAUGACCCUUAUUAUAUUUUUACAUUACCCAUAACUUAAAAGAACCAUAGUAAUAAAAAGAUAUUCAAAUCAAUCCUGAAACAGAACUCGUAAAGCAAACCGCAACCCUUUUGACUCAAACAUAAUCAAACAUACCCAACUGCAUGCGAGAGAAAGAUGAAGCUCACAGAAGACAUACAGCACAUCAUAUUUUAUUUAAGGUGAGAUUCUAUGUCCUUGGUGAGGUUAUUCAUAAGAUCAAGAUAUUUGUAAGGAUAAGGAGAGCCAUCAUUGAGUUUCUCAUACUCCAGUGUUAAAACUGCUAAGCUAUGUUCAGGUCCCUUUGGCACAACUUGAUAUGUUCCCUUGAAAAGUUUGUAAUGCUCAAAUACAUCUCCUUCCAACCCAAUCAAAGUUACUGCAAACUUCUCGUCAUCAAACUCCACUUGUUCUUUGAAAACCUCAGUCUUACCAUCUUAAUAAAAAUCACAUAAGAAUGAAAUAAAACGAAAUGAAUCAGUAAAAAUUAGAGAGAAAAAGAAAAAAAUGUGUGGUUGUGGCCGUGAUCAUUGUUGCAGUUAUGGUUAUAAUUUAUACGUACCGACGGUGUAGCUCCAAAUCUUGAUAGAGCCAUGACCAUGAGUGUCCCAAUCCCCUUCAUGAACUUCAACGUUUUGGAUUAUGUUUGGGGAAAUAUUGGGAACAUGAGAAACUUGGUCUUUGAAGAUUUUGUAGUACUUCUCAGCAGGUGCAUUUAUUUCUAAUUCACUCACAAAUUUUCCCACAAGAGACAUGGUUUUCAAAAAACUCUCAAUAGAUACUAAAUAACUUAAAAGAACGUAUGCACACAAAGAAAACCUUAAUGCCUUCCCCCUUUUAUGGAACUCCUUAUGAUGAAUUAUUAUUAUUAUUAUAUUCCAAUGAUGAAUUAUUUUUAAAUGAUACUAUAUUAUUUGCUCAAUCAUUUUAAAUUAAAGGAAAAGUUAUAGAUAUUGUUAAAAAAACAAAUGUUUUGAUCAUAUGGUUGUUGUGUCAUGUUGAACCACUGCCUUGAAAGCAAAACUUGGCUCGACUUCAGUGCUAAAUCGUUUAUGCUGGUUUCUCUCCAAGGUUAACACAACUUUCUCAACCCAAACGCGAACUAUAGGCAAUGCGCAUAGAACCUCAUGUAAAAGUGAAAGCUUUACAAAAAUAUCCUUAAACUUUUUCGUAGAAGGCAGCCACACAUUCACAGUCACGUUUCUUGCUUCAUCAAGUCGUUUCUUGCUUCAUCAAGUCUAUCACAGUAACCACUUAAAACUGAGCUAUGGAAAUUUCACAUCUAGUCCAUAUCAAGACCAACUUCACCAAGUUUGUCAAAGAAAAACCACUCAAAACUGAGCUAUAAAGAUUUUACGGUUAUCCAUCAAGUCCAUACUAAGACCACUCAAAGAAAGGGCUAUGAAAUUUUGAAAGGUUUUAGUUUCAUAUCCAUCAAAUCCAUUUAAGGACUACCCACACGUGGCUAUGGACCAUCAAGCCUACCGUAGUAGACUACCUAGAAAAGGGUUAUUGACCAUCAAAUGUUUGAGUCUCAUUACUCUUGUUGAAAAUCUUAAAAUUACUCUUCUUAUUAGGCCUUUGGAGAGAUGACCUACAAAAUUCCUCUCAAACCUCACAUACUUCAAGAAGAUAAUUCAUUCAUUUAACUAUCAUUUCACAGUUGCAAGUUUUAGACGAAAAUGCCUUCUUUUGCCAUAACACGCUACUCUUGGCAAUACUUAUGACAGUGCACAUGAAUCCUAAUAAAGAUAUAUUGGUAAAGAGGCCCCCAAUAAUGGUACAUCUUCCAUUAGGCUUCUAUGUCAUUCAUCCUAAUGUCCUUAUACAAUAGUACAUUUCUUAUUAAAAACACACAUCUACUAAUAUAAAGCUUACUUAAUCAUUCUGAGUUAUUCGGUUUGCAUACCUUACCUCUCUAGUAUGAUAGACAAUAAUUAAAAUGCAAACCAAAAUCUAUUGUAACCUUAAGAUAUCUUAAUAAAUGAAGAAGAACAAGAAAAUAAUCUUAAUCAAAAUAAUGUGUAUAUAUAAAUACUCAAUUUUCUCACAACAUAUACAAUAACAAAUCUUGUACAGGUUUAUAAAAAACAUAAUAUACUUUCUAUAAUCCUAGCAUAUUCAAAUUGAGAAACACUACCCCAUUUAUUUUUAUUAAGGCUCAUACUAGCAUCAUAAGGUGUUCUUACCAGAGCACCAUUAAACUGUCAAGUUCCUUUAAUAGUGCUCAAUAUGUGAUUGACAUAAAUAAAAACAUUCUCAAUAUACUUUAGAGCAUCACACAUUAGUCUCACAUAAAUUUUCACUUGAUCAAAAUGUGAUAACUUUAUAGCAUUACCUAAAGUGAUAAAAGCACAUGACAACGAAAGAUUUUACAGAACCAUUUCUCAAAUUAAUUUUGAAAUCCCAAAAUACCAAUACAUUGACAAAAUAAUACACAAACUAAUUUUCUUAUUAUACAUUAAAAGCUAAGCAUACUUUCUAAUUAUAGAUUAGAGAAUGAAAAACUUACUUAGUUUGAUGCCUUUGAAUCUACUAAAACUUCAAGUUAAGACACCACCCGUCAGAAACCUUCCUAUCCUCUAGGAUGGAUUGGUUUGUUGGAACCAAUUGAGAUGAGAAAAAGAAAGGUUUUGGAGAGAAAUUAUUUUGCAAAAUAUCAAAAUCAUUAGUUCCAUUAAUUGAUUAAUUGAUUAAAGAAAAUUGUUUUCUUCUAGAUAUUAAUAACUCUCUUUUCUUGAUUGAGUAGGAAAGGGAGCAUGAGAAAAGCAUGAGAUUCUACUAAUUUAAAAAAUAUUAAAUUAAUAGAAAUUUCAAAUCAACUAAUUAACUCAUCAUUAAUCAAUUAGUUAAUAAUUAAUUAAAUCAAAUUUAAUUAAUAUUUCAUUUAAAUCUUAUUUAAUGAAUAUCUCGAUAAUAUCUUAUACUUGUAUAUUAAUUUAAUUAAAUUAAAUAAAGGGAAAAUUUUAAAAAUAGUAUAUUUUACAAAAUAUUUACAACCUAUAGCAAAUCAUAUCACUGAUAGUCAUUGAUAUGUUAUAGCGAUAAAAGACUAUAAGUGAUAGAAUUCAAAAUUUUGCUAUAGUUUGUAAAUAUUUUAAUUUAUUUUAUUAUUUUUAAAAAUGCCUCUAAAAUAAAACUAAACUAUUAAUUAAUUUUCCAAUUAAUUAAUAGUUAAAUUAAAUAUCUUAUAUUUAAGUUAAAUUAAAUUUGAAUCAUAUUCAAAUAUAAAUUUCUCUCAUAACCAAUAAUUUUAAUAUGAAUCAAAUUCACAUUAAAUUAAUAUUUGAACUCGUUCAAAUAUUUUACUCUCAUAAAUUAAUUUAUCUACAAUCUAUGAGUUGUAGGACAUAAAUCCCAACAUUACCAAUAUUUAUGUUUGUAUUACAUAAAUCUUUCCAUCAACAUACAAACAUAUUAUCACACAAGCAACUCCAAAAACUUUUAGGAAACACAUAUAUAUAAGCAAUUUACUUCUAAAGACAUUGUUUACUAAAUUGUUGUUAAAGUUUUUCUUAUUAGUUAGACUUUCAGAAAACUAGUUAAAGACCAUAAAGAAAUUUGACUGUUCGAAGUUACCAUUAAGGAAUAUCAUCGUUACAUACACUUGAUGUAUCAGAAGACCUCAUGCAACUACAAAAGCUUUUAAUUUUAUAGUGAUUAACUUAGUCAUAUGGAAACAAGAAUCAAAACAUUUUAAAUUCUAUGUUUGAUUCAAAAUAUUUUUCAUAAGUUUAAAGUUGCACCUAUGUACUUAUGAUCGUCUCCUUAUUUAACUAAAGUGGGAUUUGGAUAGCAUUCCCAAAAAUUGUCCCUCAAACAAAGUUUCAACUUAAUCUCCCUUAAAAUAUACAUCAAUCCAUUUAACUCUUAUCAAGAUUAACUUCUCUCUAAAGUUUAUUAUCUAUUUAGAAUACAAAUAUCAAUAAUUCCCUAACUACUUUUAAGGUUCCACUAAAUCUUUUUGUUCAACCUAAAGAUUAUACCAACAAGGCUAAACCAGGAAAACAACUCCUUAUAACCACUUAUUAAGGACUACUUGGGUAUAAGCCCUCUUGUCUUGAAUAAAUAAUGAAUUUGCAUAUUCUCAUACUACUAGCAAACUUUGGUAUGACCAAAGUUGUACGACCAAAGUUAAUUAUAAGUAAUAGUAAUACUUUCAAUUUCAUGAAAAUUAAUUAUCAAAUUAUGCAACAAUUCAUGACGUAAGUCAUGUAGAACUCAGUCAAAUAUGACAUACAUUUCUACUCAUGCUAGCAUGGUAAUUGUCACACCCCGCCCCGAGCACCUACUUGUUUGGCCUGAGACGUGGCAUGAAGCCAACGAGGAUCAAUGUUUGAGAUCAACUAAGGCUGGGUACCUUAUCCUGGCAACACUAUGGAUAUAACUCACUUUGUAUUUGAUAUAAACAAAAUGAUCCAAUGUGUUCGUGUAGGUGACAUGCAAGUGAGGGUAUUAUAUGCAAUGAGAUUUCAUAAGACUGGAUCACGAAAUAAGAACCACUAGAUGUAACUUUGUUAACUAGUUAGGUUUCUAUUUCAUUAGGAUUACUUAGGCAACUUAGUCUUAAUUCUGAGUGUAUUAUAAACUUCUGUUUGCAAAAGAUUUUUCUUUAAUUUGUAUGAGUGAGAGUGGCUAGAUCGUCGACUUAAUAAUCUUAUCAUUUUAGGACCAAGACCGAGUGGAGAGCUGGGAACAUAAGUACAACUCUUGUUCACUCAUUUCCUACUUUUAGGGUAAGUAGAUGAGUGUUCCCUUAAAUGGUAUCUCCUCGACUUGAACAAAAGGCCCUACCCUCUCUAUGGCACGAGAGGGGUUUCUAUUUAUUGGUAGGACCAUAAACAAGUUGUUCAUUAGAGGAGCACUAGUAUUUAAGGAUUAUAAGUAACUUAGGGUAAAAUUGUAUUUUGACCUAGUUGGUGUUACGAACACUCGUGAAGGACAAACUUACUGUUAUUUGUCUAUAUUCGUGGACAUAAAUAUAUCUACAAUGAGAAGAGUUCAAUUGUGAGUCUGUAGAGGAGUGUACCCACAGUUAAUGAAUAUUGAUUAUUGUAGUUAAUGAGGUUUGCCAAUUAAUAUCAUAUCAUUGUAGCUUUUGAUGUGUAGGUCCAUAAGUCUCCUUCAUAGCUCGUAAAGGAUAAUGAGAUUUAUUUAUAUUGGUUAUAAUUUGAAAUGCUCAAAUUUACUUUGGAAAUUAGUAUAAUGUAUAGUAAUACACUAUAAUAUAAAGUUUAUCAAAUUUUAUUAUAUAAAUUUAAUUUUGGAUAUGAUUCAAAAUUAAUUUAUGAGAGAUAAAAUAUUUGAAUGAGUUCAAGUAUUAAUUUAAUGUCAAUUGGAUUCAAAUUAAAAUUAUUGGUUAGGAGAGCAACUUAUAUUUGGAUAUUAUUCAAAUUUAAUUUAAGUUAAUAUAAGUUAUUUAAUUUAGCAUUAAUUAAUUGAAGAAUUAAUUAAUAGUUUAAUUUCAUUAUAUUUAAUUAGAUUAAUAUAAAAGUAUAAGAUAUUACAGAUAUAUUCAUUAAAUAAGAUUUAAAUGAAAUAUUAAUUAAAUUUGAUUUAAUUAAUUAUUAACUAAUUGAUUAAUUACUCCAUGAAGGAAGGAGAGUUAUAAAUAUAUAAAAGAAAAACCGUUUUUCCUAACAAAAAAAUAUAACUAAUAAUUUUUAUUUUAUACAAAAGAGUUUCUUUAAAAAAUCUCUAAACUUUUUUCCAUCUCAAUUUGUUCCCACCAACCAUUCUCAUUCUAGAGGAUAGGAAUGUCUCCGAUAUGUGGUGUCUGAAUUUCGUGAUUUACUUUGUAGAUUCAGAGACGUCAAACAAGUAAGAUUUACUUCAGAGUGUGAUUAUAAAAGUCAAGAGAACGCAAACUCCAUAAAUGGAUAAAGUUUCUUAGGUUAAUCUUCAAUAGUUGUCUUUCCUUUCGAUAGCCUAUUGAAGUAUGCCGCUAAGAUCUGAAAAUGGUAGGAUCACACUUACGGAAUGAAUUGAGUUAGUUAGUGAAUCCUUGACCGAACAACAAUAGCUAAGUACUAUAGGAAGAAGAGUUAUUCUGGUAUUAGUAAUUAAAUGAGAUUGUCAUAAUUUAGGAGAGAAGUAGUUGAUCACCCUUUGGUGGUUGUUACUUUAAACUUCUAAAGUAUCGUUGCAAAAACUAAAUCCUUUGUUUGAUUAGGGUUCUUUGAUUGCUUGAUUUUGCUAAAUUGAUUGGAUAAUUUUGAGUAAUGGGUUAAGACAAAGAUAACUAAUACGGUCAACUGUUUGAUAUUUCAACAUGUCUUUUUCAAUCAUUCAACUUCUGAAAAAUGAAAAAUUAACCGUCGAGAAUUAUGCAACAUGGAAGGCAAACCUGAAUAUGAUUCAUGUAGUCGAUGAUCUACGCUUCAUCUUAAUAGAGGAAUGUCCUCCUUUCCCUACUCCAAAUGCAGUUCAGACUGCCAAGGAUGCAUACAAUUGAUGGGCAAAGGCGAAUGAUUGGCCCACAUCUAUAUCUUGCUCAAUAUGUCUGACGUACUGAGCAAGAAACAUGAGUCAAUGGUUACUGCACGUUAGAUUAUGAACUCCCUCCAGGAGAUGUUUGGGUAACUGUCCAUUCAAAUCUAAGAAAGGCCAUUAAAUACAUUUAAAAUGCAUGUAUGGAAGAGAACCAAUUUGUUACAGAACAGUUUCUUGCCUUAUUGGUUUAGUUUAAUGUGGCAGAAAUGAACGGGACGAUCUUGACGAGUCAAGUGUCCUUUAUAUUGGAAUCUCUUUCGAAGAGCUUCCUUAUAUUUUGUAAUAAAUCAAUCAUGAGCAAGAUAGAGUACAACAUGACUACCUUCCUAAAUGAGUUGCCCACUCUAUGAGUUUUCAGAAGAGUUCAUCCUUUGGAGCCAAGUCUGCACCUUCACUCCUUAAGUCGAAGAAAAUCCAGAAGAAGAAAAGAUGGAAGGGGAAGGGUCCUGUUGCUGCUACUCCUUAGGGCAAAGGAAAGACUAAGGUAACCGACAAGGGGAAGUGCUUCCACUACAACGUGGAUGGACACUAGAAGAGGAACUGCCCCAAAUACCUUGCUAAGAAAAAGAAGGAAAAGGAAGGUAAAUAUGAUUUACUCUUUUUAGAAACUUGUUUGGUGGAAAAUGACCAAAAGACCUAGAUACUUGAUUUAGUAGCCACUAAUCAUGUUUGUUUUUCUUUACAGGAAAAUAGUUCCAUCCAGCAGCUCGAAGAGGAUAAGAUGAUGCUCAAGGUUGGAACGGGAGGCGUCAUUUUAGCUCAUGCAGUGGGAGAUGUCAAGUUGUUUUUUGUAGAAACAAAUUCUUGUUUUUUAGAAACUUUGAACAUAGUUCCUAAGAUUAAGAGGAACUUAAUUUUUGUUUCUUUACUUAUUGAACAAUUGUACUAAGUUAGAUUUUGUUAAAGUGAAGUGUUCAUUUCUAAGAAUGAUGUACAUAUUUGUUCGGCUAAGCUUGAAGACAACUUGUAUGUAUUGUGAUGUUUAAAAUUGCUAUUACUCAAAAUAAAAGGCUAAGAAUUUCUCCUAAGAACAAUACCUACCUUUGGCAUUUAAGAUUAGGUGACAUUAAUCUCGAUAGGAUCAGAAAAUUGGUAAAGAAUGGACUUCUAAAUGAGUUAGAAGAUGAUUCAUUAACUCCAUAUGAAUCUUGUCUUGAAGGAAAGAUGACUAAAAGAGCUCUUUAGAAAAGGUUAUAGAGCCAAAGAGUUCCUAGAACUUGUACAUUUAGACCUAUGUGGUUCGAUGAAUGUAAAAGCUAGAGGAGGUUUUGAAUACUUCAUCAUCUUUAUAGAUGAUUAUUCAAGGUAUGGUUAUUUAUAUUUAAUGGUACAUAAGUCAGAAACUCUUGAAAACUUCAAGGUGUAUAAGGCCGAAGUUGAAAAUCUAUUAAGUAAAAAUAUUAAAAUACUUCGAUCUGAUUGAGGUGGAGAGUACAUGGAUCUGAGAUUCAAAGACUAUAUGAUAGAACAUGAAAUCCAAUUUCAAUUCUCAGCACCUGGUAAACCUUAACAAAACGGUGUAUCAGAAAGGAGAAAUAGAACCUUGUUAAACAUGGUUCGUUCAAUGAUGAGCUAUACUCAAUUGCUAACCUAGUUUUGGGGGUAUGUAGUAGAGACUGUAGUUCAUAUCUUGAACAAUAUUUCCUCGAAGAGUGUUUGUGAAACACUUUUCGAGUUAUAGAGAGGAUGUAAACCUUGUUUGACUCACUUCAUAAUUCAGGGUUGUCCAACACACGUGUUAUUGACAAAUUCCAAGAAGUUGAAACAUUGUUAAGAGUUAUGCCAAUUUCUUAGUUACCCUAAAGAAACGAGAGGUGGUCUAUUCUUUGAUCCACAAGAAAAUAAACUAUUUGUAUAGACAAAUACUACUUUAUUGGAAGAAGACCACACAAGAGAUCAUAAAACAUGAAGCAAAUUAGUAUUAAAUGAAGCUAAUAAUGAAUCAACAAGGUUUGUUAAUGAAGUUGGUCCCUCAUCAAGAGUUGAUGAAACCAACACGUAUGGUCAACCUCAUCCUUCUCAAUCAUUGAGAAUGCCUCAACGCAAUUAGAGGAUUGUAUCACAAUCUAACCGUUGAAGAUCUAUUGUCCUAUAAACAGGUAAUGAACGAUGUAGACAAGGACCAAUGGGUCAAAGUUAUGGACCUUGAAAUGGAGUCUAUGUACUUCAAUUCAGUGUGGGAGCUUGUAGAUUUACCUAAAGGGGUGAAACUUAUAGGGUGCAAAUGGAUUUAUAAGAGAAAAAGAGAUUCAGCUGUAAAGAUACAGACCUUCAAAGCUAGACUUGUAGCAAAAUUGUAUACUCAAAGGGAAGGGGUUGACUAUGAGGAAACUUUUUCCUAUAUUGCUAUGUUAAUAUAUAUAAGGAUUCUCUUGUCCAUAGUUGCAUUUUAUGAUUAUGUAAUAUGGAAAAUUGAUGUCAAGACUGCUUUUCUGAAUGACAAUCUUGAAGAGAGUAUCUUUAUGUCAACUUGAGGGGUUCAUAACCCAAGGUCAGGAGCAAAAGGUAAGCAAGCUGAAUCGAUCCAUUUGUCGGUUAAAACAAGCAUCCAGAUCUUGGAACAUUGGGUUUCAUAAUGUGAUCAAAUCUUUCGGUUUGACCAAACCGUUAAUGUAUCUUGUGUAUACAAGAAAAUCAUCAAAGUUAAAGUAGUUUUCUUAGUACUUUAUGUGGACAAUAUCUUUCUCAUUAGAAAUGAUGUAGGAUACUUAAUUGUCACUAAAAUUUUGCUAGCAACCAAAUUCCAAAUGAAAGAUUUAGGAGAGGAAAAGUAUGUUUGUGGGAUUCAAAUCAUAAGGGAUCGUAAGAACAAAACGCUAGCACUGUCUCAGACAACUUAUAUCGAUAAAAUGUUGGUUCGAUAUUCAAUGCAGAUGUAAUGACCCAACUAUUUAUACUAAGUUGAGGUCAUUGCCACUAAAAAAUAAAGAUUUUUUAUUUAAAAUAAAAGAAAAUACCAAAAUUUAAAGGAAAUGCUUUAAAUAUGCAUUUAUAAAAUAUAAGUAAAGUAUGUCAAAAUAAUAAUAAUAAUAAUAAAUAAAUAAAAUACUAGUUAUGUCAAAAUAAUAAUAAUAAUAAAUAAAUAAAAUACUAGUUUGGGUCCCAUUUGAAUUAGAUAGAAAAUAUCUAAAAGUACUCAUGAGUUCUGAAAUAAAUUUAUGUAAAUCAAAUACUGAAAAUAUAAAUGCGGAAGAAAACAUAAAUUGUUCCCUAUAACAAACUACGGUGACUUCUUGUCAUUUGCUAGCUUACUUCUACCUCUACCUUUGCUUGAAAAAUUAAAUGUAGAAAGAGUGAUUAUAAAUUUGUACUCAGUAAAGGACCAAAUACUAGUCCCGCUACGUGUCUGUUAACUUUUCGUUAGAGUCCUGUAAGAAAGUAUUGCAUAGCUAUUGUGAUCUCGAACGCAUUAUAUCCAUUGAUCUCGUAGAGACACAUCUAGGCUCUCAGAGAACCUGAAAGAAUCAUCCUGAAAGAGAGUCAGGCUGUAAAUGAUCCCGUUGAAUCACACAUAAAAGCUAGCCACACAAGUAUAAAUAGGUGGUGAUCCCGAGGGACACCCAUAUGAUACGACUCUAACAGACAAAGCUAACAGAACACCAUAGGCUAUACAUAUAAUAUAACAUAAAUAUUAUAUCCCAAUCAUAUUGUAUCUCAACCAUAGUCUCAUUCUUAACAUAUCUUAUUCAUAACAUAUCAUGGUCAUCACAUAUCUCAGUCAUACAUAACAGUUGUCUAUGUAGCUAUCUAUAUCAAUCAUCCCUAAUAGUCACAUAAUGCAUAAUAAGGGAAAACAUAAUGUCAAGGGUCUCAUAGGAGAAUCUCUUAACUUGAGAUUAAUUAGCUAAAUUAACAAUUCCUUGGUUGACAGUCAAUUCCUCCCAAUUUACCUAGUCCUCGAGACUAAGGUUGAAUCCAACACAACCUUGAAUGGAAAAAUUGCACAGCUCAAAUCCUCCAAUGACAAUUAGUCAACCUUCAAGUAAAUAACCCAACUUAAUCAAAUUGUGAAUUUAUCUCAAACCAAUAAUUAUUGUUUGAUGGGUAUACAUAAACUCAUAAAAAACAUACCAAAAAGUAAGAAAUUUUCUAAACUUGACUCUCUACAAGGAAGCAACUCCGAAACAACUCAAGAAAGAAGGGUUUGUUCAGUUGUAGCUCGUGUGAAAACGCACGGCUUGGUUUGGGUGGAAGUAGAUUAUCACGCACGGUUGGGCAAGGAACUUGUGGAUUGGGAAGAACAGCUCGACUCGUUUAGGUGUUGGCUUGCUCGAUGACUACUGGGGACGAAGGCUUCACCGUCGAAGGGAGACCGAAGUCCACGUGCAACUGUGUGUAGUGGAGUGCGAUGGAGGAAAAUGAGAGACUCACGUCGUUUAUUGGUACAUGGAGAUGAAGACAUGUAAAUGGCUCGAUGAUUCAAGUUCAUAGUUAAGGAGAGAGAUAUGGCAAUCGCAACGACAAAGAUCGAAGAUGGUGAAGGCCCGGCUAGGGUUUGUGAGGAAGGAAGAAGAUGAUGAAUAAUUUCCUUUAUUUUCUUUGCACGCUUCACGAGGGUAAUUAUAUAUAAUGAUAAUGAUAAUGAUAAUAUUUAUUAUUAUUAUUUCUUUUCCUUUUCCGAAUAACAAAUUACACACACACACGCGUGCAUGCACACACACAACACACACACACACACAACACACACACACACCAAACUACCUUAGGGCCAAACAUCCUCUACUCACCAACCUCACCCCAAGAAGCAGGGGACCUACAACACUUACCAUAUAGAGCUUCAAAUGGUGUCAUGCAAAUGUUAGUCCGGUAACUGUUAUUAUAAGCGAACCGCAUCAAGUGCAAAUGAGAGUCUCAACUCCUUAAGAACUCUAACACACAAUUUCUCAACAUAUCCUCCAAAAUUUGGUUCAAAUGCUCUGUUUGACCAUCAAUCUGAUGGUGAAAAGUUGUAUUGAAGUCUAAUUUUGUGCUCUUGGCAGCCUGAAGUCCUUUUCAGAACUUGAAAGUAUAACUGGUAUCUCUGUCAGAAACUAUCGAUACUAGCACUCCAUACAAUUUCACUAUCUCAGUCAUAUACAAUUAUGCCCACUUACUGUCAGUAUAAAUGGACUUCCUUGAGAUGAAAUGUGCUGACUUUGUGAGCCUGUCAGCAAUAAGCUAAAUCAUUGUAUAACCUUUCGGGGUCCUACGCAGUUCUGAAAUGAAGUCCAUAGACACAUUCUCCCAUUUCCACUUUGGCACACUCAAAGAUUGCAACAAACCUGCUAGCUUUUGUCUUUGGUGCCUUCACAUGCUGACACACCAGACACUUACUAGCAAAGUUGCCACUUCUCUCUUCAUAUUUCUCCACGAGUAUACUUGCUUCAAAUCCUGAUACAUCUUUGUACUGCUUGGAUGCAUAGAAAUUGGAGAACUAUAAGCCUCAGUCAAUAACUCUAUCUUAACUACACUUUUGGCUGGCACACAUAAUCAUCUCUUAAAUAUAAGUUCGUCAGUAGAGGAUAUAGAGAGAACUCCUAAACUUGCCCUUGUUCUGUUACAGAGUGUUUAUCAACCAAAUUAGGAUCAGUGAGCUGAACAAUAAUAAUUCUCUACCUCAAAGUUGGCUAUACUGACAACUGAACUAAUUGUGAGGUGACCUCUCCCAUUGAAACUGCAAUCUCAACUCUCCCACGAUCUUUAUGCAAAGGAACCUGAUUGGUAAUGAGUGCUGCAGAAUGUGAUACAUUCAUAAUAAAACCAUCAUUGGCCACAUUUCCCUUACCUGGGUGAUACAAAAUCUCACAGUCGUAGUCCUUCUCCAACUAAAGCCAUCUGCACUGUCUCAUAUUGAAGUCCUUCUGAAUGAAGAACUAUUUCAAGCUCUUUUGAUCAAUAAAGAUCUUAAUCUUCAAACCAUAUAAAUAAUGCCUCCACAUCUUAAGUGCAGCAACUACUACUACCAACUUUAAAUCAUAUGUAGGGUAGUUCUGCCCAUGAAUCUUCAAUUGACAAGAAGCGUAAGCAACCACCUUACUUUGUUGCAUCAAUACACAACCCAAUCCUUUCUUAGAGGCAUCACUGUAUAUCACAUAACUUCCAGAUCCAUCUAGCACUGUAAGGACUGGUGCAAUAACAAGUUUCUACUUAAGAUCCUGGAAACUACUAUCACAUGUUGGGCUCCAAACAAAAGGAGUCCCCUUCAUGGUCAGAUUGGGUUAAAGAACUGGCUAUACGAGAGAAGCCUUCCACGAACCUUCUGUAAUAACUUGUCAAACCCAGAAAACAUCAAACUUCACUAACUAUAGAAGGUCGAUGCCAACUGGUAACAACUUUAAUCUUUGUCAUGUCUACAGAAACUCCCUCACUAGAUUCUAUAAGGCCAAGAAAAGACACAUGUUUCAACUAGAACUCACACUUGAAAAACUUGACAUACAGUUUAUUGACUCGAAGAGUCUCUAACACCUGAUACAAAUGCUCCUCAUGCUCAGCCUCUAUCUUAGAGUAAACCAACAUAUCAUCAAUGAAAACUAUCACAAAAGUGUCUAAGAAAUUCUUAAACACAUUGUACUUCAAAUCUAUAAACACAGUAGGAGCAUUUGUCAAGCAAAAGGAUAUUACAACAAACUCAUAAUUGCUAUAUCUAGAAUGAAAGGGAGUCUUGGGAAUAUCUCACUGCCUCUAAUCCUCAACUGGCGAUAUCCUAAACGUAAGUCGAUCUUAGAGAACACAGUGGCUCCCUGCAGCUGAUCAAACAAAUCAUCAAUUCUAGGCAAUGGAUACUUGUUCGUGAUUGUCACCUUAUUGAGCUCUCUAUAGUCAAUGCAAAGACGCAUCAACCCAUCUUUCUUCCUCACAAAUAAUACUAGUGCUCUCUAAGGUGACACACUAGGUCGAAUAAACCCUUUUUCCAGCAAUUUCUGCAACUGGACCUUUAGCUCCUUUAGCUUAGCUGGAACUCUCAAUAUGAGACCAGUGUCUGAUUCCAACUCAAUAGCAAAAUCAACCUCUAUGAGGCGGAAGUCUUGGAAGCUCUUUUGGAAAAACAUUUGGGUGUCCCUUUACCAUUGGUUCAGAUGAUAAGGAUACCCUAGGCUCUCUAGCGUCUACAACAUUAGCCAAGAUACUCCAAGUACCUUGGUUGAGAAGCUUACUAGCCUUCAUGGCAUAGAUAACUUUGGGUAGGACCACAAUUCCUACCCCCUUAUACUUGAAACUAACCACCUCAAGAGGGUUAACCAACGACCUCCUUACGAGAAGAAUCUAUGCUUGCAUGGUUAGCAAAUAGCCAAUUCAUGCCUAAAAUUACAUCAAAGUAUAUUAUGUCUAAUACUAAUAAAGUUACAUCUAAAACAUGGUCUGCUAUUUUUAUUUGACAUGCUUUUAUCUUUUCUUUCAACAACAUAAUUUCUCCAAAUGGAGUAGUGACAUAUAACAUAUAACUCAAGGGUUCUACUUCUAAACUUAUAUGUUGAACAAAAACUGAGGAUAUGAAAAAUGAGAGGACCCCAAGUCAAAUAAUACUAAUGCAAAGUGUCCCAAGAUUGGAAGUGUACCUGUUACCACUGUGCCAACUUUCUCGACCUUCUGUCGAUUAGUGGCAAAAACACUCCCUUACUGGGAUGUGGAAGUCUAGUUUGAGACAGCUCCGAACGAUUUCUGAGGGCAUUUAUCAGCUAUAUGUCCAGGUUGCCUACAUUUGUAGCAUAUUCCACUCCUUGCUAGGCAACAACUUGAAUGAGGCCUUCCACACACUACUACAAAAAUGGGUUUACUUGACGCUAGCAAUAUUUACAUACUUGACGUUUUUAUUUAAAAAAAGUGUCAAGUAUGGACCAUUUUAAUGAAAAAUGUCAAAUAUAGUUUUAAAAAAGUAAAAUUUUCACAAAAUUUUAAAACUAUUUUACGUUAGCAUUUACUUAACUUUUUUUUGUGUCAAGUAUAGUGGAGAUUGCACUUGAAGGUUUUUUCACGUUAUGUACAUAGUGGAGAUUUUACUUAACUUUAUAACAUAUACUUGAUACAGAAACAACGUCAAAUAUAAUUAACAUUUUAAUUCAUCUCUUUGUAUCUGUCAAGUAUAAAAAUAUAAAAAUACUUUUUAUUUUUCUCGUUUCAUAAAAUAAAUUUAUUAAAAUUAAUUUCCCUUCUUUCAUUUCCACUCUUCCCUCUCUCCACGCAUUCGAUCGUCAUUCUCUCCAUAUCUCCACUGUCCAUCAUUCUCUCCGUUUUCGGACGGCCAAUGUACAGACCCAUUUUCGGAGAGCUACCAUUCUCUCCAUUUUUGGACAGCUGGCCACACAGAAGCCGACGUCGACCCACCGCUGAUGGAAUCCAAUUUUUGAUGCAUUCAAAGGUUUUUUUCCCCUCGGUCUUAUUAUAUUUCACAUUUUGCUCAUGAACAAUGCUCCCUUGCGAGUGAUUUCUAUCUUGUGAUUAAGGAUGCCAUUGAACUUGUAAAGUUUCAUCUGAUUGAGUACUCACAUUCUCUUUUCUUUAAACAACAUUAAGAGGGAGAAAAACUUAAGGAACUCUUAAAAACUCAAAGUCAGUACCUGCUGUCCCUUAAAAGUAAAAGAUCAUUAAGCCUGUAAGUUCAACUUGUACACGGGGGUUUUAGACCACAGUCCUCUUUGGUAAUGCAACCAAUCUUUGCUUGGAAUGUCUAAAUUUCAUUCUCCUCUGAAAUAAAAAGUAAAUAAAUACCAAAACAACUGCCAAUAAAAUAUACGCCUCAAAGUUGGUGUUCCCAAAUAUAUCCUACAAAGUCCAGACUAUUGCCACAGUUGCAAUCAAAGUUUUGUAUUACUUUUCCUUUGGCUGUUGUGUCUGGAUCAAAAACAAAGUCCACAGGCAUUGCUCCUUCUUCCAGUCAGAUGAUUGUAUUCUUCAACUUGUACCCGGGCAUCGACGCCGUUACAGCAGUUGUAUUCCAUAAUUUAAACCCAAAAUAAUCACAAUCAUUUUGAUUGAAUUGGAAUGAGCUAUAAACUAUCUAUGAAAUAUCUCUUGUUGCACUUUGGGCUUGAAAAGGGGGAUACAAGUUAUUAUAAUUGUACUUUAUAAUAUUUUGAAUGAGGCUACCAAGAGUGAGAAUAUGAUUCAUUGAUUAGUUUAGGAUUAGAAAGAAGGAUUGUGGAGUCUGUUAUCACAGCCUCGCGGAUAAUAUUUUGGUACAUUGGAGCCUAGAAACAUAGAAUAUUAGAAAGAAACAUAUUUUGGCACAUUGGAGGUGGAAACUAACAGGGGCACUGGUUUUCUGGUUUUCCAAGCACCUUGUAAGUUCCUGUUUUCCUCAUAAUAAGUAAGAUCAUCUUUUUUCCCUUUAUUGUAAGAACUAAUUUCCUUGAUAAAUGAAAUGAAUGUACUUAACGAAUAGAAGUCAGAUUUGGAACUUUGUAUCAUCAUUAUUUACCCACGAAGUCCACUAGCAGAUUGUAUAUGAUCCUUUGAAAGAUAUGUGAAUGAUUUUUAAAACAUAAUAUUAUGAGAUCCAAAAGGAGUUUUGCAUUACUUUUUCAGCAAUGUCGCAAAGGGAUAUAUUGAUCAAGACAUUUGUUUAGAAAAUAAAAGAACGAAGAAAACAAGAUGAAGUUGAUAAUCAAAAUUUCAUGUUUGCUGAGAAGAGAGAAGAACUUGAAAAGAAAAUGAGAGAAUGAGAUCCAUAAGUCGAAAGAAACCACAUUUGAUUGAUGUAACAAACUUCUCAUAGAAGUACAAAAAUGAAUACUAUUUAGCAAUUUCAACUAGUUAAGGCAUAUUCCUUGUUCAAGAGGUCAAAUAUUUGAUCUCCACUGUCGUCAUUCAACUAUAUAUGCAUAUAUGUCUAUAAUCACCAACUUAAAACUUAGAAGGCAACAGUAAACGUGAAAACUUAAAAGUGAAAGAUCAUUAAGUUUAAUUAUUUUCCUUUAAACAUCAUUAAGAGGGGAAAAAAAAUUAAGAAGUCUUAAAAACUUAUAGUCAAUAACCACCAACUUAAGACUUAAAAGAUCAUUGUCCAUUGUUCUCUUAGUUAAUAUUUAUGGAAUGAUUCUUGAAUUGUGGGUCAUCAAAUACCAAAUUGAGAAUUGAAUUAUUAAUGAUUUUUUCAUCAUGUCUCCGCCAUUUUUCCUUUAAUGCAUUACAUGAAGAAUAUUUGAUUUAGAAUUAGGUAGCAAUAUAUCCAAUGAGUGUUACCAACUCUGAUGUAAUUUUUAUUUUUAACAAAGUGUUAUCACACGAGAAAUUCUUACUAAGAUCACAAGCAUUAUCAUUGAUGCGGUAUGUUUUUAAACUACUUACAUUGUAACGUUAUAAAUAGUAUAAUAUGACUAAUUUUUAUUUAUAACAAAGUGUCCACUCGACUUUUUAUGUUUUAUAUAUUCAUACGAGAAACUCGUACUCACAGCUUCAAUUGGAUGAAGUACAAGUAGAGUGGGCUGAAUUUUUAACUCGAUACAUUUGAUAGACACACCUAGAUAUGAUCUUGUUACUUUUGUAAAUGGCCUAACAUUGAGAAUGUCCAUAACCUUUUUUGUGGAAAUGUUUUGUUUAUAGUCAUUAUGCUUAUAUACAUUAGGCAAAAGAUGUUAGGGGAUAGACUUUAGUUUUGGUAUACCAUAUAUGUUUAUGGUUAUAUAAGAUAGCUAUUGUUAUUGUUAAUUUUGAAAUAGGCCACAUAUAUAAAUUUUAGUUGGAUAUAUUGGAUUGAAAUUAUGUAAUUGUUGAUGACAUUGUGGAGAAAAAUGAAAUUAUUGUUAGUUUACUUAUUAUACUAAACUAUUUGUCCUUUUUUUGUUGUGUAACUAUUGGUUGAAAAGUUUAAUUUGUUGAUGGAUAUGUUUUAUUGAAACGCAUGUACCUAAUGCAGGAAGGGAAAAUGGAAAAUUUAAUAUAUUAAUAAACGGUAUACAUGACGCUAAAUACAUAUCAAGUAUACUAUCUUACUUGAAUCAAAUAUAUAUUUUACUUGAGAAAUUUAAAUAAUGUCCACUAUACAAAUUUACUUGCGGUGUAAAUAGUGUCAGUAUACUAUCUUACUUAAUGGAUAAAUAGUGUUAAGUAUAUUAUCUUACUUAACGUUAAAAAACCGUCAAACAUAACAUCUUACUUGACAUGUAAAAUCUGUCAAAUAUACCACCUUACUUGACACGUAAAAAGUGUCAAGUGUGAUAUCUUACUUGACACAAACAUGACGUCAAAAAAUAGAAGAAUUGACGGUGUUUUAGUGUUAAGCAAUGCAACUAUACUUGACAGUUAAUCACAUUCACACUUUUUAAAACGUCAAGUAUAGGUUUACUUGACACUGCAUUCAUGUCUAGUAAUUCAAUUUCUAUAGUAGUGACAAUUAGGACACAUGGGUAAUUCCUUCAAAAUUUUGCCUACCUCAACAACCUGUUGUUGGUGCAGCCGGAACAAACCACCUGAUCUCAAAUUUCUCUGUUGUGCUACUGUAGGCUACUACUCAGCCUUCCUUUUCUGCCUUGAAGUUGGUCCCUUUUUUGCAGCCUUGGCCAACUUUAACCUUUUAUGCAAACUCAAAUCCACUGCCAUGCGUAAUGCAUCAGCCUGGGUAGCUGGUCUAAGAACUCGAACGAAACCCUGGAUCUCCGACUUAAGGCCUCUGACAAACUUAUCGGCUCUCUCAACGUCAGUUCUCACUAACUCAAGUGCAAACUAGGAUAACAUGUGUUGAAUUCCUGAUCGUACUCCUCCAUGGUCAUAUGACCUUGCUCCAGCUCUAGGAACUCCUUGCACUUGGCAUGUCUCACUAUGGCGGAGAAGAAUUUGACAUAAAAAUUCUCCUUAAACUGCUCUAGGUGAUCUUAUUCAUAUCUCCACCCAACAUCCUCUCUAUGGACUCCCACCAGCCAUUGCCUUUGUUAAUCAGUAGGAAUGCGAUGCACUGAACUUUUCUUUUGUCGUUCUUUAACUUCCAUGCGGUAUAAGAGCAAUGGAACCAUAAGGGAGUAUGUGUUAUGGAAAUGUUCAAUCUCGAUAGUAAAUUAAAGACACUUCAUAUUGAGAUCAAUGAAAACUUACUUAUUCAUAUAAUACUUAUCUCUCUUUCUACACGAUUCACUCAGUUUAAGAUAAGCUAUAAUACUCAUAUAAAUGAAGUAUUAAUGAGCUUAUCUCACAAUGUGUGCAAGAAGAAAGGAUUAAGAGAGAAAUGAUAAAAAAUGUUCACUUGGCAACUAACUUUUGUGGUAAGAAGAAAAGAAAGUCUACGGAUGUUGCAGAAUGACAUCCAAGUAGAAUAAAAAACAAACUACGGAGAACCCUUGUUUUUUCUACAAAAAGAAAGGUCAUCUCAAGAAAGAUUGUCCCAAAUAGGCCCAAUGGUGCGUAAAGAAGCAUAAACUUAUUACUUUGGUUUGUUAUGAAGUUAAUUUAGCUUUUGCACCAACAUAUAUUUGAUGGGUAGAUUCUACCUACGGAGCCGACUGUCAAAUGAUGGUGAAAGAUUCAUCUAUGUGGGUGAUGAUAAAGUUAGUUCACUUUUAAAAAACUGGCUGUUUUUUAGAUUUGAAUGAGACUUUUAUUAUACCGUUAUUUAGACGAAACUUAGUUUCUAUUUUCAGUUUGAACAAAUUUGAUUUUUCUUGUUCUUGUGAAAAUACUAAAGUUAGUUUUUUUCAAAACUCCAAGCUUAUUUGUAUGCUUCUUUAAUUGAUAACCUAUUCAUUCUUAAUUCUUAUAUAUUCUUCAUCUAACAAGGUCAUGUUGUCUAAAUCAUGUGGUACAAAGUGUAAAUUAAAUGAGAAUUUUACUAUGUUGUGGCACAAACCUUUAGGUCAACAUCUCUAAAUAGAGACUUUAGAGACUUGUGUCUGAUGGAAUUCUUAAUUCCCUUGAUUUGAGAAAACUUAAAGUUUGCGUGGAAUGUAUUAAGGGAAAACAGACAAAUAUAAGAAAAUUAGGUGCCAAUAGAUGUUCAGACAUCUUAAAACUAAUAUAUACAAACAUUUGUGGCCUUAUUCUCUAUGACUUCUUGAAUGAACAACAAUACUUUAUUACGUUCAUCGACUACUAUUUAAUAUAUGGGUACCUAUAUUUAAUUUGUGAGAAGUUUCAAUCUUUAGACGUCAGGCCAAACUCAGAUAAGUUAGCUAUCAAACCUUUAUUUCUUCUUUCAGAAAUGUUGCACAUUCAGCCUGAAAGUGUCUGAAUCCAUCACAUUUAUGACACCUAAUACUUCUGCCUUCUUUAUAAUUUCUUUCAUUUUCCUUUCUUCGAUUAAAAUUAUUGUUUGAGCCGAAAGAAUUUUGAGAUGAGGUUGUUAUUGAAUCCUGCCUGUUUUGAUUUUUGUUACUUCUCACAUGUUUGAGAAAUUGACUCUUGAGUUUUGUCGUUUAUUUUAUUAGCAAGACAAUUGAUUCCGCUAAUGAUUCUUCAUUGAUAGAAUCCUUUGAGGUUUGAGAUCCAUCCUCGUUGCUGGCUGUAAAGGCAAUUCCAGACUUCUUCUUGGUGUCGCUUCUCCCAAAGCUAGUCGAAACGCCUUCAAUGAUCCGAACAACUGAUCAAGCUUCAUUUUGGAGACAUCGUUUUCCUCUUCAGUAGCAGUGACUUUCACGUGAAAUCGUUGAGGAAAAGAUUGCAGGACUUUCCUAACAAGCUUCAAAUCGCUUCAAAUCAGUCAUCCUUUCUGCAAGAGCAAAGGACUCAUUAGCUAUGUCUAGAACACGAACGUUGUAUUCGAUUAUUGUUUCAUCUUCUGACAUUUUAAGCGCUUCAAAUUUUGAUGUUAAAAUUUGUCGUCCUAACUUUUGAGGUUCCUUCAUAUGCCACUUCAAGGAUUUCCCAUGCUUCCUUUGCAAAGACGCACGUGUUAAUCAAUUUGAACACAUUUUGAUCAAUAACAUUGAAGAGCGCGUUUAGGGCACAACAGUUUCCAACAACAACAUCAUCCUCAGCACUAGUCCAUUUUAGCUCUGACUUGAGAGAGACUUUGCCAGCUUCAUUCGUCUCAGUUGGGUGCUGCCAUCCAGAAACUACAGCUUUCCAACAUUUGAUGUCAAGAGCUUGGAGAAAAGCUACCAUUCUCACCUUCUAGUAGGCAUAAUUUGCUUCGUCUAAUACUCGGGUUCGGGUGGUUGAAUUUCCUUCACAAUUUGAUCCAUUUAGGCAAUCUUUGUCGUAACUCGCUCUGAUACCAAUUGAGAAAACACACACUCAGUUAUAGUUGUAUCGUUUGUUGUAUUGUAAGUUAAUAACUCGACAAACAACUAAGACAACACAUAAAACAAUAGAUCACAAACAUACAGAACUUUGGUAACCCAGUUCGAUGACCACACAUCCACGUCUGAGACGUCUUAGACCUAAAUAAGAGAUUCUAUUACUCAUACAAUAAUUGAUCAAUUAUAAUGUUAUGUCUCAUGGUACAACACUUUACUCAUAGUCAACAGUCUUAUAAUUAGUAAUGUGCUAAACAUAUAACAUUACGAGGAUAACUCCCAAUUAUUCAGUAAUCACAUGCAAUCUUAGCUUCAAACACACUUAAUAGUUGAUUUAACUCUCUUGUGUUUAAUAUGCGGUCUCAUCACCUAUUCGUUCUCGAAAGGGCAUAUUAAAUGAAUUACCACAAUCAAGAAUCUGUUCACCAACGACGAGCAGAACCACACUCACGUAACUUCUCUUAUUCCACUUUUGCACGAAAAAGUAACCUUCAACGAAAUAGCCCAGGAACAAUAAUCCACGAAAUUGAGAUUUUUGGGAUUUUUUUUUAACUUAAGCGAAAUGUGUACCUUUCACCUUUUAAUGGCCCCAAACUCAUCGUUUUUAAAAACUAUACCAAACAUUUUGUCCCCUAAUGUAUCUCUUAUUUUUUGAAAUUUCCAUUUUGAAAUUUGAUUUUCUUUUCAAUUUUUAUAGAUAUAUUAAAGAAAAGAAAAUAUACAUAAUGAAACAACAUUUGUGAUUAAAUUUAACCACAUAUUUUCAAUUUUGUGAUUUAAGAGAAAAGCAAAAUAGAUGUUGCCAAUUAAUUAAUUUAAAAAUAGUUAAGAGUGGAAUUGGGUUUAGAAGAUAAAUGGAGCAUGUGACACAUACACCUCCACCAACGCAACCAACAACCAACUAGCUCGCACCAUCUUAUUACAUAUAGCUCUCUUAUUUUCUCCCAAACUUCCUUUGUAUUUCUUUCUAUAUUCUACAUUGUUCUUAUGUACUUAAUAAAUCAAUUACUUCUUGGUUAACUUUUUUCAAGUUUCUAGAUAUCUUUCUUAAAACAAUACUAUUUAUUUACUUAUAUAUUUAUUUAAUGGCCAAUAUGAUUAUUUUUUCCUUCAAUUUAAAAUUGGUUUAGACUUAGAACGUACAAUUAAAUUUAAUGUUUUUUUUAGAAGAUGAUAUCAAUUUAGGUUAGUAGUUGCACUCAAGGAUCUCCAUUAGGUGGGCACCCUUUUAACACCCUCAUCAUACCUGAUAUAUAUUCAUUAAGUUACGGGAUACAAAAGUUGUGGGACUAGAGAUAAGCCCAGUUGUUACAUCAACUAGUAAACAAUUUGUUCCUUAGGUACUAUUGAUCGUUUAGUAGACAAUUUGUUUAGGAUUCAAUCAUAAAUAAAAUUUGUUGUGGCUAGUAAGAGAGUGAAGCCGCAUUAUUCAAGUCCUCGAGUCAACACCAAAGGAAAUUGAAAAAUAAGUGAGAUGAUAAAUAAUAUCCUCCAGCUAUGACUAACGUUAUUAACUUCAGGAAUAGCAAACAUAACAAAACGAACAGAUAACACAGAAGACUUUGAUAACCCAGUUCGACAAAUACGACCUAUAUCUGGAAAGCUUUUAUGCUCCGAUAAGAAAUAUUAUAAGAUUAAAAAAAUUUGUAACUUAAUCCUAAAGUUAUAUUAACAAGUUAUCACCCUAACUUAACUGUAUAAACUCAAGCUUCCCCUGACGGUAAACUUGAAUCUCCUUGAAGACAAAUUCAGACUCCCCCUAUAUUCAUUGACCGCAGUACAAUUUUCUCAGCCUUCAUUCAUAUUUCUUAUCAAUUGAUACUCUAUCAAAUCCCUUGACAAUCUUCAAUAAUUUGUCAUAAUACAGAAGGUAACUGGUUUAUCUUCGUACAGAUUCUUCACCAAAAAUAUAAACAUAAGAACAACAGCUGUGAAGAAUAAUUUUACGUUCAUAGAAUUGUUUUUAAAAGAUUCAAAAAGAAGAACUUACAAUAAAAUAUUCCUAAAUAUGAGGAAUAUCUUCUCUUUAAAAAAGAUAUUUAAGGAAGAUCUUUUGACUCCUUAUUAAAAGAUAUUGAUAAACGAUCGUAAACCUAAAGAAGAUAUUUUAUCAUUCUUUAAAAAACAAUAAAACUAAUUUCAUAUUUAUAAAAAAAUCUAAGAGAAAUAACUUAUCUACAGUUUCUAAGGACUAUAAUCACUAAAAUUAAAUUAGAUGAAUAUUGAGUUUGCAAUUUGGGACACUCUCACCCAUACAUAUAUAAAAGGACGAUCUUGAUGCAUGAGCAAAAAGAUAUUUAGAUUGAGUUACAUGGUCAUUGGUUAAACUAUUAACAUCUCCAAUUAACGAUCUUAAUUACAAUAAAAGAUUAUAUGUUUUCUAGUUCGUGUAUAUCAUUGUAUAAGAUAGCCUCGUAAACAUGUGUCUAUACAAAAAUGAUUACAAACCCCAACAAUUUCGUCCAUGAACAUGCCCCGAAGAUAAGUUAUUGGAUUUUUAUCAUAGGUGGUCAUUGGACCAAAUUAAGCUUAUUUUUUGUCAAUUGAACAUGAGCCCAAAUUAAUACAAUGUUGGAUGACAUAUAUUUUAUUUGAUUCAAUGGUUAUGAUGAAAAGACACGCGACAUAAUUACAAUUCGCCUUACAAUUCGCCAACUUAUGUCCUCAACUUCAAUUUGUGACGUGUGUUAAUUUUUAACUAACUCUAUCACUUGUAAUUUCAUCAUUAAUUCGAGAAAGGACAUGCCAAUUUGUGAUUGAAGGGUGUGAAAUUGCCUAUCAAAUUUGGCCAAAGAACACAACAAAAGUAAAAUACUAGGUGGAAUAUAUUUAAUUUAUAGAUAUAUAUGUGUAUAUAUCAUAUUGUAUAUCGGACAAACACUAUAUUUGAGCUUCAUACAAUUAUAACAAUGAGGAUAAUCAUUAUUUACUCUUUAUUAAAUCCUCAAAAUCUCUAGAAAUCAUAUAAAUGUCAACAUACACAGUAAGUACUCGUAUCAGAUUAUGAGCGAGAGACAGGAAGCAUAAAUCGAGCCAUGUACGCUCUUAUUACUUAAGGUGUGAUUCGAUAUCUUUGAUGAGAUUUUCCAAAAAUUCAACAUAUUUGUAUGGAGCAGGUGAGCCAUCAUCAAGUUUCUCAUAUUUCAAAUUCAUAACCACUAAACUAUGCUGAGGUUUUUUUGGCACAAUUUGAUAUAUAAUGUUGAAAGUUUUGUAAUGCUUAAACACAUUUCCUUCUAAUCCAACCAACUUCAUCACUAGUUUCUUAUCAUCGAACUCCACUCGUUCUUUGAAAACUUCUGGCUUACCAUCUUAAACAAAUCACAUAGCAACACAAAACAUAUAUCAAAUUAAUAAUGAAUGUUUAUAUGGAUCAAUUCAUUCUUGAAUGGAAAAGAAAAACAAGUGCUCGUGAUAGGUGGCAGUGAUCGUGGUUGAAGUUGCGAUUGUUUUAUGCAUACCUAUAGUGUAAUUCCAAAUCUUGAUGGAGCCAUGGCCAUGGACGUCCCAAUCUCCUUCGUGGAGUUUAACUUGUUGGAUCAAAUUUGACGAAAUGUUUGGAGUAUGGAAGAUUUCAUGUUUGAAGAAAUGAAAAAACUUGUUUGCAUUUGCAUUGACUUCUGUUUCAUUUACAAGCUCUCCAACAAGGGCCAUUGUUUGAUGGAAUUCACACAACUCAAUAUAAUUCAACUUCAGUACCCUCUUCUUUUUAUAGUCCCUAGGGAUUAAUUAUUUUAUUAUGUGUCCUUAAUGUGUUAUUUUCUUUCUAAUUAAAUUUAUCUUAAUCUUAUGUUUUUUAAUAUUUUCUUCUGUUGAGUAUCUCAGUAGAUCACUGGGUGGGGUAUAGUUUUGAAGAUUUUAUGCCCUUUUUUUAUAUAUAAUAAUAAUUUCUUGAAAAGAAAAUUGCUAAGUUUGUCCUUAUAUUAUAAAAUUUUGUUUUUUAUUCCAAGUCAUUUACAUUUGGUUUUCUUUUUUUUUAAUGGAAAAAUUUUCAAAUAUAACCAUUAGAAUAUAUAUUAAACUUGGCCAUUUUUUAUAAAUAUUUUUAAUAGUUAAGUCACUUUUUUCAAUUUUUCUUUUAAAAUGUUGAAUUUGUUUGAUAUGGAAUUUGAUUUUAUUUUCUUGUUACAAUGUUAUAAAAUUUUACUAUAGAUAUUAAGGAAAAAUAGGACGGUUUUAAAAUUUAGAAACCAAAUUGAAAUGUAUAUAAAACUUAGGAGGCAAAUAUAAGAUUUUGAAAUAUUUGGAGCAAAAGUUUUUGGUCAAAAAUGUUUUUUUCCAUUAUUUUAAUUGGUCAAAAUUUAAUAUCUUAUUGCUUUGAACAUCCUUAUUUUAUUUGAGCACCAUGCUUAGCUUCCAAAUGUCGAAUGUCUAAACUUAGGUAUGGCCACUCACAUAAAAUCGUAAACUUAGUUAUUUUAAGUAAUGGUUAUGAAAUUUGAUUAAACUCUUAUAACAAUUUUCACGUCACGAAAGAGUCUUUUAAUUUGCUUGCAAAUUUUUUGAAGGGUAAUUGCAAUGAACGACCAUUUGAGAAAUAAUAGUUAAGUAUAUAGCAACAUUUAAAAAGAAUUACAAAUAUAGCAAAACUAUCGCUGAUAGACUUGUAUCACUGAUAGACUCGUAUGAUCUAUCGGUGAUAGAUCAUUUUUUAUAACAUGGUCUAUCGGUGAUAGACUCUAUCAUUGAUAGAAUUUUACAAAUUUGGUUAUAUUUGCAAUUUUUUUUAAAUCAUGUUGUUAUAUGCUUAAUUAUUUUGAAUUUAAUUACUAAAUUUGCAAUUAUCCCUUUUUUUUUGAAAGGUUACAGUAACCAAGCAUUCGUGGCUAUGUUUAAAAUUUCUGGAAACCAAAAGGGACUUAUUUUACACAUUUAAAUAAGUGAAAGGUUGCUUGGAAUAAAAAAAAAAUUAUAAUAUACCAAAUUUUACAAUAGGGAUAUUUCUUAUAUUUUAUAAAUACUUUUAAUAGUGGAAGGUUUCAUUAGGAGACAAAGGUAUAAGAGAUCAAUAUUUUAUAAUUGAAAUCUUUAGGACAGAGGUGUGAGUAUCCAAAGCAAAGUUAAAGUAGAAUAUGUUGAACGUAGAAGAAAUAGAAUUAUAUUAUAAAUUUUAUAAGCAGAAAUAUGUGUCCAUGCAUAUAUAGUAUCCUAACAAACCAAAAAGGUCUUUUUAUCCCAAUUAUUUUAUGUGUCUUGGUCCAUAUUGUCUAUGGGUCUAAUGCCAAAAUAUAUGUCAUACGACUAUAUGCUUGGUGUCCAAGUGGUUCCUCGUCUGUCAAGAAGAGCUAUUUAUAUGACUUUAAUUUACUUUUCUUGUUACACUCUGUCCCACACACGUCCUUGUUUGGUAUGCAAAACGCGGUCAUCUUGAUGUGCUAAAGCCAACACACAUUCAUCUUGAAGUCGUUAAGAUUUGGUUAAUUGCCAAGUCUCUUUGACUUAAAACUUAAGAAACAUACUCUGGCGAUAUAACCAACUUAACACACAAAAAUAGACCAACUCAUACUUUUAUUUAACUUUUAGCUACGGGUUUUACAAUAAGCUUUACAAACACAAUCAAAAUACAACUCUUAAAGCAUAAACUAAACGCCUAGCAAACCCUUCAACCUUCCAUUACUUGGCCUUAACGCCUGAUUCCUAGAAGAUGAGAUUUAAAAUUAUAAGUCUACAGACUUAGAGAGGUUUUCAUAAAUUCUUUUCGCUGUACUUUUACAAAUAUCAUUUCGUGUAACAUAAAAAUAGAAAUACUAGUUCAUAAUAACAUAUCAUUUUGUAUACAUGUUUCAUCUUGCAUAAACACACAUUAGUUACUAAUCAAUCAUUUUUUCAAGGAUCCAAAAUCAUUAUGUACACUAAGUCAAGUAACUUCGCAUUUAGACUACUGUAUUAACAACAUUUGAAAAUAUACAGAUUCAUCCUUAUUGCCCAAACUGAGAUGCAAUGCACAUCUUUCAUACAUUGUCCCGCCUCAAAUCACCAUGUAGUCCCUUUCAUUCUAUGGUGGCCUUUACUCUUUAUGUGCACAUAACCAUUAGCUUGACAAAGGAUGUAACUAAUGCAUGGUUUGAAACCAUUCAUAAUCUAAUCAUACAUAAUACAUGUAUAACAUUUUUACGUAAAGCUGUUUAGAAACACUUACAAUGAAACUCUUCCUUUCAAAUCAUUUAAAAACAUAUAAGGAAACUGACAAUCAUUUAAAAACUUUUAAGAAAACAUUCAUAAACUUAGCUUUAACCCGAACUUCUUCUACUUCCUUCUUCUUCUUCUCGCGUAGGCAACUCGGGAGAACUUCAGCUUUUAUGCUUUUCUCUUCAAAAUUUAAGAAUAUCCAUAAAAUAAAUCACUAAAGUGCUCUCCCUAUUUAUACUACUUCUUAAACAAGAUUAGUAACCCUUAAGCUCAUGCCUUCUUGACAACUCCCUCUCUUAGUGGUGCAAGUGUAAGCUUAAGGUUCAACCUAAUCAUGCUUAACAUAAACUCUCCACAUGACCCAUUAAACACACUUAGGAAAUUUCUCUAAAUUGUCCUUGCUCCUUUUUGCCUAGUGAUUCUUCUCGCGGAGCACCUUUAGUCACAUAGUGAUACUUGGACUUCAAGUUUUCCUAGCGAGUUACUUUAGAUAUCAACUUCUUAUCGCCUAAUUUUAUUUCAGAACGUCGUCUUUCAGUCAUAACGCCUAUUUUAGAACACUUUGUCAAAUUUUAUCCUUUUAACUUUUAAUUUAGGUACAUGUCUUACAUUCCUUGGGUUAUUUAAUGCAUUUAAAGGAUAUAUUUGUAGACUCUCAACGGUAAUUCAACAAAGUGUCAUUCGAGGUUGAGUUGAAACACUUAAGAGUUAUAUGAAAAAUCGAGGCCUCAAAAGAAUACAAAAUGACCAAAAUAUGCCUCCAAAGAAGUAGCACAACGUCGCCAUGCUCGCAUACCACACACAACAUAGUAAGGCAAUAGACACCUCAAAGCAAGAGAGCUAUAACGCAUUGAAUACAAACAUUUUCUGGUUUGUACCGUUUUAACUUGAAUAUUUAUUUAAUAAAAGCAAGAGUUAUUUCAUUUGACAUUUUAGACUAUAUAACACUACAAAAAAAAAAAAAAAAAACAUAUUUGUCUAGGCAAGAAAAUCCGCCGGCGGUGUGGUCGGAAGAAAAGGAUCGAGAGUUUGAUUUGCCAACACCAUAAACACGGCGCCGACAUAUAAGAACAAUUGUCGACAAGGCAAUACACUGGCAGUAGUGCAUUAUGAUCUCUUGAUACCUGUACUACACGGUAAAGAGAUAUUAUAUCUGCCAAUGCCUACCAUCGGUAGAUAUCCACAGGAUCUUAUUAAACCAUUUUAUGCUAAAGAUAAAUGUUUACCACAUGCUUUCUAUCUGAGAUUAAGGAAAUUAAUAUAUUUUAAAGCAUGAGUUUAGGAAAUGCUUUUAGCAUGUGAAUGAUAGUAAAACUUAAAGAUUAUUGUAAGUAUGUUUUACAAGCAAAACUAUUUUAUUAUGCAAAGUUUGAAUAUGAUUGAGAUUUGUGAAUGAGAUUUCCAUAAACAUGAGAUUUAAAGUGUUUAGUCUAUACUGGCGUUUAUUAUGAGAUACAUAUAGCAACUCUACGGGGUAUUACAGUUUCAUGUGCACAGAGGUCUUGCGGUGAUGGUAUUCAGUCUGUGACUAGAUUUGAGAUGAGGGCCUCUAUGGAUGCCUAACUUCUCCAUCUCCUAGCUAUCUACAUGAUAGGAUACUACUAAUGCUUAGGUUCUUUGUCUUGUAAGUAUUAUAUCACGAGAUAGGGUUUCCACGCGUAGCUUCUUCGUCUCGAUCGAUACAUAGAGAUAUUUGGUAUAACAUGAAAGAGAAAGUUUAUAUUUUAUUAUUCCAUAAAGCUAUUUGAUAAAUAAUUAUUGUUAAGGAAUGUUGUUUCUAUUGAACAUUUUCAAGCUUUACAUUUUCCUAAGUUAUGAUUUACCAGUUUUACUCAAAUAAUUUAUUUUAAGCAUGUUCAGUUAUUUAAUCAUUCACUCACUGGGUUAUUCAAUUCAUGCUUUCUAAAACAUUUUUAAUUUUUCAGGUAGAGAUCGUUAGAACCAGUACUUGACUCCAUUUAUCGAUAUGUUAGUACCAUAGUUUUGAGUUUCCUACCCGUAUGUGUUGUUUGGAGUUAGUCUUUUGGGUUGUAUAUAAAGUUGAAGUUUUGGUUGUGGAUUGUUUGAAUUUGUUAGUUUUAACUCUGAUGUUGGGUUAUUGUAGUUAUGUCUAUGUUAGAAUCGUGUUAUUGUACAUUCUGUAAGUGUGGGCUACAAUACAAGUUUCUGUGUUUAUAUUAGUUGAAUGUGUUUCAUGUUUUCGCUGUGUUAUAAAAAUUUAGUUAAGAGUAAGUUUUAGGGUUGAUAGGUAUCAUUGAGGUAAGUGGUGGUAUCUGUUAACCAGUUGCAUCAUCUCUUGGGCUAAGAGUAGGUGGCGUGGGAGGGAGUGUGACAUUGACAGCACAAUAAGUGAAAAUUACAAGUCCGAGACAACUAUGCCUGAAAAUAUAGGUGAAUAGGGUAAUGUUGAUAUUGAGGUCAUCCUUGGAUGGAAAGGACAAUAAUGAUGAAAAUGAGGUUGAUGCAAGAGUUACUAAAAAAAAAAAUUAGAGAGGAUCGUUUAGAAAAUAUCAGUUAAGUAUGAUUUGUCUUUUGAUCUGCCUAUUGCACUAAGGAAGGAUACCAAGUCUACACUAAACACUCUAUUGCUAACUAUGUUUCUUAUGAGAACCUAUCUCCUCAAUUCAAAGCCUUCACAUCCAUCCUUGAAACUACCAUGAUACAAAAAAAAUAUCCACAUUGCUUUAGAAUAUCUUGAGUGCAAAAAUGUUAUGGAAGAUAUGAGUGCCCUUGAAAAGAAUAAGACUUAGAAGAUCUACACUUUACCUAAGGGACAAAAACUGUGGGAUGCAAAGUGUGUUCACUAAUAAAUACAAGGUAGUUGGAACCCUUGACAGACACAAGGCAAGGUUAGUUGCAAAUGAGUUUACUCAAAUUUAUGGUGUUGAUUAUGUAGAAACUUUUUUUCGGUUGCCAAACUAGAUACUGUUAGAGUUUUAUACUAUAUGUUGUUGUGAACAAAUAUUGUCCUCUUUAUCAGAUAGAUGUUCAGAAUGCGUUCCUGAAUGAGGACCUAGAGGAGAAAAUCUACAUGAGAUCUCUCCCUCAGGGUUUGAAGUUCAGUUCGGUCAUCAAGUGUGUAAAUUUAAAAAAUCACUAUAUAGUCUUUAAUAGUCACUUAGAGCAUGAUUUGAUAGGUUUACUAGCUUUUUCGUGUCUCUAAGAUACAGUCAGGGGCACUCUAACCAUACUUUGUUUACAAAGGUGUCCAAGGUUAGGAAGGUUGCAAUGUUGAUUAUUUAUGUUGAUGAUAUCGUUCUAUCUGGGGAUGAGCACGCUGAAAUCAUUCAAUUGAAAAAGAGGAUGAGUUAUGUAACGCCCCAAAAAUAAGACAAUUUUGAAAUUGAAUUAUCUUGGUUAAAUUAUUAAUGUUAAAAUUAUUUUGGAGUGAAUUGAGUUUUUGGUGAGGAUUAUGUGUUUGAGGAAAUUAGGAUUAAUUAAAUAAUUAUGGAAAUAAUGUUUAAUUAAUCAUUGGAAUUGGAAACCUUUGGUAUUGUUAUGGAUUGAUAUUGAUUAGUUAUAUAUUAAAUUAUGGAAGGUAAUGAUAAUUAUAUUAAGGGUAAUAUGAUGAUUAAAAUUUUAUGUUUGUUUGUUAGGGAAUUAAAUGAGGAGGGAAGAGUUGGAGUUAUUUUACCGAUAAUAAAAUGGAAAAGAAAAAAAUGAUUUGAUUUGAGAUGUUUAAGGAGGAGAGAGAAUAAAUUAAUUUGAGUUAUUAUUUUGAAAAAGGAAUAGGAAGAGGGAAGAUAAAUAAUAAUAAUAUAUAUUUAUUUUUAAUCAAGACUCCUUGGCUAGUGUGCACUUCAUCUUCUUCAAUCUUCCUCGUCGCUUGUUGCCUCCAUCUGAUAUCCUCAUGUGAAGCCCCGUCGCCGUGGUUUCCCGCCGUCGGCCGUCCUCGCAACAUCCGAUCUCCACCACCGUCGUCGUGAAGCAGUCGAAGCUGGUUUGAUCCAUUCAUUAGAAGUUGAGUCGCCCGCGCGCACAUCCUUGUCGCACCACACUGGGUUGUACCUGUACCUCUGUCGUCUCUGUCCAAGUCAGCCUUCACAUCUACCGGCUUCAGUCACGUCGACACCUUUACUGCCCUGAGUUCGUUCUGGCAAGCCUCGUACCGUCGUCCCAGCCGUCUUUUUCGAUCCGAGCCGCUACCAUCUCAACCAAGUCACACACCUGAGCCGCAUUUUAGACCUGAGCUGUUACACGAGCCAUUCCUUCAUGAUCAAGUCGCACGUCUCCAAUGUUGGUUUUACAACAAAGGAUCUGUAAAAUCUCACGCACUCUUCUUGAAGAAAACAAAAGAUAAAUACUUUGUAAGAUAUAUUGUCAAGAGGAAGAGAAAAUUAAAUGGAACUUCUUGCAUUUAUUUAAUUUGAUGGAGUAAUAUUUAUAGUCUAAAAAGAAGCAAAAAUUAGUAACCCACUAACUUAGUGCUUGCUAAAACUUUGGAGAUAAUUAGAAAAAUAAAUAACCAAAAUAAUAAAUAGAAAAAUAACUUAAUUCUUUCACCUAUUUAGAAAGAUCAUGGCAAAUUAAUAACUCACACUACCCCUAAUUCUGACAUAAUUCUAAGUUACGAACACCAAGUAGUUGACGCAUAGCAGCUAACUUUACUCCCGUCAAUGCUUUAGUCAGAACAUCGGCUCGUUGUUCUCCAAUGGUGACAAAUUCAACGAUAAUUUGUCCAUUCUCGACACACUCUCGAAUGAAAUGAAAACGUGUAUCUAUGUGCUUGCUGCGACCAUGAAAUAAGGGAUUCUGCAUGAGAGCUAUCGCGGAUUUGUUGUCCACAAAUAAUGUCAUCGGCCUUGGCUCCAUUCCGACUCUCUCGCUAACAAAGCAUCUUAACCACAAUGCUUAGCAAGUUGCGGUAGUGGCUGCAAUGAACUCGGCUUUGCAAGAUGAGAGUGCCACCGUUUUUUGCUUUUGCAAAUUCCAUGAAACCAAGCUUUCGUUUAAGUAGAAUGUCAUUCCACUUGUGCUUUUCCUCCCGUCGAGAUCACCGGCUAAAUCACUGUCAGAGUAAUCGAAUAUAUUGAAUUCUCUUGGACCUUUCGUAUAAGUGAGCCCAAAAUGAAUUGUCCCUAUCAAAUACCUAAGUAUUUGCUUGACCACCUUGUAAUGCAUGGUUGUAGGCCUUUCCAUAUACCUACUCGCCAUCCUAACAGCAUAUGAAAGAUCUGGCCUUGUGUUCAGUAAGUAUCUAAGACAACCAACGAUCCUUUUGUACUCCGUAGCAUCAAUUGGUGCUCAUUCCAUGUCUUUGUGAAGUUGUGCAUUGAGUUCCAUCGGGUACUUUGUGGCAUUGCAAUCAGCCAUUCGAAACUGGGACAAAAUUCUCUUGGCAUAAGUUGGUUGUUUGAGCAGGAUUCGACCCUUCUGUUGUUCAACUUCAAUUCCUAAGUAGUAAGAGAGAAGGCCUAAGUCGCUCAUUUCAAAUUUUGCCAUCAUUUGUUGCUUGAACUUAAUGACCUUUUCAGUGCUACUUUCUGUUACAAUGAGAUCGUCAACAUACACUCCAACAAGAACACAUUCCUCUUCUUCUCUUCUUAUGUAGACUGCUUGCUCUUGAAUGCAUUUUCUAAAACCAAGAUCUUUGAGACUCCUAUCAAGUCGAAUGUUCCAAGCUCGUGGAGCUUGCCUCAAUCCGUACAGAGCUUUUGACAAUCUAUACACAUUGUGUUUUUCAUUUGGAACCUCAAAACCCUCUGGUUGAGUAACAUAUACUUCCUCUUCCAAUUCGCCAUUGAGAAAUGCCGACUUCAAAUCUAGAUGGUGUACCUCCCAACUUUGGUUUGCAGCGAGUGCAAGAAUGACUCGAAUGGUGUCAAGUCUUGCAACCGGUGCAAAAACUUCUUCAAAGUCAAUGCCUUGUCUUUGUACAUAGCCUUUAGCAACCAUUGUUUUGUGCUUGACAACUUCUCCAUUAGGGUCUUUCUUCAAUUUAAACACCCAUUUUAGACCAAUGGGUUUAUGUCCUAGUGGAAGCUCGGUCAGACUCCAUGUGUUUUUUUUCUCAAUGGAUUUUAAUUAGUUCUCCAUUGCUUCGUACCAGCGGCCCUCUGUAACAGCUUCUUGGUAACAAGUCGGUUCUUCGGACACUACCAUCAUCACCUCAUUCUCUUGUUCAUCACCACCUACAACUUCCUCUGUGUUGGCGUAGAUGUCACUGAGAGAUCUUAGAAGGAUCGGUGUGUUCAUCGAUGGAGGAGAUGGACUGGUCUCUCCAAUCGCAGGUAUCUCAGUUGCAUGUGGUUUUACAACAAAGGAUCUGUAAAAUCUCACGCACUCUUCUUGAAGAAAAUAAAAGAUAAAUACUUUGUAAGAUAUAUUGCCAAGAGGGAGAGAAAAUUAAAUGAAACUUCUUGCAUUUAUUCAAUUUGAUGGAGUAAUAUUUAUAGUCUAAAAAGAAGCAAAAAUUAGUAACCCACUAACUUAGUGCUUGCUAAAACUUUGGAGAUAAUUAGAAAAAUAAAUAACAAAAACAAUAAAUAGAAAAAUAAAUAACAAAAACAAUCAAUAGAAAAAUAACUUAAUUCUUCCACCUAUUUAGGAAGAUCAUGGCAAAUUAAUAGCCCACAUCCAAGCCGCACGCUUGCAAGCAUUUUGAGCCAGUUCUCUUCCACGAGUCAUCCACCCGAGCCGACUGCCCUUGUGGAGUCGUUUCCUGUUUUGAGCCACUUUUUGGUGAGAUUUGCUUAUUUUGAUUGGGUUUGGUACUCCCAUCCAAUAGCUAUUUAUCCCAAGUAAUUUAGUGAUGAGUUAAAGUCAAGUAAUUUGAGUUAAUGGAUUUAAGUUAAAAAGUUAUUUUAUUUGAAGGUUGAUUAUUUUGUUGGGAGAUUGGAACUGUGCAAUUUCUUAUUCAAGGUUGUGUUGGAUUCAACCUUAGUCUUAGGACUGUAAUUUGGAAGUUUAUUGUUAGGUGAAAGGACUGUAUUUCGGCUAGUCUUCACAAACAUCUAGCGGGACUAGUAGUGAGUCCCUUAAACAUAAAAUUUAUACUCACCCUUUUUUAUGUUUAAAUUUACACGCAAAGGUAAGAGGUAGAGCAAACUGACGAAUGACAAGAAGAGAUCAUGGUUCACCAUAGAGCGACAAUAUAUGUUUUGUUCAGCUUGUAUUGUUUUCAGUAUUAAAUUUUCAUAAGAUUAUUUCAUAACUCAGGUUUAUUUUAAAAAUUUCUUUUAUUUUAAAUAGGGCCCAACUAGUAUUUUUCCUAAUAUUUAUUUAUUAUUUUCUUCACACAUUUUAUUUACUAUUGAUUUUAAAUGAAUAUUUGAAAUGUUUUCAUUUAUUUUAAACAAAAACUUUUAUUUGUUUUACUGAUAACGACUUCAACUUAGUAUAAAGCGUUGGGUCGUUACAGGUUGCAAGAUUGAAUGCAAAAACUUGAAAAAUCUGAAAUAUUUCAUUAGAAUGGAGGCCAAAUCUAAAGAAGGUAUCUUCUUAGAGAAUGUAUACCCUUGAUUCACUAACUAAGAUAGGUAUGCUAGGAUGUCGUCUUGCUGAUAUUCCCAUUGAAUUCAACUGUAAACUAGGAAAUUCAGAUGCUAUAGUUAUAGUUGAUAAAAACAAUAUCAUCAUCCUUGUGAGUAAGUUAAUUUACUUGUCCCAUACUGAACCAAAAUUUUCCUUUGUUGUGAGCCAAGUUCAUGCAAGCUCCCUAUGAGGAACACACGGAGGCUGCAGACAAAAUCUUAAGAUAGUUAAAAAUGACUCCUAGUAAAGGAUGAUGUUUAGAAAGAUAGACAGGAAAACUAUUGACGUUUGUACUGAUUCAGAUUGGAUAGGGUCGAAUUUUGAGCAACCAAUGAAAUUAUUUUGUGAUAACAAGGCAACCAUUAGUAUCGCCGCCGAUCUAGUUCAACAUGAUAGAACUAAACAUGUUGAGAUUAAUCAACACUUCAUCAAAGAAAGGUCGGACAAUGGUAGCAUAUGCAUUCAGCACAUUCCUUCGAACCAACAAGUUUCUGAUGUCCUCAGCAAGGAACUUCUUAAACAGAACUUUGACUUUUGUGUUAGCAAGUUGGGUCUCAUUGAUAUCUAUGUCCCUACUUAAGGGGAAGCGUUAAAAAUAGUGGGCUUGGGCCUUGAUGAAAGCCCAUCGGUUGUUAAGAUUUACUUUACUCUAAUUUUUAUUAUUUUUUUAUUAGGCUCCUGUUGCAUAUAAAUAUUCCUUCCAUUUAGGCCUUUUCUAUCACCAGAAAAUAGUAAUACAAAAUAUCGUGGUUUUUCUCUCAGUACUCGGGUUUUCACGUAAAUCUGUGUUUCUUUAUCUUCACUUAAACUAUUAUGGCAUGCAAUUUCAUAGUGUAGCUUAUGAUAAUCGUGGAGCUCCUCAAAAUACUGGAAUCAUGACAGUUGGAGAAUGCAAGGGUGGAAGUAAUGAGCAUAAUUUCUAUGGUGUAUUGACUAAAAAGUACUAGAUACUUAACAUUAAAUGCAAGCAUUGAAAGUAUAAUUUCAGAAAUCCCAAACAAAGUUGAAAGCAUAAUUUGAAGAGACAAAACAACAGAUGAAACAAUAGAUGGUAGAAUCUCACGCAAGACAAAUGGAGGAGAUGAACAAGAUGAUUGAACAAAUGAUGUAGUCACGAGGACCAUAAAAAUAGAUAUGAACUAAACCUCUCAUAGUAGACUCGUACAUAUAGGACUUCGGAGCAUAGGGUUAUGACAAUCCUUCAGUUAUGGAAGUUCAUAAUUAAUUUAUUUGUGUUGCUUUGAUUGUAGACCCAGGUUGUAAUGGGUUUGAUUGUAUUUUUGUUUAGGGGAGGAAGCACUUGUGAAAUUGUUUGUAUUAAUGGGCUGUGAUGGAUUGUUCUCCAUUAAGAUGUUUGAGGGGAGGGAGGUGUUUGUAUUGAUUUAGGACAUGAGAUAGGCAUGGUUAGCUUAUGGCUUGGAGUGUUUGUUUUGCUUUGAUUGUAAGUGGGAGGAAAGAGGGUACUUGUGCAUUUGCUUGGACUCGUAGAUGCGCAUUAGAUGGGUGGUUUUACUUUUAUUACAUUAAAUAAGAGUUGUUUGUCUUUGAUAUGUUUCAAGGUGAGGGAGAACUUGUGCAUUUGUUUAGACUCAUCAUAGAUGGACGUUAGAUGGGUUGUUUUUUUUUUUUUUUUUUUUAUUACAUUGAAUGAGGAUAUUUGUCUUUGAUAUGUUUGAUUGGGGGUGGGGUGAGAGAUGGGGUGGGUACUUGUGCAUUUGUUUGGACAAAUUGUAGAUAGACAUGUGAUGCGUUGUUUUACUUUGAAUAGUGUUAAUGAGGUUUGUUUGUCUUUGAUUUGUUUGGAUGAGAGUUGUUUGCAUUGAUGUGUAUGAGGGAGAGGGAGGGGGAGGGGGAGGUGUUUGUUUUGCUUUGAUUGUAGGAGGGUUGAGAUAUGUGUGGGGUACUUAAUGAUGAUGUUUGUUUGAUUGUUGCUUAAGAGUGUGUUUAAUUAUUACUAUGAAAAGCAAUUGUCUCUUGAAUUCAUUACUUACUCUAGGUGCAUGCUUUCUAGGCAAUCAACUAGGAAAGAAGAUUUUUUUUUUUUGGGUUGAUGUUAGAUGCUUAUUACGUCAAACCUAGAAGUAUUUUGAUGAAAAAUUUUCUUUAACAUUCCUUUCUAUCAAGUCAUGUAUCGAGAUUUUUUAGCGUAAUUAAUUAUGUCUUGUAAAUUUCUAUUAAUUUGUAUAUAUUAAUGAAAUUUAGAAUUCACACAAACUGUUAUUUUUACUGUGUAUAGUAUAUAUUAUUUUUACUGUGUAUAGUAUAUUUUACUUUUAUGGUUUCAAUCGUUUGAGAUUUUAUAAAUUUAAAAACAUGAUUAAUUUUUCCAAAAAAAUAAAAACAUUGUCGAUGCUUGAAUUAAUAUCGUCGGCAAAAUGAAUCAUCUUCUGACGCCUUCAUCAAGAUUUAUCUCUCGAUCAAUUAAUUUAUUAGACUGUGCACAAUAUUCCUAAAGCGACAAAUGGCCAUCUGGAGAUUAGAUUUCUGUCGACAUCGUUUGACAACGAUAUCAGAAGACUGUUAUUCCUGUCAGAAAUAAUAUCGACGGUAAUUCUCAACGGAUAUUUGGAUGGCAUUAGUGUUCGUUCUCUAAAAAGAUGUCUCCCAACCCAAUUGCCGACAACUAAAAUGACUCGGUCAAAGUUUUCCCUAUGUCAUCUAGGUUCUUUUCCAACUUAUACAGGCAUCGAUAAAUCCUAAAAUUCUUGGAGUGUAUCCUAUGUUUUUUACCAUAAGAUUCUUUUUUCACGUAGGAUUUGUCAUCAUCUCUUUGGCCUAUGACUAUAUGGAUGUGAAAUUUCCAAUAUUUUUUACCACUGACUUUUUUCCUAAACUGUAGAUUGCAAACAAGUUAUCAAUUAAUGUUGCUUUUUUCUUCUUCUUAAUUUUGGAGUAGAAAGGGAUAGCAUUCUCGUCUGUAUAGACAACCCCAACUGUUGAUACCAAAUUUUGGUUAAGAGAAAGCGCAUCUUACAUUCAUCUAACACAACUCUAAAUUUAUAAUUAGGGAAAGAGAUUACCAUAAAACAAAGAAAAAGAGCUUUCAUAUCUAAGUCACUGACAAAAUUAUGUAAUAGAGAAGAAGUUGAAAGUCUAAAGUGUCAUAUCCCUUAUUUAAAUACUUGAUAUGAGAUUAUAUAAUUCUAUUCCUAAUUCUAAUAAGUUAGAAUAAGAUAUUUUAUCUUACAUUUAUCUUUUUGUGUGAUAUUUUACUUAUUUUAUCCCCAAUUUCACACACAACAGAUUCGAUUUCCUACUACAAUCUCUUUUUUAUUUCUUUUUUCCUUUUGUCUUCUUCUAUUAAACUUUUUUUCAGUCUUAAAGAUUGGCAUAUUCUCUAAUUUAUCUCAAACUCACAUCUCUUUUGUUGUUUCUCAAGUUUUUAUAAGAUUAUUUUUAAAUAAAAAAAUGAAUCAAAAUAUAGUUCAUCUUUUAUCUUCAAAUAAGAUUAGAAAUGUUGCAUAUUUAAUUUGUCUAAUAGAAUUAGGAUCUUGCUUAGAUAAAAAUAAAAAUAAUGUUAGUGUAUCUUUAUAUUUUCCAAAUGAGAUUAGAAAUAUUACAUGCUUUGGCUAGUAAGAUUAAUGAUACUAAUUGGAUAAAGAUAAAGCUGCUCCAAAUUUUAAAUAGUUUUAAUUUUUUUUUUAUUUUAUUUUAUUAUAAUUCUAAUAAUAUUAGAAUAAAAUAAAUGGCAUGUUUAUCUAUUGUGACUAGGUUAAAAUAGAUCUUUUAAUUUAGUAUUAAAUAAUUAAAUAUGUCUAUCUAAAACUUUUUGUGCUGUCAUAUUUUUCUUAUAAGCUAAUUUUUAUCAUAAAGGCAGCAAUAUUUGUGUGAGAAUUUUUCUAUUUUCUUGGCUGUGCACACAAAUUACGAACCUAAAGUAAAACUUGUUUUCAAAUACAACAAUUUUGAGACAAAUUAUCUAUUAAUAUAACAAAAUGUUACCAUUUAUAUGUGUGAUAGAUAUAAACACUUGUAGAAAAAGUUUGUAAAGUCUAAUGAGUAUUAGAUUCAAUUGUUGAUAGACUUCUAUUAGUGAUAUAUUGCUUUAUUAUUAUUAAAUUCUAAAAGCUUGAUCUGAAUUUUGUUAUCUUUGGAUAUUGUUUCACUAUCAUGCUAUAUUUGAACUACCUCUUUACAUAUACUCUUUGCAUAUCCUUUAAUGAUAUGAUGGAUAUUAAUAGAGGGUCUAUAAUUGAUAUUAUUUAAAAUUUUACUAAAUUUAUAAAUACUUUCAUUUAUUAGGAUAUAUUUGAAAAUAGUACCCUUCUAAAAGUAAAUUACAUAUAUGUAUAUCUAUAUAUAUGAAGUGGAAAACAAAGCAGAAUAAAAUAUUCGUGGAAGCAACUGCUUUUUUUUAUUUACAUCCAUAAUAAUAAUAAUAAAAUAAAAUCACUUUGCUGGGUACUUCCUGGCCAGCACAAGAAAAACUAGAACAAAAUAUAAAAUAAAAACAAUACAAUGUAAUAAAUUAAAGUAAAUCAUGAGAAGGGUAUAUAAAAAGGGAAGUAGGAUUGAGCAUUGUUAUUUGUGGUUAUAAUAAGAGAAUUGUAAAGCCAUGUCUCUUAAAGGAAAAAUUGAGAGUGAAAUAGUAAUAAACACACCUCCCCACAGAUUUUACAAACUAUUCAAAGAAGAAAUUUUCGACAUUCCAAAAGCUUGUCCAAAGUUAGUCCAAAAGAUUAAUAUUCAUGGUGGGGAUUGGAGCAAACACGGUCACGGUUCGAUCAAGACUUGGCAUUACACUUUAGGUACAUAUAUCAAUCGAUAUCUUGUUAACAUCAUCCCUGCCACAAUCCUUUUAAUAUAUGUUUACAUGAGUUGUUCCUUAAUUGGCUUUUUUGUUUUUUCUGUGUUGGUUAUGUGCUUUUGUAAGAUGACGACAAAGCUGAAGUUUUCAAGGAACGAGUGGAACUUGAUGACAAGAACCUAGUGAUAAAACUAAUUGGAUUGGAAGGAGACUUGUUUGAGCAUUAUAAAAGCUUCAAUGAAACAUAUAAAGUUGUGAAAAAGGGACCUGGUCAGUGUGCCAUAAUUCUUACCUUAGAGUAUGAGAAACUUCACGAUUGUUCUCCAUCCCCUCAAAAGUACUAUGAUGCUAUGAUUAACCUUGUCAAGAGCAUUGAAUCACAUCUUAAAAAAUAAUGUUUCUUCUGCGCCCAUGAGCGACCCUUUAUGAUAUAUGAAUAAGUAAUGUCAUCGUAGAGGUGAUUGAGGAUUUUGUGAAAGUAAAUAAAUGGUUAUAUCCUCAUGUUAAAUGGAUGAAAUAAUAUAUUGUACUACUGAAGAAAUAUAUAUAACUUCCGUUAUGUUUGAAAAUAAUAAUUGAUAGUUUUUUAUUAUUAAUAUUAUAUUCUUUGCUCCCUCUCAAAUUUGACAGAGCUUAUUUUCACAAACAUUUAUUUUUCACAUUAAAUGUGUCGAGGAAACUACGAAUGAAAAAUAUGGUACAUUCCACCUCUAACGUAAAUGAUAUAAUUUUUAGUUUAAAAAAUGUAUGUAAUAAAAAACUUGACUAUUUACAUGACCAAUCUAAUAAAAAUAAAAUACACUCAUUGAGUUGACGUAUAUUUAAUUUUUGAGAUUUUAAAAUAUAUGAUUUAGUCUCUUAAAUUUGAAAAAUAAUUUUAAAAUUGACUAAAUUUUAAACCAACAGAAUAUUUACUACAUUAAUUAUAUUAGAGAACACAGUUAAGUUUUUUAUAUUAUUUUAAAAAGUCAUUUAAAAGAUGAAAUGAAAAAUUAUUUGACAAAGUUAAUAACAACAAUAAAAAAAAAUGGCCCUCAUACUUCAUCCUCUCAUCAGUCAUCUCCCAAGCUUUCUCCGGCCACUUAAAUGACCUCGACCUCGCUGCCUUUUCCAUGGCCGUUAUCGUUGUCUUAGACAUGGUUCCCCUGAUAUACCUAAAGCCCUAACUCUGUUUUCUCUAAUUUAAUUGUGGAGAUGCUAUGCAGGAAAGCGUACGGGUCAAAGAAAUAUUGUUCAUGUUGGGAGUUUAUUUGCAGCGCUCAUGGACCUUCUCUUUCUAUGCUGUCCUUCUUUUGUUGCAUAUUUUCUUCAUUGCGUCUCCAUAUUGCUGAUACCUCAAAGGUAUAACAGCCAGCUUCCUCUGCCAAUUUAAUAUUUUCAACAUGGAUACUUCCUUCUCACUUUAGCUUUGCGUUUUACUUUUCAUUGCAAUUUUUUUCAAGAGCCAAGUGAAGGUCUGGGCGAUUUUGUGGUCGGCGUCGGCGGGUAGUUGGGUGCUUGUAGGUUGAACUUAAAAUGGGUGUGGUGGAAAUUGCAGCGGCUUGCAAUAUUUAUUGCAAACCUUGGGGACAAUUAGUUUCUUUAAUCUCUCUAUCUAAAAGGCAAUCUGUUUGCUUUUAGGUUUCUAACUUGUUAACCAUUUUCUGUUUGUUAACAGAACACAUGGAAAUAUUAUUUUGGGAGAUCAUUUCUUUAGGACAACUUUUUUAAUUUCUUUGCUUGGCAAGCUAAAACUUCAUUUAUUUGAUCUUUUCAUCUUUCCUUUGAGUGAUUCGUUUGGUCUACAAUUCCUGAAUUAAAUUAGGUUUAUUUAUGUAUGUAUAGAUGGUUAUGAAGUUCUAGCUUUUUUGGUUACUGUCACGCCCCCGCUCGAAACGUGCCCUCUACGUACCGAGUAUAGACAUGACUUGAGCAAACCGACGUUUCGAGGUGCACCAGAAUGCUUAGGUACUUCUUUAAACAUAAGUUAAGCUUUAGGCGUGAUCAUGCUGACAAACGAUUGUACUAAGGAGUAGGACAACAUGCAAUAUAUAUAAAAAUUAGCAAUCCUUUUAUUAACAAUCGUGUUACAACACAAGCGUACAACUUACAACAUAAAAGACUAAAAAACUCAAGCUAACUAGUACUAUGCAACACAACAAGUACUUAGCAGUGACCUCCUCUUGUUUUGCCUGAUGACACUUUUUCGUUUAACUUGAAAAGGGAAAACUUAAAAUGUAAGCUAAUAGCUUAGUGAGUGACAAAAAUUUACAAAUACAUUUUGGGAAAUACAAUUAAACACAAUAAGACCUUUCUCAUUUUUAGAAACAUCUUACUGCCUCACUAUGCUUUUAUUGGCACAAAUAACCACAUUUGCCUCUACCUAUUUUCUUAUCGUCGUCUGGAUAUUAAACUCCCUCAAUGUAAGGAUUGUUGUGAUGAUUACUUCACCACUAGCAUUUCUACAUACACUCCUUCAAUACUAGUUGCUUCCAUGAUCUGCUUGAACACAGACCACUCAACGCGUUCAACUAUCCUUCUACCAAGCAGACAACUGAAUGUAUGACAACCUCUACUCUAUUGUGCAUACAAUAUAUAGCUAGCUUUUGAUCUAAAAUAAGGCUAAUAGUUUUGUAUACAUACAAGCAUCACAACAAUACAAUUUCACAUAUAGACAGACUUGAAAAUUAGUCAUGGUUUUUUAAUGUAUAAAUGAGAUUACAACAUGAGCAUAUUUAACAUGGCAAUAUAACAUGAUUUUGGUGGUAAAAACAUUUUUCAAAAGCUUUCUUUUCUUUUGGAGGGUCGCUCACGUAGUUAAGCUUUUCUUUCUCCCUUACUCUCCUUCUUAUCACCUAACUCUUCUUCCCACUUUUUGCCUGCUCCUAUAAUGAAACUUCACCUUUUCCUCCGUAGAAUUUUCUCUUAUCUAAACACUUGAAUUAAUCCUUCCUCAAAGCUAUUUAUACUAUUCUCAAAUCAAAUUAGUCAGCAUUACACUUCUCCUAAAUUCAACAGUUCCUACUUAGUGCAUUACACGUACGUGUUAGUUUAGUAUCCUUCUUAAACCACAGUCUUAAUUUAACUUAACCUGUGUUUAGCUGACUAAUAAUGCUCCUUCUCACCUAGCUUGUCACUUGAAAAAUUGAUUUAUGUUCGUUGUCUCCUUCCCUUCUUGCAAUACUUUGUUGUACCGUGUUGCCUUUCUUCACAAUGUCUUAUCUGAUCUUUUUACCCUCUGCUCCUUCCUCACAUUAUCUCAAAACAUACUUAAGCUCAAAUAUGCUACUUCAAAAAUUAAUUUAGAAGAACCUCUCUUUUAGGACGCAAGUUUCAUAAUUCUUCCCUCUUUAGUAAUUUCGUCCUCCAAAUUCUACCUUUUUUCCUUUAGUUAAACUUGGCACCCUAACGGCGAUUGUUGCACUGAGUGGGACACGACUCCUUGUUGGGUAGUACCUUGUUUAGGUUUUCAUUGGGAUUCCUUUCCAUAGUGCCCUUCUUCUCUAAAAUUGAAACAGAUAAUUGUACUUCUUCAUAACCUACCUACAUGCUUUCGACCACACUCAAUGCAUUGAGGUUUGUGAGUUCCACUUUAGAAUGAUUAUGUGUAGCUUAUUUUCAUUCUUUUGUUUUCUCUAACUUCUUUCUUUCUUACUCUUCUCUUUUCCUUCUUCAUCAACUCCUCCACUUCCUUCAAAAGCUUGCUUUAUGAAUUGAAAUUGAUUGUUUCUUUCUUACUGCUAUCUUAAACUGAUAAAAGGUGUUCUUGAUAGCUUGAUCUUGGUGAAAUGAAUCCUAAAUCUAGGCAAUGUUGUAUCUCGAGAAGCUCGUAAAAGUGAGUCCCAGGUUUGAGAAAAUAAUGAUUUUGCAAGACGUUGGUGAAGUGAACCUAGGUCUAGCCGAUUAGAACUUCAAAGUCCUGCGUUUGAAUAUCAACCAAAAUUAAUCUAUGAGUUUUCAACCUGAAAUUCAAACAGCCACGUGUCUCCCAUCCAAGUUCUUUGCAUCUUCUAGGUCACAAGUCCAAAUUAUCCUACACGCCCUUUUCUUUACUUUUACGUGAAAAAUCCCAAACUAAACAUUUAUUUUCUUCAUAUUCUUCACCAUAUUUCCCAAUUUUCUUCCAUUUUUUGACCAGAAGUUACAUCUCAACCGCCCUAAAAUAUUAUAGAUUACCAAAAAACCACGAAAAAAACCCUCUCCAAAACCCAUUCCAAACCCAUUUUUUCUCCCAAAAAAUUUUAUCCAUUUUCUUGAUUCUCAUGGAAGGGUAAGUGUUUUAUGAGGUAAAGAGUAAUUGGGUUGAGUUUUCUUUUAUGGGGGCCUCUACUUUUUUGCAAGAUUGUAAAUUUUUUCUUUAUUUAUUCAAGAACUCUACUUUACUUUCUUAUAAAAUUGUUGUAAUUUAUAUUCUUGUGAACUAAUCAUUCCGAAAGUUCAAGCAAUAAUUUGCCACGCAUGAAAUGUACUAAUUUAGAGAAAUAAAGUUGACAAUUGUUUGUUUUUUUUAUAAUUCUUGAUUCUUUGAUAAAUUUUGUUCAUAGUUUGAGUUGAGAUGGCUAGAUUUACUUUAAAUUUUGUUCAGUGUAAUAAAAUAUAUCCUUUCUCUUGGACGAAUUUAAUUUUCUUGAACCCAAUUUGUCAUUUUAUUCAAGGUAUGCAAUGUGCCAUUUUUUUUGGAAAUUUAAAGGAAACCUCGUUGAAUGGUGAAUUAUUUUCUAUCAUUUUUUUCUAGCGUUUGUGUCUGGCAAUCUUUUGAUUUGGUAAUUCUUGGAAUAAAUAUUCAUGCUAUGCACUUGUUUGUUGAACAAAUGAUGGGUAAAUAAAGCAAUUUCUUUUAUAUGCAUAUUUGUUUUUAUUCUUGUUAGGUAAAAGGUGUGAAUCUUGAACAAAUUAAUUUUGGUGUUCAAGAAAUUUGAUCCCAAAGUUAAUUUGACCAAUAAUCUUUUAAACCUUUCAAUUUUUACUUUCCAUUUUUGGAUCCCCAAGGAUAGAAAACCCUCGUAUACUCAAUUACUCUGGCCUCACAUUUAUUAGUUGAGUAUUUUUUUCACAUAUUUUACUAUCUUGAGUUGGAACAACCUAGAAUUUACUUUGUUACUUGUCACAACAUGAUUCUUUAAAUUUCUUGCUUAAUCUUUUCAUGCUUUCUUAGUUUAUCUAACACUCUUUUCUAGUUUCAAUUCAAGUUAGAAUUAUUUCCACUCCCUUGGUUCGACACUCUCACUUGCCACCACACUAUGGUAAUAAGUGGGUUUUUAUAAAUAAUCUUUUGUCAAGGUGAAUUGGUACGUCUCUAUCCUUUUCCUAAUCAACUAGUGUUCCAUUUUCCAUAUAAUUAGCAUAUAUUGUUACAUGAUUACCAUUUAAAUGGGCUUGCCAAUUACAUAUUACAUACAACAUUCAAGCCUUGCCAGCGAGUAAAUGCCGGUGAAAGUGAAUCCUAGUCUGAGCAAGGGAUAAAAAUGUGUUCUUGAUAGCUAGAUGCUGGGGGAAGGUGAAUUUCAUGUAUAGGCAAUGAGAUGCUGAUAAAAGUGAAUCUCAGAUUUGAGAAAACAAUGAUUUUGCUAGACGCUGGCGAAAUCCCAAGUCUAGGCGAUUAGAUGUUGUGAAGUGCAUCCCAGGUCUAGGAGAUUAGAUGUUGUGAAUGGGAGAAUCCCAAAUUUUGGCAAUGAAUAAUGAACAUCCUGAUGAAUGAAACACGUGGAAUUUCUUUGAUUGUUGUGUUUAUGAUUUAAUGCUAUGAGAAUUUAUGUUCUUAAGAUUAAGAUUGUUGUUAAUGAAAAUGUUGUAUUCCCCCUAAUAAGGUAUUUCUUAAACCCAUCACACACUAAGUCUUUAACUAACCUUUUAGUUUUCUCCUCCCCAAGUUGUCAGGCGUUGAAGAUAAGUAAAGAAUGAAUGUCAGGUGUAGAAGCCAAGUAAAGAAGGGAAAUGUCCGUUAUCAUGUAAACCCAUUUCACAUUUGAGGAGUUGGCAGGCAAUUCUUAUACUCCUAAAUGUUGAGGGCUACAACUCAAUUUUGAGGAGAAGUUGAAUGCUUCAGCACAAUUUUGAAGAGAUGCCAAGGGCAGCAUCACAAUUUUGUCUUGCCGAAGAAGACGAGUGGAAGAAAUGAGCCAAGAAUGAAGAGCCUAAAGUUAUCAAUUUAGUCUUGUCAUAAUUGUAGAAGUGUGAAAUUCAGUUGUACUUAGUGUAAUGAGUUAAGUGAAUAAAGCGAAAAAGUUAAGCAUAUUCAGCUACAUCAUUGUUAUUAUUUGCCAUAUCCUGUAAAAGUUAAAAGUUAUUUUCAAUCAAGUAAUGAGGGCUAGGUGAUGGAGCUAACUCUAAAAUUUGUUUUAAGCUAUUAUAAGCUAUAAGGGUCUAAGUCUAAAGUAGAAGCUUUGCGAAGAGAUAAGUUCAAGAAGUUGCUCUGCUUACUAGGCAUUUAGCGUGUUAUCUCGCGAUGGGUACCUAGGCGGCACAUCCCAAUCUAGUCGCAUGGAAUGGAAUUUGGGAUGGUGUAUGACAUGAUCGUUUGAAGGUAGAAAACUAAACGAUCACGUAAGAGGGUAAACGAUCGUAUAGAAAGCUAAACAAUCGUGUAACAGGUUGCAGAGUAAACGAUUGUGAUAACAUUUCCUUCAGAACCAAACAUAGUUAUGAAUGUCAAGUAGUUACAACAGUUUUAAACUUUACAAACAUUAGGAAUGAAAAAAUAAAACAAUACAACCCGAUAACCCAACCCAACCCAACCCAUAUUUUAUGGGUUGGAUUGGAAAAUUAAUUCGGGUUAUUUGGGUUGCCAAAUCAACCAACCUGAAAAUAUGGAUUGGGUUGAGAAUAUCUCCCAACCCAACCCUACUCGUUUACAUCCAUAAUUCUAGUGUCAUGUAUGCCUUUUUUUUUUCAAAUUAAAUAUCCUAAUUGUUAAAGAUUAUGAGAUUGACGAUCUUUGUUUUUACAUCUUUAAAUGUUACUAGAGAUGUCGUUGCAUUGGUGGUUUUUGGAAGAAAAAUGUUGAAUGGAAAUGUUGUUCUGCAAAAUACCCUUCUUAUCGUUUCUUUCUUUUGUUCCCUUAUUUGCCAAUAUCUUUUGCUUACUUUGUAUGUAGCUGCAGUGGAAGAUAGGGUUUCUUUUUAGUGUUUCUAUUGGACAUACUUAAAGGACACUUAGUCUUUCGGCUAGGACUAGUCGUUAUGUUAUUUCUUGAGCAAUAUUUUUCUGUAGAAGUGUGUUGGUAUCGAUCUUGGUUGUAAGAAGAAGAGAGUUGAAUCACUUAUUUCAACUUACUUACUACACGUGUAUAUUGUGAUUCAUUUAUGAAGGGAUUCUCAAAACUAAAACGAGCUUGUGCUAUUCAAGAAAAGAUGUCUUUGUUCUUAGAAUGAAUGGUAUACAAUAAAAGUGAGAAGGAAUCUCAUGACUCAAGGGAAGCUAUCAAGGCUUGUCGAGAGCCAGGUUUAUGUCUUAGAAGGAACCUAAAACUCUCUUCACUAAUAAUACAACUUAUGCAAGCCUACGAUAUAAGAGAAGUCUCAAACCUAGGGGAGUCUGGGUGUGCAGUAGAAUGAUAAAACUAUUCAGAAGUCAUAUAUUUGCGUUAUCAUUAAAGAUAAGUACUACGAUGUAAUUGGUUAUCAUUGUUAUUAGUGAAUGUAAUGUAUCUUUCUUAGGUACACUACCCGCUAGAUGUAUAAAACUAGGUUACCAAUCUUGUGUUCAUUUGUCACUGUACUAUUUGUUUGUAACUAUUGUGUGAAAUGUUGUAACAUUAUCGUGGGUAACAUAGUUUAUUUCAUGUUGUAGACAAGUACUUUCUUAAUUUCACUGUAAUUAUGGUUACUUUGCAACCACUAUAAUAUUUUAUAGCUUGUUUACAUGGACUAUUUUCAUAAAUUACAUGCUUAUUAGUUCUGUAUAUAUAGUUAUUUGCUGAAAAUAUUAUAUAAAUAUUUGGGAUUUUUUUAAAAAUAGAACAAAUGGGCAAAAUAUUUACAGUGUAGAGAACAAUUUCGAAAAAGAAAAAAAGCUCAUAGGCCCACAAUUGAAAAUACCAAAAAUGCCCCGAUCAAUACGCCAUUAGCCGGUCACACGUGUGUGUAGUUCUUCUAAAUGAUCGUGAACCAAGAUCGUUUAGAUAUUGUUACAUGAUCGAGUACGAAGAUCUAAAUGGUCAUGUGCAAAAUCUAAACGAUUUUUGUUCAAGAUCGUGUGUCAAGAUCUAAACAAUCAUGUACAAAGUUCUAGACAAUCAUGUACCAAGAUCUAAAAGAUUUUUGUUGAAGAUUGUGUACCAAGAUCUUUUAUAUUUGGUACAUGAUCUUGUACCAACAUCGUAUAGAUUUUGUACACGAUUAUGUAUAAAGAGCUAGACGAUCGUAUACAGAGAUUUAAAGCUUUGGUAUAUGAUCCUUUAGAUCUGAAAGAGGAAAUAUAUGAGAGAUGACAAAAAUUGUUCACCAAAUGGAGAUUUGAAGCAGUGAAAAAGAAAGACAUAAAGGAAAGAAUAAUAAUAAUCGUGGAACAAUGACAAUGGUUUUGAAAAAAAUAUAAAAAAAAAAUCCAAAAAAAAAAGGAGAUGGAAGAUAAUGAAAAGGAAAAAGGAAGAAAUGAAAGUCUAAGUAUUUAAAACAAUCAAAUCGACUAGAACAAACCUGUAUUAUUUUUAAAGAAAGGGUCGACUUCAUGAACUUUUGUAUUAUUUUUAAGGAAAGGGUCGACUUCAUGAACUUUUAGAUUAUUAGAUUAUUGGUGUUUGGUUAUGUUUAUAAAAAGUAACCUUAUAAAAAAAGAAAGAGAGAAUUCAAGAGUAAAAUAUUAUUGAUUAUUCAAUAUGUUUCCAAUUGAAGUUGUUCUUCCUUAUCAAUUUUGGGAUAGUUGUACAUUAAUUAAUAGUUAAAUCAUCACAUCAUGCUAAAAAUAGGCUCAUCCCGUCAACAUUCAAAUUGUUUCAAAGAAUAUAUUCACAGCGAAUAAAUAACUAGUUUUUUUAAAGAUAUACUUUUCUCCCCUUGAGUUUAGAUUCCAAAUUAAUUUGGAUUAGGUUGAGUUUAAUAUCCAUUUGGAUUAACUGUUUUUUACUUUAAAAUUUAUGCAUGAUUCAGUUGAUCUUCUUAAUAGUUUGUAUGUUUUUGUGUACAAGUUGUCGCCACAUGCCCGAGACGACGCGGAGCGGUCGACAUCUUUAAAAGUGUUAGUUUUAAAAUGAAAUAAGAGUCGCCACCAAUCUUUUUUUACGGUGCGAUUGAAUACUGAAAUACAAUAAACAACUUUUAAAAAAUGGUCUGCGAAAAAUAGAAUUGAGUUCGGGAGUCAUUUGUGUGUGGGGAAGGUAUUAGCACCCCACAACACCCAUUUAGGAAAACGAUGACCAAAUUUAAAAUCUUGAAUUGAAAAUAUUUUUAAAUUUAUUUUAAAACUAUUGUUUUAUUUCAUCCCUCGUUACUCCAAUAUUUGAAGCAAUGAUCUCAUAAAAUAAGUGGAAUUAUAUUUCAUUAAUUAGACUAUAUAUUGAAUGAGAGUUUCUCACCUUAAGAAAAUGAGAAAUUAUUACAAUUUCUCAAAAUCUAUCGUAGGCUAGUCUUUGAAUAAAGAUUUUUUUUUUAAAACAUUGAUUAAAUUCAUUUUUUAUUGGGAUCGAAUCUCGGACUUCCAAAGAUGUGAUCCCUCACCUUAAAAAUUCUAGGAAAUCAGACUCCCAAAUUUCCUAGAUUCCAUCAUAGGAGUAUUUUUAGCGAAAUAGAAGUUAGUUAUUAAAAAAGUUGAUUAAGGAAAACAUAUGAAAUAUAGAUUUAUAUUUUUAAAAAAAUUAAAAGGAAUAGUUGUAAAUUAAAAAUUUCUCAACAGUUAAAAAAGGAAAUUUAAUAAAGAUCUUCAAAAUUAGGUCAAUAGAAAAUAAUGCACAAUAGAAUCAAAUAUAAUAUACCCUAAAUUAAGAUAAAAUUUUAUUUUUUAAAAAAAGUAUUGGAAAUCGAAUCUUGGAUUCCCAAAGAACCGAUUCCCUCAUCUCAAGAAUUUAGAAAUAACGGACUUCGAUAUUUCUAAUUCCAUCGUCGGAUUUGUUUUUAGAAUGAAAAAAUGUAAAAAAAAAAAUAUGAUGUAAGGAGAAAAAAAAUUAAAUAAUUGAUAUGAAAUACCAUGAUAAUAUUGCAAAGUGUAAAAAAUAUUCAUAAAUUUAAUAUUACAUGAUAAUAAUUAUUAUGCAUGCAAGAAAAGCAAGUUAAAAAAAAUAAAUAUACAAGGAAAAUACAACUGGUAGACAACUACAACAAAUAAAUAUAUAAAUAAUAAUAAAAAAGAUAAAAGGAAAAAAAAGGACGUUUUUUUUUUAAACCUUGCCGCCACCAUAUAUAUAAUAAUAAUAAUGAUGACGAUAAUAAUAAUAAUAAAAAAAUAUAUAAAAGUAUUAACCGUAAAAGAAAAGAAAAAAAAUAGAUUUUCAAAUCCCAAAUAAAAUUUACUCGUCGAUGAGGUGCGGAUCGGAGUAAAUCCCUACCACAUGAACCUCCAACAAAGUGUAUUUUAAAAUGGAAUUUGAUUUACUAACGAGAAAAAAAAAAAAAAAAGUAAAACACUAACGUAAUGAAAAGAAUAAGAAAACUUACCUUUUUAAGAGAUUCUUUCUAAAAGAUUUUCUAACGUUUUCUAGACUUUUUGUAAGAAAAUUUUCACCAAAGAAUUCUUUGUUAAAAAAACUAUUCCUCCCCUUUUUCAAAUGACAAGGGUCCCUAUUACAAAGGUGUUGCCUUGAUCUUGAAGGUAGCCAAUAGAAAAUAACCUUCCAUUUCUCUAGGGAUCUUAGGCAGUGCUUUAUUUCCAAUUGGGAUGUUCCAAAUUUUGCAAGCAUGGAAAAAUCAACUCAUCAUAUGGAAAUGCGCUACUAAAGAUGACGGAAACAAAUGCUUCAUUAUCAUUUUUUACUUUAUUUUUCUUUACUUUUCAUCUUCAUAGUUCACUUGUUUAAAUGAUGGUAUUGACACAUGGCUGAUAAUGCUCUGCCCCGAGCUGAUCUUAUGCACUUCAUCUUUUCUUUUAGUGGGAUCGUACUUUAAUGAUGUUAACUUCUACUUCUGUAUCAUUCGUAAUCUCUUUCCUUCAAACAUCAUUAUCAUAAUAUGAGAGGCAUUUUAUCACAGUAUGGAACAGUCAAAACACUGGUGACAUUUCCUUACUCACUCAGAAGUGGUUGCCUCCGAUCAAUAUUUUUUUUUUUUACAUCCUUAAGGAUAUUUCUUAAAAGUGGUUAAUGCUUCAUUUUAUACACGGAAGAUUUAAAUGGUACGAGACCAAACUAAUAAUGUCCUUAUAAUUUUUCAAUACUUGCACACUUGAGAGAUAUCCAACUACAUAUACCAAAGAGCAGUUGAGCUCAAUUAGGCUAUCGUCUUAUUAACAAACAACUAAAAAAGGUGGGAUCAGGAGGCGCACCAGAACAUCUCAACUAGGUUGACACCUUCGUCAUACCACAUACUUAAUAAAAAAAUAUGCUCCUUAUCAUGAGAUCAAAUAGUGACAAAACGUUCUUGGAACUGGUGAAAAGAAAUUGUCAUUGUGGAAGUGGAUUGACAUCCUUCAAUCGUAUAUAAUGAAAUGACUUUCAUUAAACUUUCCAAAUUUUAGCCUCUUGAACUUGGGUGUUGUAAUGAUGAUGUCUAAGACUAGACACAAUUGUGUCGCCUUAAUUUCUUCAUAAAUGUUGUUCUUUAUUACACUUAAUCUCUCUUCUAGAAACUUUGAUAUAAACUUCUUUUGAGAUUUGUCUUCAAAGGUCUUCAUGUCAGUUUUCUCAUUCACCGUAGAAUCUAAGUCAUUCAAAUGGCACAUUUUUUGUGGAGCUCGACCACACUCUUUGUGUCAAGUAUGCCCUCAAGUUUAACCAAUGAUGAAUCUAAUAGUUUUUUUAGCAGUAAGAGCAUGUGGGUAUAAGGAGAAACAUCGUUUGAAGGUUGGUUCUAUACCAAUUUCACUUAUUUGAAUGCCCCUGCUAGUGGUCUAUCCUUAAUUUAAGCGAGAGACUUUAAAACCACUACCACUUGUCCUUUUAACACUUUGACACAUCUUUCCUGGUUACUUACACUUGGUUGGAAAACUUUUCCAUGACCUCGACCAAUAAUGAAUGAUGGGUGAAAAUCUUUUCCACUAUUUGUAAAAUCUUUGACUCUUUUGAUCUUUCUAAAGAGAGAGAAUGGUUAAAUUAUUUGAAGUUAUUUAUUAGAGUGAGGUUUAUGCAUAUGAAAUUUCAUCAACAAUGCAACAAUUAUCAUUCUAAAGUGAAUAAAAAUGACUACUAAUAUUUUCAAGAAGAAAUAGCUAAAUGCAAUGACAAAGGAGAUUUUAAAAUAAAAUACUAGCCAACAACUUAAACAUACAUACAAGUAUGUGUUGAUAAACAUAUGAUUAUAAUGCAUGAUAAAGAAAUUACUCUUAGUGUUUGAUCAUGCAAGUAAAAAGAAUAAUGAUGAGAUAAUAGCAUAAUAUAACACUAUCCAUGAUAUAUAUAUAUAUUGCUUAAAAGAAAAUUUUCUUUUUGACAGUUAUUCACACUAUUUAAGCUUAUAUUUAAAAAAAUCAUUAACGUUAAAGUAUUAUUAGUUAUUUAUUAAAUGAGACAACAAAAAUACCUUAGUAAAAAUGUGAUUUCUAAUGAAGACAUCAAAAUUUACUUAAUGCAGAUCAAAUGGAUAAAAAUAUGGUUAUAUGAGAUGAAAAAGUUAAUAGAUAAAACUCAACUCAAAAGUUUUAUGAAACCCAAAAGUUUUAUUAAUCAAUUAUUUUAAGCAUAUAGUGAUUUAAGGGCUUCUCUUUCAAUUAAUUAGUCAAAUUUGUUUCAUGGCUAUCAAGUAAAAUGUCCAAAUUUAUUUUAAGAAAAUUGAAAAAUUAAAUUUUUUUAUUAUUUUAUUGGAUUAUUUUUUUCUUUGAAAAUAUUUGCCCAUUUUUAAAAUAACUUUUAAAAUAUUCACACAUCAAUAAAUAUGCAUGUUAUUUCACAAAAAUAAAAUGAAGAAACAAAAAUGAAAGUUACACAAUAGGCUUUCCUUUUCUUUUCUUUUUUUUUUUCUUACAAAUUCUUCUUAUAUGAUCAUAUUUUUUAGUAUUUCAAAAAAUCGUUUUUAGUAUUUCAAAUGAUCAUCCUCAAAAAUUUAGUUUUUAAUGCUAAUGUUAUUUAAUUGUGGCAUGAUUUUUUUAUUUAGAUUUAAAUAGUUAAUAUAUUAAAAAAAUUAUUAAAUGAUACUAAAUUACUUAAUAUAUAUUCUUUUUAGGGAAAUUUUUUUGGAUAAAUAUGUAUUUCAAAAACUUUUUUUUAAAAAAAAAAAAAAAGUGUUCAACCUUUGAAAUAUAUGAAGAAAAGUUGUUGAAAUCUCUUUAAAAUAUUUUUUUUUGAAAUAUGAAAAAAAAAACUAUAUAAAACUUCAACAAAUUAUUGAUAUGUCAAUUGAUUAAGAAAAAUCGAAAUUGGCAAAUGAAAUAUUGUUAAACUAAAAAAAUUUAUUCAAUUGUGAUAAUUGAACAAACAUAAGUAAAAAAAAUCAAUCAAUGAAAUUAAAAGGAUAUACAUGUGUAAAUGCAUGUGUAAAUGCAUGUUGUAAAAUUGACGUUAAUUCUAAAAUUCCUAAAUGAUAAACGUUCCUAAUUUGGUCAAAGUCAUACAUGACGAAUUGACCAAGUUGAGUGAGAAUUUUUUGUGUGCCUGCACGGAAGCAUGAGCUUCUCGAAGGUCAACACUACUCCGUUCACAAUUCUAAUCUUAUGAAGGUAAAGCCUGGGUAGGAGGCUCGUGAUUGUGUGUGUAAUAGUUAAAUGCACAAUAACUACACACAAUAAAUUAGAAUAAAAUUAAAGAAUAAAAUAAUUAAGAUAAAAGAAAAAAUGGCCAAACUCUCGAGGUAAAGCCUCAUGUCCCUAGUGGAGUCGCCAUGCUGUGAGGAUCAAAGCUCCACCGAUAAUGCCAAGAACUUAAACAAUAAGUUAAUGAAAGAUUUAUUUAAUCAGUUUAAAAUUAAGCACUCUAAUUCUACCCCGUACUGCCCUAAGAUGAAUGGAGCAGUAGAGGCGGCAAAUAAAAAUAUCAAAAAAAUCAUUGAAAAGAUGACUGUCACAUAUAAAGAUUGGCAUGAGAUGUUACCAUUUGCAUUACACUGUUACCGAACGUCAGUUCGCACAUCAAUUGGGGCAACUCCUUUUUCUUUGGUGUAUGGCAUGGAAGCUGUUUUGCCUAUUGAGGUCGAGGUGCUAUCCCUCAGGGUAAUUAAAGAAGCGAAACUAGAAGAAGCUGAAUGGACACGAGCAAGGUACGAAGAAUUAAACUUCAUAGAAGAGAAAAGGUUGACUACGUUGUGUAGAGGACAACUUUAUCAGAAGAAAUAAAUGACUCGUGCAUACGAUAGAAAAGUUCGACAACGUUGUUUUCAAGAAGGGGACUUGGUCUUAAAAAGGAUCCUACCAUUUUAAAAAGAUCAUAGAGGAAAGUGGACCCCUAAUUAUGAGGGACCAUACGUAGUAAAAAAGGCAUUCUCUGGUGGAGCUUUGAUCCUCACACAAGUUCUUAGUCAAAUUAAGAAAAAUGAGAACAAGUUUUUAUGAACAAUCAUUUUAGUUUUAAAAAAUUGACCUUGUUUUCAAAGACAGGAUAAAAGGUAGAUAAAAGAAUAAUCAAAUUUAGAGAUAAAAGAGUUGUUUGUGGACUAGCAAAUGUGGAGAGUUUUCAAAUCCACUACUACAAAAACAGGCUCUCUUGACGUUUGCAGUUUUCCUUUCUUGAUGUGUUUUUUGAAAAACGUCAAGAAAGAUUUCAUUUUUAAUAAAAAACGUCAAUAAAUUUUCUGAAACAACUUUCUUGACGUUUUUAAAACAUCAAGAAAUAUCUAUUAAUUUUUUGACGUUCUUAAAACGUCAAGAAGCGUAUGAAUUCAACAUGUUUGACAUUUAUUAAACGUCAAGAAUUUAAAGUUUUAAAAACGUCAAGAAAUUUAUAAAAAAAUUAAUGAUGUUUUUUAAAUGUCAAGAUAAUUUCUAUAAAAAUCCUUGACGUUUUAAAAAAUGUCAAGAAAUUUUAAAAAUAUUCUUGACGUUUUUAAAACGUCAAGAAUGUUUUGAAAAUUUCAUUCGUAAAACGACGACGUUUUAUUUAUCACAUUUUCCCUUUUCUAAAACCAAUCUGUCGCGCGUUUUUUCAGAAAAUCUCAAACUCUCCCUCGUUUGUUCGUCGUUCUCCCUUCGCGCUAUCACUGUUCAUCAUUCUCCUUCGUGCCUCCGUUCACCAUUGUUCACCGUUCUCCGUUCAUCGUUCACCGUUCACCGUUCACCGUUCAAAACUCGUAAUUACCUUCUCUGUUCGAAAACCCGUGAACACAUUCACCUCUGUACGAAACCCGUAAUCACCUCUAUUUGCCUCCAAAUCCUUUGUAAAAGGUAAUAGUUUCACUUCUUUACUUUGUGAUUAGAACUUGUAAUCUGCAAUUUAAAAUUGGGAUGUGUUUAUUGCCUUUUUUCCCUUUGUGAUUAAAGCUUACAAUCUGUAAUUUCCUUUGUGUUUAUUGCCUUUUUUCCCUUCAUACAAUAAGGCUUAUUAUUUGUGAAUUUCUCACAUUAAUUUACUAGGUUGUGGCAUUGGAAAUUAAUUAGUUUAUGUUUAAAGGUUUAAUUUCUUCUUGUGAUGAACCUAUACACAUCCAUAUGAUUAUUUAAGAAAACCAUUGCUCUUUGAUUUUACUUUAAUUUUUUCUCUGAAUCAAAUAUGUUAAAGUUGAUCAAAGUUGAGGUAUUAUUAUUGGCGAAAGAAGUGCCCACUACUACUUUAACCACAAAAAAGAAAAGGGAAUGGGAAAAAAGAGGGCAUAAAGAAAAUGAAUGAAUGUAGACUUGUUUAGGGAUGAAUUGAGACUUUGGGAAGAGUGAAAUGCUUAGGAAAAAGGAUUGCUUAAAAUAUUUGAAAGAAAUUUGUAGUACGAGUUUUAGGGAUCCUUUGUUGAAAAACUAUCACUUAUCUGAUUUUCUAAGUAAGAGAAGGCUUGUAGAAAAGUUAAAUGUAGACUUGUAGACUUGUAGGAAGUUCCAAUUGAAGAGACGAAGAAGAACAUAGUAAAAUGCUCACAUAGAUUACAGAGAAAACAAAAGAAUUCAACUGGGUUGGUAGGUGCUUUUCUUGUUCCGUAGGCUGGCUGUAACCUUGGUUUUUAAGAAUAUCUUGCCCUCUUGCUGAGUAGGCUGACUGUAACCUUGGUUUUUUUCUUUUAAUCUAGAUAAGUUCUUCGUAGUAAUUACAAGUCUUAUCUCUCUUUGGAUUCUACUAAAAAACUUUGUUUCUUUACUUGCUUAUUGGAUACUUCAUAGUCCAGGUAAAGAACACCUUUAUUACAUUGUUUAAAUUUCUUAAACACUUAAAUUUACAUGUUCCUCAAGUGCCUACAACAACUGUCUGAUUUUUCAAGUGCCUAAGUUGAAAUGUCUGGUCUUAACUUUUCUUCUCUUACUCAAAUAAGUUCUUCUUUUUUC
RNAcentral lists this long non-coding RNA (101320 nucleotides) under Cucumis sativus (cucumber). RNAcentral's name for it is "long non-coding RNA (CSAT_LNC001875)". The record is from RNAcentral. Lineage: Eukaryota; Viridiplantae; Streptophyta; Magnoliopsida; Cucurbitales; Cucurbitaceae.